CGACCCACGUUUGGACAUUGACUUUGUUGAAUUGAUUCCUCUCAAGAAUAAACGUUCGACCAUAGGUCCAUGUUAGCAUUAUAGAACAACAUGUCACUGGCCACAUUGCCCAUACAUACCAUUUGUAUGUGUAAGGUUUGGAGGCUAAGGAGGCGAAUCCUAGCCUCAGAUGAUAGAUGGACUGUGGCGUUACAAGAUGUGUCAAAUGAACCACAUGGGGCAAUUGUUCAGGUCUUAUAAGUGAUUUUUCAUAUAACGCAUCUGAAGAUUUAUCCAUUGUACCAUAGAUGUAAUCAUAGAUGGGCAUAAAAAGUGAGUAAUUGGUCCUGAAUUGAGUGUGAUGCAGAGAGUGAUACCUGAGAUGUCAAGCAGUCAAUCAUUUCUUCAUGCACAUUUCAAAUUGGAAAGAAUACAUUUAUGGGAUGAGCCACAUAAAAAAGUAGAGAUACAAGAAUACAUUCUAAAAACCAUAAAAAAUAAAAUAAAGGAGAGAAUCAUGUUUUCAUACCUGGAUUAGGCUUUAUUUAAAAUUUGGUGGGCAACUUAUGGGAUUCCGACCUUAGAGCUUAAGUGGUAAAUAAUAAUAAUAAUAAUAAUAAUAAUAUAUUUUCAUUUCCAUCUUUUCUUAGCCAGUUAUAAUGUAAUGAGUCAUAUAAAAACAUUUACAAAUAAAUCGAUUAUGUGAAGUGAAUAAAUAGGAAUUAGAUACAAGGAUACAAAUUGUGGGCGUUUUAAUUUUUAGAGUACGUAAAAAAGAUCAUUGCAGUAUUCUCUCUCUCUCAACACAGAAAACUAUGUAAAAAGGAAUUGGGAGACUUACGAGGGGGUAUACAUGAGGUACUUAAGAGGUGGAAAAAUGGAGAAUAGCAUCUUAGGGAUCAGCUCGAAAUUGCAGUGUCCCAUGUUGUUCAUGAAAUCAAUAUAAGAAAUAUAACCAAAGACGGCUGCCAUGGAGCUCUUUCUCAUGAAAAAUCCUGCUAACAGUGGUAUUAAAAACAGUAGAAAAUAUGCUAGGUGUUCAGCAAAAGGAUGGAUGACAGCUGCCAUGGAAACAACGAUACGUCAUAUUCCAAUGUAGGUAGUGGUUAAUUAGUAACGGAUCAAAGAGUAAAUGAUCAAUUCAUACAGGUGAUGGGCUCUGUGACAAUCGAGGAAUGGUGAUGAGAAUGAUAGCGUGAGUAAAGAUAAUGAUGAUGCAAUGCUCUGUGUAACCAGUAGUAUAGGAAUUCAACAGGCCCCAUAUGAAGAAGAAUUGUAAGAAGUACACCAUCUGUUCUCCAUAAGGGCAUGUGAGCAACCCCAGGAAGUAUCAUGUAAACCACGUAGAAUAGGAUCCCAUUCAACAAUAUUUGGUCAUCCCUGCAAACAAAACACCACAAGAAAAUCUGAAUAUUCAUGCAUGAAGGUAAUCAGCCUGUGUGUGUGAGAGUGAGUUUCUGACAGACCAGUUGCUUUCCCUGUCAACUUGCUCGAAUUCAAUACUCUUAUCAACGAUCCUAUUGUUUCCCUUAGCUGUUCGGUAUCGAGCAAGAGAAAUCCAAAUCUGGUUGUGAAGUGCCCUCCAUAACAGAAAUGGGAAAAAUAGAACGUAAACAGGGUCCCUCUCCUUCCCAUCUUUGAUUAUUAAUGUGUAUAUGCUAUGAACUACCCAUGGAGCCAAUAUCACAUACUGAAACAAAGAAUAAAAGUAAAAUAAAUGAGUAAAACAAAAAUAAAAUAAACAUUGAAGAGAAGGCAAGAUUGUAGAGCAAUCAAAGUGUGGCAAAUCAGAUAAUAAUAGUGUACCUUGAAGCUUCCAAGAGACUUCCAAGGCCAGUCAGUGAGGAUACCUGGUUUGGAAGCCAUAUACACUUCUAUAAUGUUACUUGCUUAAUUUAGUUUGCCGUCUACAAAAUUGGAGGGCUAUAUAUACUGAUUCUCUCGGGUGAAUUUAAGCAGCCAUUAAUGCAGGCCUGAAACCCUUAGAAGGAUACGAUCAGCAAGUUGUUUGUGACCUUCACUUUCAAGGAUAAAAGGAGCUUGUACAAAAACUAUUUUUUACUUUUAAUAAAACUUGAAUUAAAUUUAACUAGUCUUGUAUAAAAUGAAUUAAUAAUUUUUUACAACAUCAAAAUAGGAAAAUAAUUUUUCAAAGCAUGCAACUGAUUCAAAUAAUUUUAUUUUAUUUUAUUUUUUUAUUUUAAAAAAACUGUUCUCACAAAACAAGUUUUCAAAGGGUCUUGUUCUUAAAAAAUAUUUAUUUAUUUAUUUUGGUUCUUCACCUCAAACAAUUUUCAAAAGCAAUCCUCUACAAAUCUGUAGAAAAUCUCGUCAAACAGGCCCUUAUCUUCCCUAUUUCUUAUCCUAGUUUGGUGAAAAAGGCAGAUUAAUAACGACCUUAUUUCUCAAAUCUCAACUCUUGUGUGAGAAUAAUAAAUGCAGAAUUUAAAACUUCCACUGUUCCAACCGUCCUAGGGCGAGGUGGGCACACUUAUAAUCAAUACUUAGUGCUAUGUUCUUUUUGCUGCCCACUUUUUCAGGUUUGCAUUUAGAUAGUGUUGACAACACCUUUCAAAUAUUAUCAGGCUGCUCUAGCUGGCGAUGCCAAUGUGAAAGACAUGGGAUGUUUGUGCAGAAAAGGCCAAAUAAAUAAAUAAAAGGGAAAGCUAUGGGAUCAUACACCAAUUAGAAAAACAGAUAAAUAGAUUUUUUUUGAGAAAUCAAAAUUUUCACUUUUAAAAAAGAGUUUAUUACCCUUUAUCCCCCAACCUAUAAUGUGUUUUGUACAUUACCCCCUUGAGUUCAAAAUCAAACAACUUCAUCAUUUAUGAUUGCAUACAAUGUUAUUUUUUUAGAGAAGGAACAAUUUUUUGGAUAGAAAGGCAUGUGCUCUUUGCAUGAUCAAGGGUAAAAGUGUCUUUUUUUUAUAAGUGAGGGCAAAAGGGUCAUUGUUAUUUUAAAACCCCAAAUUGCAACCCUCCUCUCCCGCAUCGACCAUUCCUCCUUUGUAGGUGCUAGUGAAGCCCUAAUUCAAAGCCCUAGAAUCCCAAAGAAGCUAAUAUAGAGUUGACAUUGAAGAAAAGAGAUGGAAUUCAACGGGGUUUUUUUUUUUUCUUUUGUCUUCCAAUUUAUUUAAGGUUAAGGUUUUGUUUUGAUCUUUUAGAAAAUUUAAGGAAAUUUUGGGGAAAUUAUAGAAGAAUAAAACUCGGGCCAAUUAAGGGUUAGGGUUUUUAUGUUAGGGUUUAAAUUUUUGUGUUCUGCUUCUAGUUUAAGGUUGGGGUUUCGUUUUCAUGUUUCAGAAAAACUAGGGGUAUUUUUGGUGAAAUUUUAGGGUAAUUUUUAGGGGCAAUUUGGGGAAAUUAUGGGAGAAUAAAACUUGGGCAAAUUGAGGGUUAGGGUUUAAAUUUUUAUGUUAUGCUUUUGGUUCAAGGUUAGGGUUUUGUUUUCAUGUUUUAGAAAACUGCGCAUAUUGUUGACAGCACCUUUCAAAUAUUAUCAAGCUGCUCUAGCUAGCUAUGACAAUGUGGAAGACAUGGGAUGUUUGUGUAGAAAAGGCUAAAUAAAUAAAUAAAAGGGAAAGUUAUGGGAUCAUACACCAAUUAGAAAAAACAGAUAAAUAGAUUUUUUGAGAAUUCAAAAUUUUCACUUUUAAAAAAGGGUUUAUUACUCUUUAUCCCCCAACCUAUAGCGUGUUUUGUACAUUGCCCCCUUGAGUUCAAUAUUGAACAACUUCAUCAUUUACAAUUGCAUGCAAUGUUCUUUUUAUAGAGAAGGUACAAUUUUUUGGAUAGAAAGGCAUGUGCUCUCUACGUGAUCGAGGGUAAAAGUGUCUUUUUUGCUAUAAGUGAGGGCAAAAGGGUCAUUUUUAUUUUAAAACCCCAAAUUGCUGCCCUCCUCUCCCGUGUCAAUUAUUCCUCCUCUAUAGGUGCUAGUGAAGCCCCAAAUCGAAGCCCUAGAAUCCCAAAGAAGCUAAUAUAGGGUUGACAUUGAAGAGAAGAGAUAGAGUUCAACGGUUUUUUUUUUUUUUUGUCUUCCAAUUUAUUUAAGGCUAAGGUUUUUUUUUGAUCUUUCAAAAAAUUUAGGGAAAUUUUGGGGAAAUUAUAGAAGAAUAAAACUCAGGCAAAUUGAGGGUUAGGGUUUAAAUUUUUAUAUUUUGCUUUUAGUUUAAGGUUGGGGUUUCGUUUUCAUGUUUCAAAAAAACUAGGGGCAUUUUUAGGGAAAUUUUAGGGUAAUUUUUGGGGGAAAUUAGGGGAAAUUAUGGGAGAAUAAAACUUGGGCAAAUUGAGGGUUAGGGCUUCGUUUUCAUGUUUUAGAAAACUGUGCAUACUGUUGACACCAUCUUUCAAAUAUUAUCAAUCUACUCUAGCUGGCUAUGACAAUGUGGAAGACAUGGGAUGUUUGUGCAAAAAAAGGCCAAAUAAAUAAAUAAAAGGGAAAGCUAUGGGAUCAUACACCAAUUAGAGAAAAUAGAGAAAUAGGUUUUUUGAGAAAUCAAAAUUUUCACUUUUAAAAAAGGGUUUGUUACCCUUUAUCCCCCCAACCUAUAGCGUGUUUUGUACAUUACCCCCUUGAGUUCAAAAUCGAACAACUCCAUCAUUUAUAAUUACAUGCAAUGUUCUUUUUUUAGAGAAGGUACAAUUUUUUAGAUAGAAAGGCAUGUGCUCUCUACGUGAUUGAGGGUAAAAGUGCUUUUUUUUGCUAUAAGUGAGGGCAAAAGGGUCAUUGUUACUUUAAAACCCUAAAUUGCAGCCCUCCUCUCCCACGUCGACCGUUCCUCCUCUGUAGGUGCUAGUGAGGCCCCAAGUCAAAGCCCUAGAAUCCCAAAGAAGCUAAUAUAGGGUUGACAUUGAAGAGAAGAGAUUGAGUUCAACGGUUUUUUUUGUCUUCCAAUUUAUUUAAGGUUAAGGUUUUGUUUUGAUCUUUUAGAAAAUUUAAGAAUUUUUUUUGGAAAUUAUAGAAGAAUAAAACUCGGGCAAAUUGAGGGUUAGAGUUUUUAUGUUAGGGUUUAAACUUUUAUGUUUUGCUUAUAGUUUAAGGUUGGGAUUUUGUUUUCAUGUUUCAGAAAAAUUGGGGGUAUCUUAUUGGAAAUUUUAAGGUAAUUUUUUGGGAAAAUUUGGGGAAAUUAUGGGAGAAUAAAACUUGUGCAAAUUGAGGGUUAGGGUUUAAAUUUUUAUGUUAUGCUUUUGGUUCAGGGUUAGGGUUUCAUUUUCAUGUUUUAGAAAACUGUGUUGUUUGUAUUGAAUGCUAAGAUAUGAACAUGUGCUCUCAAAUUAAUUCUCUGCACACAAUUAAUUUUUUUGUUAUCAAAUUAGCUGAACCAUAUUGAAUGCCAAGAUAUGAACAUGUGCUCUCAAAUUAAUGCUCUACACACAAUUCAUUUUUUUAUCAUCAAAUUAGUUGAAAAUUAAUAAUCUUUAAUUAAAUGCAAAAUCCAAUUCGGUAUGAUUAAUCAUUUUAUGAAUAUAAUUUAAGUAAAAGGGUGUUUGGGAAAUCAAUUUAAUAAUUUAAUAUGACUUAAUAACUUAGUUUAAAUCAUUAAAUAUAUCAAACAUAUCUAAUAAAAUAAAUUAUUAUUACAACUUAAAGUUAUUUUUAACUUUAAGUAUUAAGUUAAAAUAGUUAACUUAUUCUUAAUCUCAAUUCUUUUUACCUCAUUUGUCCACACCAGUGAAAAUAUAUUUUAAAAUUAUAAAGUUAUCUUGUAUAUGUAAAAUACUUUAAAUAUACAUGUUUUACAAAUAAAUUUAUAUGUCACUUAAAAUUAGUGAAAAUAAAUUGAGUUAAAAUAAAUGACAAUAAACACUUGUUAAAAUUAACGAGGGUAGAUAUGUCAAUUGGAUUAUUUAAAAUAAAUUUUAAAUUAACUUUCUCAAACAACCUCAAUACUUCGAAAUAAAAAUGUGUUUUAAGUUAAUAACUAAAAAAUAAUUGAAUUUAAAGUCAACUUAAAUUAUCAAUCGAUCAAUAUUAAGUUUUACCGAACACUCUUUUAUUAACAUUAUAUUAAACAUGAUAGUCAUUAAGUCAAAUUUAUCAAUUCUUGGUUUUUUUUGGUUUGUAAUAUAUGCUUCUUUGAAUGACUUGGAACCAUUAGGCGUGCCGAAAUAUUGCUUCCUAAAGCAUUAUAUAUAUAUAGACAUAUAGGAUACUAAAAUUAAAGUGUUAAAAUUUAAUAAUGGCAAUCAGAAUCAUAGUUUAAAAAGGUGCAAGGUGCACUUAAUGUGUAAAAGUCUCUUAUAGUUUAAGCACAAGAUGCGACACAAGGUACGUACAUACCUAAGUGAAGUGAAAUGCCAUUUAGGAUAUAUGUCAAUUUUGUAAAAUAUGAUUCAAAAUAUAAUCCAAUCAAUAAAAAAAUAAUGAUAUUAUAUCAUUUCAGUGUAUAAUUAGAAAUUUCAAGAAUAAAAGAGUUUAAAAAGGAAAAAUAAAAUCGAUAAGACGCGUCUUUUCAAUAAGGUGCAUAUCUUGGUAAGCAAGGCAGUAUAAAGAGUGGUAAGCACAUCUUUUAAGACUAUGAUCAAAUUUUAAUAAUAAAAAAAAACUAUUGCAAGUCCAUUUUUCUUCUAUACUUCCCAUCUUCAGCGGUCUCCAUCGCCACUACCAGUGGUGUGAUGUUGGCGCCAUUUCUAGUGCCCCUCCAUCCAUUUUUUCUCCCAUUUUCUUCCUCCCAUUUUUUUUUAUUGUCUUCAUUUUUAUUAUUAUUAUUAUUAUUAUUAUUAUUAUUAUUUAGUUUUUUUGUUUUUAAAAAAGCCAUCAACCCUCAUCGCCAUAGGUGAGACCACCGGCCAGUGGCCGUCGAUGAGCCACUCUCGGUCGACGACCCUUUCCUCACCCAUUUUCCAUUAUUAUUAUUCAUUUUUCUUGAUUUGAUUUUAAUAGUAAUUGUUGUUUGUGAGAUUUAAAUUAUUGAAUUAAUAUGAAAUUUGAGUUUUCUUAAUUAAUAUGAAAUUUGGGUUAAUUUGUUAUUGGAGAAUUAAUAUGAAAUUUGGGCUAAUUUAUUGUUGGUGAAUUAAUUUGGAAUUUUUUAAUUUGGGUUAGAUUAGUUGAUAAUUUAUAUGAUUGUGCUCAUUUGAAUUAUUUAAUUUGGAUAUGAUAUAAUAUUGUGAUAUAUUUUGGAUGUGGGUUUGCAUAUUAAAUUGGGUUGAUUUUAAUUGUGGAUUUAGGUUUUCAUAUUAAAUUAGGCUUGGAUUAUGGGAUAUUAAAUUUAGGCCUAAUGGGAUUUAUUUUAAUUUGUCAUGUUUUGGGUUUGAUUAAUUGAACUUAUAUUUUGGCUAUUAACUUGAAAAUUCUGGAUUAGGGCCUAUAACAUGUGAGAUAUUUUUGUUGGGUUAUAUUUGCUAAUUUGGGCCCAUCUUGAUUGACAAAAUUUGUUGGACUAAUUUGAAAUUUGGAUUCGGGCUUGAAUAUCUAUUGUGAAUUUUAUAUAUUUCUAGAUAUUUACAUUUGGGCUUUUUUUUUCUUUUGCACAGGUCCAUUCUGCAAUUUUUUUUGGUUGAGUACGAAUUUAUGACACGUGGAGUGUGGAAUUUCAUGGAAGAAAGUGAGAUUCGAAAAUUUGUAGGAAGAUAUUGAGCUUGUUGUAAGCUUGUUUGGGUACACGUUUUAUUAUCUACUUUUAUUUGGUUUUAAUUUUAUUAGUUUCUGUAAAUAUUUGUUUGUACAUGUUUAUUUGUUGUGUACAGAAUUGAAUAUCAAGCAAAUCAUAAAUUUUUUCUAAAUAAUGGGGACAAUUCAGUAAACAUGUUUUAAUAAAAUAAUAGUUCGGACUUUUUUUUUAAUAAAAGAAAAUUUUUUUAUUAAUAAAAAUUCAGAAAAAUGCUUUUUGAAAAAUCUAAAAAAAAUUAUUUUUAAUAGAAUUUGAAAAAUUGUUUAAUAAUAAUUGUACAAAAAUUUAUUUAUUUAAUAAAAAUUGUCCAAAAAUUAUUUUGUAAAUAAAGUUGUCCCAAAAAUUAAUUUUUAAUUAAAUUUUUUCAAAUAUAUUUUUUUUAAUUAGUUCAAUAAAUCAAUUUGCAUAAUUCUAUUGUCAUUUAUUUUGUACAUUCUUGUAAUUUUAUUUUGUCAUCAUCUUUGUGUAUAUUGUUUCGUUCCUUUAAUCUUGGUAUCUAUGAUUAAUUAAUUAAUUGUCACAAUUCCCUUAAUUCAUUUAGUAGAGACCGUAUCUCUACGAGCUUAGAAGGGUGCUACGGCUCACCAUUGUACCUUCCCAAUAGGUAACCUGACCCCCAGACCCAGACUUGGUUUUUCACAUACCUAUUUUUCCUUUAGGAGUCACACUUAGGGUUUUUAUUUCUUAUUUUGUUUUUCCCUUCAAAAAUAAACCAAAAAUAAGUGGCGACUCCAAGUCUUUUUCUGAAAAUCAAAUUGUCACAAAUAAAUAAAAAUCUAAUCUCAUCAUCGAGUGGAAACGCACGUGAAAAACUCGGGUUCGCAAAAUGGCGACUCCAUUGGGGAUGUUUAAAGGGUCAAACUUGAACUCGAGUUGAGGGAAAUGUGACGUGUGAUUGGUCGAUCAGUAGAUACCCUCUCUAUGUGUCUUUUUAUGAUUGGGUGUUGAUUACACAUUGAGAGCUUUGAUAUGUUUAUCUGUGAUGCAUGUUAGGCUUUUAUGUUCAUUUGUGAUAUUGACAUGUUGACUACAUCAAUUGAUUCUGUUGCUUGAUUUAGCAUAUGACUCUUCUUGUUGAAUGAUUAUCUUGCUUUCCUUGACAUGUACAUUCUCAUUUUUGUAUAUCUCAUUCAUAUUGGCAUGAUUGAUUCUCUUUAUUUUAUAUUAUCUUAUUUAUCUCAACAUAUUAUUUCUUCUUGUUAUAUACCUUUUUUUUAUCAUGUUUCUUGCUUAGCUUGUGUGUAGAUAUGGAUGGCAUACCUGUUCUUUGCUUGAUUGCUUGUUGCAUGACUACUCUUCUUUUGUGUGAUGCAUGUGUUGCUUGUCCAUGUGGGGCACACAUCUAUCCCCUUACCUCCAACUCCCUAAUCUCGGUCGACUUUGUUUCCCUUGAUCUCACAUUUGAUACGAGACUUGUUACUUUGCUUGUUUCUUCGACUGAGCUAGUGAUUAGGAGUAAGAUCUAGUGAUGGGCUAUAUCUAUGUUUGGGAGCAUUCUAGAGAAGGUGGACAUACUGAUGCUGAUUGGAGUCCGAUCUUUGAAGACCUAUAUAGCCCAAAGCUAGGUUUCAUGGAUAUUUGUGUGACCAGUGUGUUUCUUUUUCUACUUUAGCUUCAUAGGUUUGUCAAAUGCGCCCACACUAUUCACUGUGCACUUUAGUUGACUAUUGAGAGCUAAGAGUUGUGAGAGUUUUCACCAUAAGAAACCCCUUGAGAUGUUGAGGUAGUGCAUGUGUGGAUGUGAUGACCACCUUACAUGGAAGUGUCCCGUCUAUUUAGAGAAGUGCAGGAGGUUACAUACCGCCAAAGGGUACGAUCGCUUCUUCUAGAGAUCCUUUAAAGUCCUUAAUUUUUUUUCUUUUUAGAGCCACCUUGGCCUUGUAGGUUGAGCCUUAGAUAUUUUGAUUAGGAUUUCCCUUCUUACACGUGGGUGCAUUUGAGAGCCUUCAGGGUCACUUUAGUCAUGGUUUGGAUCCAAUACUCCCUCUUCUGGUCUCCAAUUGGGAGUGCUUAGAUAUCGAUAUGAUUUUGAGUAUCAGUUGGACCACCCCUUCCUAUAUGGUUCUUCUUGUCGCUCAUUGAGUCUAGCACACUUUCUCCUUAGGCUUUAGAUAGUCUUCUUUUCUUGAUUCGACACAUUCUUUCAGUUUGUUAUCACUUUCUGCUUGACGUUUUAGGAUAUGCUCAUUGAUCAUGCUCAUUUUUUUACAUUUUUCACUUGUCAUGGGCUUGGUACUUCAUUCUUUGGUCGAUUUGCCUAUUUCUAUUUUCAACCCAAUAUUUUUAUUACAAGAAGGUGAAAGGCAUGUUUUUACAUUCACACCGUUUUUGAGAGAUUUGCCUUGAUCACCUUAUCAUUUUUCUUUAUGAAGCUCAGGUUGAAAGUGAAUUAGGGAUAUUUUGUUAUAAAUGGGGUAUCGAUCUCAUGACAGUGUUAUUUUUCACACCUUAUUCAUUUUUUGGAUCACUGAUAGAAAUUUUUUAGUCACAUUUGUAGCCAUUUCAUAGUGGACACUUUUAUGACUUUAGAGUCUCUGUCAUACAUCCAAUUUUUUAUUAUCAUCACAGGACCAUAUAUCAUGUGAUGUGUUGUACUUUUGACUUGAGGCAUCUAUUCAUUUGCACAUUGUGGUCUUGAGGUCUGACCUAUCAUGGAGGAUAUUGAGCUUAUUAACCUUGGAUUAGAGACUUGACCUAGGGAGUUCGAGACUAUGACCCACUUUCUUAUGAUCGAAGUAGUACCUUACUCAUUCCCACACUUUGACUUUGCUUCGGCCUACAUCCACCUAUUUUGAGCUUUACAUAGUAUAAGCCUUGACACCAUUGUAUGACCUUUCCAUCCCUAGCUGUUCUAGCUUUGCAUAUUCUCUCUUUCAUCCAACCAAGUAUAGUGUGAGGAGUUUGAGCCCAGGGUUGAUCUUGCAUGACGAGGGAUGGCUUAUGAUCUUUGGGUGGCUUACGAUGUGAGGAUUGGUUGAUUACCUUAUGGGACUGUCACUUAUUCUUCCAUGAGUAUAGAGAUUGAUCUUGUAUGAUGAGAGUUGGCUUGUGAUGAGCAGUUAUGCUUGAUGAGAUCGUUGUUUACUUUGCUUUGAGAGGAUUAUCUUUGAGAUUAUUAUGGAGCAUUUGGAGUGCAAUUUGGGGCAUAAUUCCAUAGGGUUGACAUGGUUAUAUCAUAUGGGCAUUGAUUUUCAGUAUCGAUCAUUUAAGGGUUGAGAACAUAAUGCUUGAGAUUGUGGUUGUAGGAUGGGUGGCCUUCAUUUCAGUUAGUGACUCGUCCCUACUGCAAUCAUGCCAUUUGAUUCUAGCCCAGACGAGUGUUAUCAACAAAAUUUAUAAAACCUAAAUCACCUUACACUAGGGUAGCAUAGCUAACAUAGUAUAGUGGCUCUAGGAUUGUAUAUAAGGAUGGGUUUUCAUCAUACAGUUGACUUUAGUGAAGAAAAUAAAAUGGUGUUUUUCCUUAUGAAAAUUAGCUUUUAAAGAAAAUGGAAUUGUAGUUGCAAAGAUUGAUUUUAAGUUAAGCAAAAAUAAUGAGUGAAGUUAUCUACAAAGAAAAGGUCUCUUAGAGCUUUAGGUCACUAGGAUCAGGUUCCUUAGGCAAAAGCGGAGAUUUUGGAUCUUCUCCUCGUGUUGGAGACAAUAGCAUAAAGGAUGGUUAUCUCCCGAACCAGUUUUAUAUUUAGCAAUUAAGAUUUGAUACAAAGGGUUCAUGAAAAAUGAUAGUUGCUUCCCAUUAAUGGCUUCAAACACUAAAGACUCUCACCUUGAACCACCUUCCAAUGACUCGUAAAGGAUAACUAAUUGACAUCCAUGGAUCUAGCAAUAAGCAUCUAUAGAAUCCGAAAAGCUUACCAAGUAUUGGCCAUUCAAGGUGCUUUUAAGGGAUUUAAAGCUAAACCUUAAAAUAAAAACCAUUAAUGGUUAACAACUACUUUAAUUUAAAGCAAGGACAACUCCCAUCUUUGCAUUCGGGUCUUUCACCUAGCUUCCAUCACUCCAAGAAACGUAAAACCUAGACGCUCAUCCCUUGAGAAAUCAUCCUCAGAGGUUGUUUGGUUAGAAAGAAAAGUGAAAACAAAAUGAGAAGGAAAGGUAGAGCAAAAGCUCUGCAUAUUUCCCCCUACUGGAUUUUUUUAGUGCUCAAUGUUUUAUAUAUCCCAAAUUAUACAAGAGUAUCUUAUAUAGAGAGGUCUUUCCAACCCCCCUUUACAAAAGAUGUUACCCAACAGAUAUAUAUGAAAAUAUCUAGGUUGAUUACAAGGAGAAAAUAGGAAAUUACAUAAAAAUAUCUGGAGGUAAAAAUGUAACGAAGUCGGUGCACAGGAAGAUUUUGCAUACCAUGCAAAAUAUCUAGGUUGAUUUCGCAUACAGUGUGCGAAAUUGUCUUUCACUUAGUCUUGCUCUCAGUCUUGCAGCUCCUCCUCCUCUUGAUUUCGCAUGCUAUGCAAAAUCUUCGCAUAACCAUGCGAAAAUGCUAGUUGGAUUUUUUCCUCUAAUUUCCUUUCUUGUAUCUUUGAUUGGCUUAGCAACCUAUUGCCAAGCUUGGAAAAGGCUAUGAAGUGCUCCAAAGCUCGAAUUCUUCAUGUAUUUAAGCUUCAACUAGCAUUGCCAUGGAUUUCACAAAAUUCUCCCUCUUCUUGGCUUGUUUCAAUGAUCUAAAAGCUACCUAAAAACACCAAAACUUGCCAAAAACUAAUUAGUAAUCCUUGCUAGGUUCCUUAAUGUGCCAAUUGAGUUAAAAGGUAUUAACUACUAUUCAAAAGUGUUUAAAAUAGUUAGUUUCAAGCUAUAAAACAGUACUUUUUGAGUAGUAAUUAAUCAGUUAGCUCACACCCUAUUACCUUUAUUAACAUCUAGACCAUUGCUAGCCCUUUGAGCCUCAUAUGAGCAUCAUAGCCUUUUCUUUUUUAUAGCCUUGCUCAUCUUUUACAUCGGGAUAGGGGCCUUCCAGUGCAUAUAUGUUUUAUUUGGGAGUCUCAUGAGCCAUAAACUUAUUGACUCAUCUUCUUCAUUAUUUUUCAUCAUAACUCUUUGUUGUCCUAUCAUCAUUUUUCAUCAUACCUCUUUGUUUAUAUCCUUUGUUCUUUCCUUUGUCUUUGUCAUCGCGUUUCUUUCUAUGCCAUGAGUGAUGAUCUUUCACAUUUCAAUGCAUGGAGGACAGUCAUGUCCCCUUCCACUCCUAUCUCAUGGACAUUGGUUCGGAGAUCCUUAGUUGAGAAGGUCAUUUUGUCAGAGAAAGUUUGUAUAUGUCAUUGUUUGAGAGUAUAUCCAUUUCAUAAUGUAUUCUUAGUGGAGUUAAUUUGAUUGUUAUUCAAAAUAUGCGCAGAAAAAAAAAUGAAAAAAAAAUGAAAAAAAGAAGAAGUAAUAAGCGCAUGUAUUUAUGUAUGUAUACAGUGUUAUUCUCCAUUGAGUGUAUAUAUUGGACAUUGAAAGUUGCUUUUUUUUAGUCAGUUGCUUAUGAGAGUUUGUAUGUGAACUUUCAAGAGGCUCUCAUCUUCUUGUGUUAAUCUAGUUAUGUAUUUUACGUGUGAGAAACAAGUGACCUUUUCCUAAGGACUCCAGAUCAUUAUCCUCUCCAUCAUUACAUACAUUGGUGAUUUCACUAUUCUCCAUGGCUUGAUUUGAGUGGAUUAGAGCUCAUUCAUUUUCCUUCAAUCUAUUUGUUCCUCUCAUGGCAUUUCAUUCGCCUUGCCUACAUUGUUCUUUGUUCAUAUCGAUUUGCAUUAUGUGUUCGAUAUUUUCCACAUAUCAUUCUUAUACAUCCCAUCAGCAGUUCAAUAUUCUUCAUUUUUUCUCUUUCAUCAUUGAUAUAUUCAUCUUGAAUUCUUUCUUCCUCACCGAUAUAUUCAUAUUAAACAUCCUCAUACCUAUGGUUUAUGAGACUCUCUACACAUAUUGCAUUUUAUACACGAGGGUAUGAGGUUUUAUCAUUAGGUAUUUGAGCCUAGUUUCCUUUCAUUUCUUUCACACUAUUACCAUAGCCUAUGUUAUGUCCAGGGUCUUAAGACCACCCUGAGGCCAUGAUAUCAUGCAUUGUGUUUUAAUAGCUCUUAUGUGAGCGAUACUUGAGACUAGUUCAAGAGCAUUCUGAUUGUGAUGGACCAGGAGUUAUAGUAUGACCUCACACUGGGGCAUAGCCACCUUAGAGAGUUUUUAUCGGGUAUGUAGUUAUCCUGCUUGAUACAUUGCAUUAGGGCGCACACCUUUCUUAGUCGAGGGUUGAUUUUUUUAGAUGACUAUUACACAGCGGCAUACCCCUCUCAAUUGAUGAUGGUUUUUGCGGCAUAACCAUUCUUAGGAGGUGAUCAUUUUCUUCUUUACAUUGGAGUAUGAGAUAUGACUGGGUGAUUUGAUUGGAUGUGUUUACACGGGAACAUAGCCCUCUCAUUAGUAUUGACGGAUUUUUGAGUGAUUGGAUCAUGGCGCACUCUUGUGAGAGCUAUAUUCGUUCUUGAGCAUUUUAGAGAUCUCCUUACACUAGGGCAUAACCCUCUCAUUAGCGAUUGAUCUUAGAAACAUCGGCUUACAUGAUCACAUCAAAGAGCAUUUUUGUUCAUACAUACCACUUUGCUUGAUUUUCCACAUUGGGAUUUGCUCAUUCCUUGGAGGAAAUCAGAUACUCCUAUCGUGUAACAGUACGAGAGGACUUCAGAGAGUAGAGAUUUACUUUGACUCGAUGAUGUAUCAUGGAUUAUACUCCUCUCAUUGAUGUUUUCUUUGGAAAUGCUUACACUGGGGCAUAGCCCACUCAUCAGUGAUGGAUUUUGUGAGAUGACAGUUUAUGCAAACACUUACUUCCCAGAGAUUAUCUUGUUGAUUACUACUUAAAAAGUGCUAUUUCAUAGCUUGUAAUUAACUCUUUUAAACACUUUUGAGUAGUAGUUAUUGCCUUUUAACCCAAUUAACAUGUUAAGGACCAUUGCAAUCAAUUCUAAUCAAAUUGUGUUAAGUUUUGGUGUUUUGAUAGCUUUUUGAUCACCAAAGCAAUCCGGGAUUGAGGAGAGUUAUUUGGAAUCUAUGGCAAAGCAAUGGAAAGCUCAGAAACAUGAAGAACCGAAGCUUUGAAGUCCUUUUUCAUAAGCAAAUCCGGAAUGCAAGGAGGGGAAGCAAAGAGAAAUCUGCCAUGAAGCAUUCUUGAUGACAGUCAUGUCAGCCACUUUUGGAGCACUUCCUGGAAUUCAAUUUAUGCAUUCUAUAUGUCGUUUCGAAGCUCAGGAAGUCAAAAAUUCAAUGCUUCAAAUGGUGUGCGAUUCAGAGUUGAAAUGAAGGAGUUACAGCCAUUGGAAGCCAAUCACUUCAAGCUGAAGAAAGAAUUUUGUACGACUGCGAAAUCACCCUUUUGCUGCGAAAUGAUUUCGCAGUACCAAGUGUUAGCUUAGGUGACUCCAAGGUGUUUUAAGUUAGCUAAAAAUAUAGAAAUCACUAAAGGAUCACACUUUCUCUUCAUUCAUGGCUGAAACCACAAAGCUACUUAUUCUUGCACUUGGAACCUUUCCUAGAAACCUUAGCUCCAAGGAACUAAAGGUUUAAUUACUCAUUCUCUGGGGAAACUUCCUCAGAGAGUGCAUAACUAGUAAAUAAAAAAUACAAUCAAAGUGAGAAGGUAAGGCAGAGCAAAGGCUCUAUAUUUUUUUUCUUUCUUUCAAACUUUUACAAAGGGUUCAUCCUCUUCAAGAACAGGCUCCCGAGAGCUAUUUAUAUGAAAAUUACAAUAAUAAUUAUUACAUGGAUAUUUACCCUUUUUCCUAACUUAAUAGCUAAGGAAUCCUAUAAUUGGUAGCUUACAAGGAGAAUUUGGGGACUUAGACAACAAAAAUUUGAAGAAAAAUAUCCAAAAGUGUCGGUCGCAAAUAUCGGGAAGCACUAAGGACCAUUUCGCAGGUGAAAACGAGGUCUGCGAGAUUUCGCAGACGCACAAAAAGGGCUGCGAAAUCACUUCGCAGCAAAAGGCUGAUUUCGCAGUGUUGCGAAGUUGGCUUUUAGCUUGUGGUGUUCUGCUUCCAACGUGUCGGUCACAAAUAUCGGGAAACUUCAGGAGGAAUUCCACAUCACUGUGCAAAAUGGCUGCGAAAUCAUUUCGUAGCAAAAGGGUGAUUUCGCAACCGUGCAAAAUUCUUCCUUCAGCUUGGAGUGAUUGGCUUCCAAUGGCUGUAACUCCUUCAUUUCAACUCUGAAUCGUACACCGUUUGAAGCAUUGGAUUGUUGACUUCCUGAGCUUCGAAACGACAUAUAGAAUGCAUAAAUUGAAUUCCAGGAAGUGCUCCAAAAGUGGCUGACAUGACUAUCAUCAAGAAUGCUUCAUGGCAAAUUUCUCUUUGCUUCCCCUCCUUGCAUUCCGGAUUUGCUUAUGACAAAGGACUUCAAAGCUUUGGUUCUUCAUGUUUCUGAGCUUUCCAUUGCUUUUCCAUAGAUUCCAAAUAACUCUCCUCAAUCUCGGAUUGCUUUGGUGAUCAAAAAGCUAUCAAAACACCAAAACUUAACACAAUUUGAUUAGAAUUGAUUGCAAGGGUCCUUAACAUGUUAAUUGGGUUAAAAGGCAAUAACUACUACUCAAAAGUGUUUAAAAGAUUUAAUUACAAGCUAUGAAAUAUCACUUUUUGAGUAGUAAUCACUCCCCCCAACCGACAUAUUGCUAGUCCCUUAGCAAUGAAGGAGAGAAAAAUAAAAAUAAACAAUACUAUAAUUUACAACAUCAUGCUAAUUACUUCAAAAAAUUUUAAGUGGCAUGAUGAUCUAACUCUCACAUGGAACAUUAAAGAUAUAUAAACUCAAAUUUCAACAAUAUCAAAAACUUUGCUAAACACUAUUGAUCAAGGGAAUGCAUUAUGCAAAUUGAAGUUUGAACAUCAUUUUCACUUCCACAGAACCAAACUUUAUUCUUCCACAAAAAUCUAAGUGUAAGAUGAUAGUUUCCGAAUAUAGCAUGCUAAACUAAUCUCUCCCCCCAACCUUUCUCCUUUCAAUACUUAGCAAACUGACCAAAUUCAAUAGGCAGAGAACACACUUUUUUUUUUUAGAAGGUACAAGGCUUAAGGGGUAUUCUUUUCUAAAUUGUCCAUGUAACGGGGGUCCAUCAAUGACUCCCAACCAAUUAAGGUUUAGGGCAUCAAGCUUUAAGGAUUUUUCAACCACUAACUCCUAGGAUUUUACCCCGGACUUUUGAGAAUGAAUUUUUAAUACCCAAUCACCUACCAUAUGCUAACUCCACCUAUCCACCCUUGUAACGAGCAUUGAGGUCGGUGACUCCCAACCAAUUAAGGCUUAGGGCACCAGGUUUUAAAGAUUUUCACCAUAUACCCCUCAGACCUUGCUCGGGUUUCAAGGCAAGCAAACAUUUUGCUUUAUUUCUCUUUUUUUUUUUUUUUCAAAGGCUCAUUGGCCUUUCAUAAGGUGUCUCACAUUAUUAAAUGAGGUCAAAGGUACCAAGUCCCAAAAUUUUCCUAAGUCAAGAGGGAAAUAGUUUUUCAUCUUAUAAUCGGAAUCUAUUGUGCACAAUGUGUGGAUAGCUUAAAGCGGAAGAACUAAACUUGAUUUCAAUAGAAGCUUCAACAAUUGAACCACUUUAGUAAGCAUAAUCCAAACUCUAAGUCAAGUGGGAAAUAGAAGUUCAGUUUCUCCUGUUUUAAUUUGAAAAUUUUUCUCAUGAUCCAUGGAGAUUAGAGUAAAAAGUAAAAGACUACAACUAAUUUACCAACAUAACUGAAUUACCAAAAUAACUUAGCAUACUUCCUUCCUCAUUUCUUCCCCCCCCCCCCCCNNNNNNNNNNNNNNNNNNNNNNNNNNNNNNNNNNNNNNNNNNNNNNNNNNNNNNNNNNNNNNNNNNNNNNNNNNNNNNNNNNNNNNNNNNNNNNNNNNNNCCCGGGGGGAUUGGAAAAAAAAAAAAAAACUCCAAAAUUUUUUUCCCAAAAAAGGAAUUUCAAAAAAAAAUUUGGAAAUUUUUUUUCCUUUUUUUUUCCCCCCCCCCCCCCCCCCCCCCCCCCCUCCCAACCGAGCUGAGCAUUGUCCUCAAUGUGAUAUGGGUAAUUGAAAUUAUAGGGAGGAAGUGCUACCUCCUGAGUGAUAUCAAUUUCAAAUAUUGAUUGGAGAAACCACAUGUUUCAAAAAGAAUAAAAGAUGUGAGAAAAGGAAAUAAUAGUAAAUUAAUGCUAAGAGCUAACAAAAAAUGCUAGACUUGUAUUACUUUUAAUUCAUGUGAGUACAAUCGGAAAGAAAGCAAUACAAGCAAUCCCCAUAUAUGAUAUCAAAAUGAUGGGAUUUCAUAAAAGACUAACAAAAACGAAAUACAUAAAAGAAAUAUAUAGUAGAUAUAUAAAUGAUCAGAUGGGUGGAUGAUGUUGGAGAUGAUGGCCUAGGCAGAUGGCUCUGCCUCUUCAAUAGCUGAUUCAGGAGGGGCCUGAGGCUCUGUGGCCUAUGAGUGUGGCACUGCAGUGGUGGGGGUGAGAUGCUCAGCAGCCGAUGGAAGACUGAGAUGAUGCUGGAGCUGCCUCAAGAUGGUAGUGUGCUGAGCCUGGGUGGUCAACAUCUGCUCCUGGUAAGCUCGAAUAGUUGCCAUCUCCUGAGCAAGGCUGCUCUGAGACUCGGUCAGGGUCUGCAGUAUGCGACAUAAAUCUCUAUACUCUGAAAUGGGAAUGGCCAUCCUUGGCUCAGCUAAAGUAGAGGGCUCUGAUGAGGCUGGAGUAACUAGAGGGGCUCUGGAUAUGGUAGGAGAAGUAAUGGGUAUACCCUCAGGUAUAUGAUCUGGAGAUGCUCUCCUGGCAGCUGGUAUCGCAGUUGGCUGUGGGAGCUCUGGCUGCUCAAAUCUAUAUGUUGUCAUAUUGGUCCACUUUUCGAGAGUAAAUACCUCUCGGCAUAUAUGCUUGCGUUCCAGCUGAGGAUCUGAUGGAUACCCCAGAUGCUUCAGAAUCUGACACAGCAGCCGUGGAAAAAGAAGUGGAAUGGCAUCAGCUCGCUGCAGCUUCUUAUGCACCUUCUCUUCAAAAUAGAGAAAGGCAACCAUAAUUAGGUGGUGAGGGCCAAAGAAAUAUCCCUCUGAAAUCUUGAACAGGGCCUCUAAAAGAACUCCUCUCCUCCGAGUCCAAUGCUGUAGUGGAUAAAUGUUGUGACGCAAGAGUGCAUCAAUGAGAAACAUUCUCGGAGAAAGUUCCCCCCUCAUUAGAUGUGGAUUUGUGGAAGCUCUUCUGGACAAGAUAUGAACCAUUUCCAGCUGAGAGGGACUAGUCCAUACUCGGAAAUCCUCAAAAUGGCUUGGCUCGUAUGGUAUAUGUAGGGCCUCUGCUAUAUGGCAAGCUCCUAAAAUGCCAUGCCGACCGUCAAUAGUAAAAUGGAUUAGAGUAGGAUCUCUAACCUGAUUAGUAGUCAUGGACUGAUAAAAAUCCAUGGCUACUCUAGGAUAGAAGAAAUCUCUUGGGGUCAGCAGAUGCUCCAUGCGAUAUCUGCGCAAUAAGUGGAAUGAAUCUGCAAGCUCCGACCUCAAUUUGAAGGUGGUUGUGUCAAAGCACAGCUCAGAGUGAAAUGGUUGAGCUCGGUAGUCCAAAUUUCCUUCAAUUGGUGGUUGAGUCAGCAUCGGACGCCUGAUUAGCACUUCAGGAGCUAUCCCAGAUGGAAUUUGGGAUUCUGAAAGUGGCGGUUGGUGCUCCUGAGGCUCCGCCGAAGGCUCUGACGACGGCACCGAAGAUGGAGCCUGAGAGGACUCUGGUGAAGGAACCAGGGACUGCUCUGUUAAGUCUAUGGGCUUUGAGCUUUCGACCCUGGCUCUCUUUUGCAGGGGACGGCCCCCUGACCUAGUGAAAUAAUGCCUCACCGGAGGAUUCUGUGGUGCGGGCUUCGCUUGAGGCUUUCGUGGUACGGGCUUCGCCUGAGGUGAAGCAGCUUCUGGCCGCGAAGGUUCAGAGGUGGGGCCUUGAACAGGCGCCUCUCGCGGGACUCGUUUGCGGCUGGAAGGAGAGGAAGAUUUGGCUCCUCUGGUUCGCGCCAUAUCGGGUUGACGAAAUUUAGCCAAAAGUGAUGACCGGAAGAGAUGACCGAAGAUUCGCGCGUCGUCGGGCUCGGGCAAGGAAAUGAACGGACGGAUGCUAUGGCGUUUCCUCUUUCUGAAACCCUUUCGCAACUCAAAUGACCGGUAUUUAUAAAAAAUAACGGAAUAUUAAUGGUCAUUUUGAGUUUCGCAGAAGAAAGCUGAUUUCGCAGCAAAAGGGGGGUUUCGCAGAAAAAAGCCCAUUUCGCAGCCCAUUUCGCAGCUUCAAAAUUGGGGUCACUGUGCUGCGGAAUGGCACUCGUGUGCCAAAAUCGAUUUCACAGCUGCAAAAUACCCUACGGAAUGGAGCUUUGGAGCUUCGCAGCCAAUUCGCAGCUUCAAAAUGGGGGCUCCUGUGCUGCGAAGUGGCACUCAUGUGCCAAAAUCGGUUUCGCAGCUGCGAAAUACCCUACGGAAUGGAGCUUUGGUUGCGAAUUUGGGAAUUUUCACGCUUUGGAGCUUCGCAACCGAUUCGCAGCUUCGAAAUAGGGGCUCUUAUGUUGCGAAGUGGCACUCUUGUGCCAAAAUCGGUUUCGUAGCUGCGAAAAUUUUCACAGAGAAGUCAAUUGAGUUGCGAAAUGGUUUCACAGCGAAGUGCUAAUUUCGUAAAGGAUUCUCUUAGGCUGCGAAGUCUCGCAGAGCCCUGUUUUUGCUCUAUUUUUACUCUAUUUUUGCUCUGUUUUUGCUUCAUUUUUGCUCCAAAAGACUUCCUUUCAAUUUCUUUGCAUUUUCUCUUACCUGAGAUCAUUUAAAAAGACUAAAUUACAUAUAAAUACACAAUUUAAGAUCAAAAAUUAAAAUCAAAAGUAUGGAUAAAACUUUGAAAUUUACAAAAUUUACAAAAAUUUUGGACUUUGGUGAAACCAAGUCCAUCAAACCCUUAUUUGCUUAGGCUUUUUGUGGCUCAAGGAGGUUGAUUUCCUCCUUUUCUGGUUUGAAUGACUCCAUGAAUGGCUUGAGAUGAUAUCCAUUGACUCUAAAGGUGUCAUUGCCAUUGGAAUUCAAUAAUUCCACCACUCCAUUGAUAUGUACUUGGUGAAUAAUGAAAGGACCUAUCCACCUUGACUUGAGCUUUCCAGGAAAGAUAUGGAGUCUUGUGUCAUAGAGUAGAACUCUUUGUCCUUUCUGAAAUUCUUUGUUGGAGAUUAGUUGAUCAUGCCACUUCUUCAUCCUCUGUUUUGCAACUUUGGAAUUGAUAUAAGCAUCAUUUCUUAAUUCCUCCAUCUCAUUAAGGUUUAAACACCUCUUUGCUCCGGCUCGGAUCAAGUCCAUAUUCAACUUCUUGAUUGCCCACCAAGCUUUGUAUUCAACUUCCACAGGGAGAUGACACGCUUUUCCAUAGACAAGACGAUAGGGAGACAUGCCAAGAAUAGUCUUAUAAGUUGUUCUAUAUGCCCAUAAUGAAUCAUGAAGCUUAACAGACCAAUCUUUUCUGCUUGAAAUCACCACUUUCAUCAAUAUGUUCUUUAUUUCCCUGUUUGCUAGCUCAACUUGCUCGGAAGUCUGAGGAUGAUACGGUGUAGCUACCUUAUGCUUCAAUCCAUACUUGGCUAAUAAAGUUUCAAAAGGUUUGUUGCAAAAAUGAGUACCUCCAUCACUGAUUAUGGCUUUGGGCACCCCAAAUCUUGAAAAAAUGUUCUCUUUAAGAAACUUGAGAACCACUCUGUGAUCAUUUUGUUUACAGGGGAUUGCCUCAACCCAUUUAGAAACAUAAUCCACCCCCACCAAGAUAUAAGAAUUACCAAAAGACAUUGGGAAAGGUCCCAUGAAGUCAAUGCCCCAUACAUCAAAUAGCUCAACUAUUAGAAUGGGGUUCAUAGGCAUUUGAUUUCUUUUUGUUAGCCUUCCAAGCCUUUGGCAUCUAUCACAACUUCUACACAUGAUGUGGGCAUCUUUGAAAAGAGAUGGCCAAGUAAACCCUGAUUGCAACACCUUCAUAGUUGUUUUCUGAGAGGCAAAGUGGCCUCCACAUGCAUUCUCAUGACAAUGAUUUAGAAUCCCUUGUUGCUUUUCUUCAAGGACGCACUUCCUUAUGAUCUGAUCUGCACAAUACUUAAAAAGGAAGGGCUCUUCCCAAUAAUAAGCAUGAAUUUUUGCAAAGAAAUGCUUCCUGUCUUGUGCAUUCCACUCACUUGGAAUUUCACCAGUAACUAGAUAAUUAGCAAUAUGAGCAUACCAAGGAGUUUUCACUAAGAACAUGAGUGAUUCCUCAGGAAAGUCAUCAUUAAUAGGCAAGGCAUGGGAAUUAUGUGCUAUAACUAAUCUUGAAAGGUGGUCAGCUACCACAUUCUCCACUCCUUUCUUAUCUCUGAUUUGGAGAUCGAAUUCUUGUAACAAAAGAAUCCAUCUAAUCAACCUUGCUUUUGCAUCUUGCUUUGUCAAUAAAUACUUCAAGGCUGAAUGGUCAGUGAAAACAAUGAUGAAAGACCCUACCAAAUAAGCACAAAAUUUGUCCAAGGCAAAUACCACAGCUAACAAUUCUUUCUCUAUAGUUGUGUAGUUCCUUUGAGCUUUAUUCAAUGUUUUGCUUGCAUAGUAGAACACAUAGGGCUUCCCGUCUUCUCUUUGGCCAAACACAGCUCCUAUAGCAAAGUCACAGGCAUCACACAUCAGUUCAAAGGGUAGUUGCCAGUUAGGGGCCCUCACUAUUGGAGUUGUUAAAAAUUUCUUCAGUUGAUCAAAGCUAUUUUGACAUCUUUCAUCCCAUAUAAACUUAGCAUCCUUAGCUAAGAGCUCACAAAGAGGUUUUAAAAGACUUGAAAAACCUUUUAUAAACCUCCUAUAGAACCCUGCAUGGCCAAGGAAUUGCCUUACUCCUUUUACAGUUGUUGGGGAUGGUAAUUUGACAAUAAGCUCCACCUUUGCUUUAUCAACUUCAAUGCCUUUUUCGGAGAUGAUAUGGCCAAGGACAAUUCCUUGACGUACCAUAAAAUGACAUUUCUCCUAGUUGAGCACCAAGUCUUUUUCAAUGCAUCUGUGAAGAACCGCUUCUAAAUUGACUAAGCAUUCCUCAAAUGUACCUCCAUAUACGGUGAUGUCAUCCAUGAAAACCUCCAUAAUUCGCUCCACCAUAUCAUUGAAAAUACUCAACAUACAUCUUUGAAAUGUUGCAGGUGCAUUGCAUAAACCAAAAGGCAUUCUUCUGGAAGCAUAUGUUCCAAAUGGACAUGUAAAAGUGGUCUUUUCCUGAUCUUCCAUAUCAAUUUCAAUUUGAAAAUACCCUGAAUACCCGUCCAAGAAACAAUAGAACAGAUGGCUAGAGACUAUCUCCAACACUUGAUCGAUAAAUGGCAAUGGAAAAUGAUCUUUCCUGGUUACAGCAUUCAACUUUCUAUAAUCAAUACACACCCUCCAACCUGAAGUGAGGCGUGUAGUAAUUUCUUCUCCUUUUUCAUUCUGAACCACAGUAAUCCCUGACUUCUUUGGUACCACUUGAGUAGGACUCACCCAAGGGCUGUUAGAUAUAGGGUAAAUAAUACCUGCUUGAAGUAGCUUCAACACCUCAGCUCGCACCACCUCUUGUAAAUGAGGAUUCAAUUUUCUUUGAAGUUGACGAAUUGGCUUAGCUUCCUCCUCCAUAUAUAUAUGAUGCAUGCAAACUAAAGGACUAAUGCCUUUCAAAUCAGAUAUUUGACAUCCUAUUGCUUUCUUACACCUCUUGAAAACUUCCAGUAAACACUUCUCUUGAUGACUGGUCAGAGAUGAAGAUAUUACGACAGGACAUUGAUUAUUUUCUUCAAGGUAUGUAUAUUUCAGCUCCACGGGUAGAGGCUUCAAAUUGAGUUUUGGUGUCUCUUUCUCAGCAGCCGCUCCUUCUUCUUUAUUGAACAAAGGUAGAAUCUCUUCUAUCCUCCUCCAACUUUGUAGAGUAGCAAGCACAUUAGAGGGUUCAGACAAACCUUCCUUAAAAUCCACAAAACUUUCAUUCAACUUGUCUUGCAUAUUCUGAUUACAGUGCUCCUCUACUAGAGUGUCAAUAAUGCACACCUCUUCUGGACCCUCUUCUUCUUCUGGAGUGGUUUGCUUUUUAGACAUAUAAAAAAUGUUGAGAUCAAGUGUCAUGUUUCCAAAAGUGAGUUGCAUGAGCCCAUUCCUACAGUUGAUGAUUGCAUUUGAGGUAGCAAAGAAUGGCCUUCCAAGGAUGAUAGGAACUAAAUUAGCUUCCUUUACAGUAGGAUUUGUAUCAAGAACAAUAAAAUCCACCAGAUAGUAGAAAGUAUCAACUUGAACCAAGACAUCCUCAAUUACCCCCCUUGGAAUUUUUACUGAUCUAUCUGCUAGAGAUAGAGUAAUUGUUGUUGGCUUCAACUCACUAAGUCCCAAUUGCUUGUAGACAGAGUAUGGAAGCAAAUUCACACUUGCUCCCAAGUCUAACAAAUCUUUCUCCACUACCUUUCCUUCCAAUCAUGACUGAAAUGGUCGGACUUCCCGGAUCUUUGUACUUCAAAGGAGACUUACAUUGUAAGAUUGCACUUACUUGCUCAGUUAAGAAGGCUUUCUUAUUUACAGCCAACCCUCUUUUGAUAGUACAUAAAUCCUUUAGGAAUUUUGCAUAUGUUGGAACUUGUUUAAUCAUAUCCAACAGUGGGAUAUUGACUUUCACUUGUCUCAAUACUUCAAGAAUUUCAGAUGCAUUUCUAAUCCCCUUUUGCCCAUGCAAUGCUUGAGGAAAAGGUGGAGAAGUUGAUUUCUUCAGCAUUUCUUCCUUCAGAAGUUCCUUCUCUGGAUUUUCUUUCAUUGUUGACUCAUAGUCCUCUUUCUUUUCACUGAUCUCUCUCUUUUUGUCUUCCAUUUCCUCCCCUUUCUUUGUCUCUUCUUCUUCCUCAACAUGUGCCUUGGGUGUUGGCUUCUCAAUUUUUUGAUCACUCCUUAGAGUGAUCAAGGCUUUGACAUCUUUCAUCUGUGAUGAUUCUCCCUCAUGGCUUUCCACUUCAUGGACACCCUUGGGGUUUUGGUGAGGUUGAGAAGGAAAUCUUCCCUUUUCUUGCAAUGUGUUCAAAUUGGUGAGCCUUGAGAUUGAGUAUUGGAGAUUAUCUAUCUUUUGGGAUAUAUCAUUUUGCAUUCCAUCCAUCCUUUUGUUCAUAGUACUCUCUACUCUGUCAAUUCUUUGAUUAAGUUGAGCAUUGAUGGCUUUUUGGUCUCCAACAAAAUCUCCCAUUACCUUGUUGAGAUUCACUAUUGCUUGUUCAAGACUUGAAAAUUGUUGAGAUGGUUGAUCCGGCUGUUGGUACUAAGGUGCUCUGGCCUUCCAUGAAAAAUUUGGAUGAUUCCUCCAACUCGAGUUGUAAGUAUUUCCAUAGGGUGCAUUGUUAUUGGGCUUGAAUUGUCCAACAACAUUUUCUUGAUCUCCAAACAUUUCCCUUUCAGCUGAGAUUGUAGGGUAUUCCUCCACCAAGUGUUCAUAUGAUUGACAAUUAGGACAAAGUUUCACUUGCACCGGUGCUUCAGCAACAGCUUGCACUUCAUGCAUCUUUUUCAGCUCCAGCUCCUCCAAUCUUCUUGUCAUAGCUGCAAACUUUGCUUUCAUAUCAUCAUCUUCUUUCAAGGUAUACAUCCCAACCUUAGCAUUGAAAGCACUCAGUUGAGACUUCAUCUUUCCCACUUCUCCUUUGAUUGGUUCAUCCCAUCCCCUUGAAACUUCAGCUACAUAACUCAAGAAAUCCAUAGCUUCCUACGGAUUUUUGCUUAUGAAAUCUCCUCCACACAUUGUCUCGAGGAGUUGCUUCAUUGAGGAAGACAUCCCAUCAUAAAAAUAGCUCACCAAUAGCCAAGUAUCAAAACCAUGGUGAGGGCAAGCAUUUAUAGCUUCCAUAUAUCUUUCCCAACACUCAGAAUUUCUCAUUCUCUUUAGCUGAGAAGUUUGAAAUUUGCCUUUUCAAGCCAUUUGUUCUAUGUGUGGACCCGCAUUUUUCACGUGCGUCCCCACUCGAUCGGCGAGACUCGCUUUUUUAUUUGUGAAAAAUUAAUUUUUGGAAAAAGUUGGAGUCGCCACUUAUUUUAUUUUAUUUUAAAGGAAAAAUAAAACAAGAAAGAAAAACCCUAAAAUGUGACUCCAUAAUUUUUGGAAAAAACAUGUCUUUGAAAAACCCGAGUCUAAGUCCGGGGAUCAGGUUACCUAUUGGGAAGGUACCUUUAAAAGGUAGCACCCCUCUAAGCCCUUUAAAGGUCUCUACUAACUAAGUUAAGGGGAAUGUGGCAAUUAGUCGGUUUAAUUAUGGAUACCUAAGUAGGCUAGGUGGUUCCAAAAAAAAAGCAUGCCAAACAAGAUCAAAUCAUAAUAAAGGAAGGUUAGGAUGCGUACCCGGACCGCUUCUCAAACGCUAUCAUAAAACAUCGAUGGUUAAUUUAAACAAUAUAUCAUCCAACAUGCAUUUUAUUAGAAAUAAUCAAACAAUGAAACAUGUAUAUCAGAACACUCAAGCAUUAUUAGACAUAAGCAUUAUUUCACAAUGACAAGCAUAUUCACAGAAUUCAGAAAGUAGGUGAUAGAGGACAUACUUGGAUAGCAUAGAUAAUUUGUAACGUACUUCCUCAAGUUGUAAGGGGUAAGAUAAUAAAUAAUAAAAUAUAGAAAUCCUAGCAUGCUCGUUAUCUAAUUAGCAUAGCAAAAGUGAUCACAGUAUACAGAAUCAUCAAUUAUCUCAUACAUCUUGUAUAUAAUUCCUAAAAAAAUAGAUAGACAUGAUUUCAACAAGUGUCAAAUGUGGCAACAAAAAUAAAUUUUGAAAAGAUUUUCUUAUGUAGGGGUUUCACCAAUUCCCCAAAUUAGUAUACACGAAUUUAGCCUAGAAUUAUCCCAUUUAUUUGGGACCACAAGCUUUGAUUCGUGUUUUUGUUCAAAAUCAAAAUUUUUGUUGAAAACCGAGAAGGAUGCAAACCGAACAAGAUAUGGUUGCAUAUUAUUUUUUUAAAAUAAUAAAAAAAAAAGAUUUUGAUCCUGAGGACUCUAAAUGAGUUUUUGAAAUAGAUUUUUAAAAUGAUUUUUUUGAGAAAAGUAUUUUAUUUUAAAAUAAAAGGAAUUAAUUUGGGAAAAAAUAAAAUGAAAUAAAAUACUAAACAAAACAAAAAUGAAACCUCAAAGUAAAAAAAUUUUAGUGAUUAACAAAAAUGAUAAUGGUGAUGGUAGAGGCCAAUCUUCAUGGUUUUCCAAUGGCCUCAGAAAGAAAAUCAAAUUAAAUGAAGGAUCACUAACAGGCAAGACAUUCUAAAUUAGACAAACUAACAAAGUAUCAAUUCAUGAACUAAUCGCUAGAAUUUUAAAAGCAUAUAAGCUAAGAUAAGGGUGAUCAGGAACUAACAUUAAUGAUUUUGAAAUAAAAACUAAAAAGGGAUCAAUUCGGGUAAGGAACUAAAAUUAUAGAAGUACCUAAACUAAUUAUAAUGAGUUUGACUAAAUUAAACUAAAAACAUGAACUUUCAAACAUAGAAUUAAUUUUACUAAUGAACCAAAGCAAACUAAAAAUAUGUACUUUCAAGCAUGGAAUUAAUGUUAUUGAUGAACCAAAAAUUGUGAACGUGUCUAAACUAAAUAGAUGAAUUAAAUUAAAUCAAAGUACACUAAAAAAACAUGAACUUUUAAAUAAAGAAUCAAUUUUGUCAAUAAACUAAUAAAACUAUAAAAACACAUAAACUAAUUAAAAUGAACGAAAUUAAAUCAAAGAGUACUAAAAAUAUGAACUUUCAAACAUGGGAUCAAUUUUACUAAUGAAUUAAAACUAUAAAAAAACACCUAAAAAUAAUGAAUAUAAAUUAUUAAAUCAAAGCAAACUAAAAACUGAAACUUUCAAACAUAGGAUCAAUUUAAUUAAUGAACUAAAACUAUAAAAACACAUAAACUCAUUCAAGCUAAACUAACAAAUAAAUUAAUACCAAAUUAUAUUACGACUUAAAAAAAAUCCACUUCAUCUAAUAAAAUUGAUUAAGCUACCCCAUUAGAAUAAAAAAAUGCAUUUUUAAAAUAAAACAAAUUAAUAAUUUAUUGACUAAAACUAAAGUAAUCGAAAUUAGAAACAAGAUGCAAUUUUUCUAAAAGAUUUAAUCAAACAAUUGAAUUAAAAUUAUGAAUAUAAUAAAUUAAUAAACCAAAUCGAAACCUCAACCCUAUCUAAGAAAAUUAAUUAAUUCAACUAAUAGAUCAAAAGUAACAACGAAAUUAAACUAAGUAAAUUAAGACAAAGCCAAUUAAAUUAAAAUCACAAACACGUUUAAACUAUCAUAUGGAUUAAAACAAAUUAGCAUGGACUUAUGAAUUAUGAACCCGUAAAAAAAAGACAUCUAAUGAAAAGAAUGAAAACUCUUUCAAAAACUAACCUGUGUUAUGGGAGAAAAAUUCGUCUUUAAUGCGUUGAAGUGGCUACUCUAUUAAAAUUUGAAAGCCUCUGUUACUUCCCUUCCUCCAGAAAAUUCUCACUCCUUUACGUAUCCUCUGCUCCAGCAAAAUAAUAUCCCCCCAGAAAAAAAUCCCUCCUUUGCUCCAGAAAAAAAAUAUAUCUCCCCAUGUGGAUCCCCCUGCCCCUGUUUAUAUGGUAGCACUUUCCUUUUUUUUUUUUAAUAUUCUAUUUCUUUUUUGAAUGCAUGUGGAUCCCAGGAAAGUGCAUGCAUCAUGGCUUAUGAUAUACGGUGGAAUUUACAUGAUUGCCCAUGCCCAACUUGGAAAUUUUGAUCUGAUGGGCUCAGAUGAAUCUGCAUUUGAGACCCCAACCUGCAUAACACUCCUCCAUCAUCUGAUUUGAAUGCCUUUGUUCCCGCCAUCUCUCAAUAUAUUACAAUCCUUGAGAAUCAUUGAUGCUGUCGACGAAGAGGAAGUCAUCGAAUCUGCACCCUCUGAGUAGUUGGUUGAGUCUGCACACAAGUGAUCACGUGAUUCCCUGCCCGAGAGUUGCUCGCUCUUCACGAUUCGUUGCCAAUGACUGGGCCGACACCGGAGACUCCGUCCCAUUAGAUCGUGGUGGUCGAUCGCCAGCGUUCCAGUCAAGGAGGCGAAGUCUGAGGCGUUGACCACUGCCGCAGCUACGUUGAGAAUGCUAUGAAAUCUCCCGAAGGGACGUCGGAUCUGGACGGUGGUGAGGGAGGAGUGCAGCAGUGUUGCAGGUAGAGGAGAUCACAUCGUCGGAGAGGUGGCGUUGGUGAGGGCAUUCGCGAUUAUGUUCUUUGAUGGAUUCAAGCUUUUUUUGUCACUCGCGAUCAUGGUUCUUCCGCUCUGAAUCGCGAUCCUGGUCUCAGUUUCUGGAAGAGCAGUGGUGGCGGUUAUGGUGGUGAUGACGGCGGAAGCCAUUGGAGGCGUCUUCGUCCAUGUUAGAUUUGGUCGGCGAUGGUGAGAAGUGCAGCAGUGUUGUGACAUGGAGAUGGCGGAAAGAAAACCAGAAAAAGAAUCGUGAUGAAGGUGUGAUCUCCUGUUCUCUAAGAAAAUGGGUGUCCAAGGGAAAGAUGGUGAUUCCAUCCUUGAGUAUGAAGGUUAUGGAGCUCCGAAAAUGGGUGUUUGAUGACCCUUUCUCACUUUUUCAAUGAAGAAUUCAAGAAAACGCCCCCUAGUCUUAUUGUCGAUGUGGUGGUUUCUUUUUAUACCGGCAUCAAAAGUCACUGUAAUUCUCUCUGUCAUUCAUUCUCGGGUGUGAUGUGAAUGCUCCCUUGCUCGCGUGUCCUUCACGCCAGAUCAUCCUCUCUAGAGACUUCCAGAGAAACUCCAAAAAUGUCUGACCUCCCAUGCCCUCCUCAUGUGAUAGCUUCAUCAACUUCAUCCUUCUUUAAAAUUCCUCUCCCCAUGCAAAAUAGAAUAGAAUAAUAGUAUAAAAAAAAAAUUUCAGAAAACUAAUGAAAUUAGUAAUAAAAUAGAAUAUGAUGUCAAAGAAAAAGCAAGGGAAUAAGGAGAGAUUAGAUAACAUCAUUUUUCUCAUUCAAUAAUAGGGUCACAUGCGUAUUUAAAGUAUAAACAAUUCAAGCAAUUUUUUUUUUAUUAAGUAAAUAAAUAAAUAAAUAAAAAUAAAUAAAAUGAAAUAUAUAAAGACAAUUAAAUACAUGAAUAAAUAAAUAAUAAAAAGUAAAAGUAAAAAUGAAUAGACAAAAUAAAUGUAAUUAUCAAAUGCAUGCCAUAAUAAUAAUAAUAUUAUAUAAAAAAAAUAAAAAAUAAAAAUAAAAUAAAAAUAAAAAAUAAAAAAUAAAAGUUGAGCCUUAAUGAAAUGUCUAAAUGGACCUAUUCUAAAAAAGGUGUCUAAGUGACCUAAGUGACAUGUGUGUAAGUAAGGAGGUGUCUCGGUGCGAGUCAAGGUGAAUCUAGGUGGGCCUAGGGUGCCUAAAUGGACCUAGGGUGCCUAAAUGGGCCUAAGUACCUAAGUGGGCCCAGGGUGCCUAAGUGGACCUAAGAUGGUGCUUAAUGGGCCAAGUGUAUCUCAAAACUAUCCUAAAAAUGAAUGGAAAGCCUAAUUCUAAAUUAAGGCUGCCAAAGGUCACAAUAAGGGGUCAGAUAAUCCCUCAACCAAAGUCUUCGAGGUGGCUUAAAAAAGGUAAGUAGUAUGAGUGGCUAUGAGCCAUCGAAGAACUACUGUAAAGUAUCAAAUAAGUAUCUAAUAAGACAUGUGCUAGGAGGAUAAAAUUGAGGGUCUACACUAUGAGUGGGAAAAAAAUUCUUGAGGAAUUCAGCUUGUAAGUCAGUCCAAGUGCGGAUACUCCUUGGCCUUAAAGAAUUAAGCCAAAUUUUGGCCUUAUCCUUUAAAGUGAAAGGAAAUAACUUAAGCCUCAUCAAAUCAAUUGAAGCUCCUCCCUCUUGGAAUGUAUUACAAAUAUCUUCAAAUUCCUUGAUAUGUGCGUAGGGAUUCUCACUUUCCAUCCCAUGGAAAGUUGGUAGAAGUGGAACAAUAUACGGUCUAAUCAAUAGUUGCUCUGUAGGGGGCACUAUAUAUGAUGGUGCACUCAUACGAGGUGGAUGCAUGCGGUCCCUCAUUGAUCUAAAUUCAUUGAGAUUGUCUUGACGACCCUGGUGACUAUGCUAAUCUUCAAGUGUAGCUUCCAUGAUAUUCAAGCUCAAUUCCAAUUCCUUGUUAUGAGGUGUAUCACGUUUAACAAGCCUUCCUCCACUGUCUCGUAUCCAAUUUGGCAUACACAACUAGUAUCUAUCUGUAACUAAAAUGAAAAUAAAGGACAACAAAAGAAAACAUGGCUACAAAAACAAAAUAAAACUAAACUGAAUUUUAAAAGAUAAAUUUAGAUUAUGAAUAAGUAAAAAAAAUGAAAAUUAAUAAAGCAAAAGAAACGUUACCAAAUUUGUGAUGAAAAUCACAAGUACUCUAAAAUAGUAUCACUAUAAACUUGACACCUUCCCCGGCAAUGGCGCCAUUUGAUUCGUGCCCAAUUGGUGUCACAGUUGAUUCAUGUCCAACUGGUGCUCAUUGAUUAAGGGAGUAAUCAACAAAAUUUAUAACCUAUUACACCAUAUACUAGGGUAGCAAAGAAAAAGCUACUACAGCAUAGUGGUUCUAGGAUCGUUCACUGGGAAGGGUUUUCAAAUUACAAAUGAUACAAAUUCAAAGUGAAUUGGUGCUGUUUCAUUUCAAGGUUAGCUUAAGAAAUAAAACACAAACUUUGGUUGAAAAAUGUUUAGAUUUAAACUAAGGGCAAAGCAAGUAAUGGAAAUUACUUAUGAAGAAAAACAUUCCUUGGAGAUUUAGGUUCACAGGGGAGGUUCCUAAUGCAAAAACAUAGCUCCGGUCAGUUGGUUCAUUUCCUCGUAUUAGAGAAUUAACAUAUAGUCAAUUCUCUAACCGGUGUUGUACAGAUGCAUCCCUUAAUUGGAUUUCAACUCUAAUUCUCUCUCACUGAUGCAACUUGCAAUGGUUCGUGCCUCUCACUUAGCAUUUACCAUUCAAGGUGAUCUUUAACCUUGGACUUCCCUUCUCAAGCUCGCAAGAGAUAAUUAAUGGAUGCCUCCUUGGAGUCCAAAAGCUUACCAAGUGUUGGCAAUUCUAGAAAAUCCUACCUUCAAGUCACUUCCCAGAGGCUCGCAAGGGGUAAACUAGUGCAUCUCCAUGGACGGAGAUCACUUGCCUUACCAAGUGUUGGCCCAGGUGACUCCAAGGCUUUUUAAGUUAACUAAAAAUAUAGAAAUCACUAAAGGAUCACACUUUCUCUUCAUUCAUGGCUGAAACCACAAAGCUACUUAUUCUUGCACUUGGAACCUUUCCCGGCAACCUUAGCUCCAAGGAAUGUUUUUCUUCAUAAGUAAUUUCCAUUACUUGCUUUGCCCUUAGUUUAAAUCUAAACCUUUUUCAACCAAAGUUUGUGUUUUAUUUCUUAAGCUAACCUUGAAAUGAAACAGCACCAAUUCAGUUUGAAUUGGUAUCAUUUGUAAUUUGAAAACCCUUCCCAAUGAACGAUCCUAGAACCACUAUGCUAUAGUAGCUUUUUCUUUGCUACCCUAGUAUAUGGUGUAAUAGGUUAUAAAUUUUGUUGAUUACUCCCUCAAUCAAGGAGCACCAGCUGAACAUGAAUCAGCUGUGACACCAAUUGGGCACGAAUCACUUGCAUAUAGGGCUUAUUCAUUUUGAGAGGAUGUAUUCAUACUAGGGCGUAGCUACCUUGCUGAUUUUGACAUUAAGACUCGACCUUCUUUUAAUGAUUGCUAUUUUUGAUGGAUUAUAGAGUUGUUGACACCCUGGGUUCAGUCUUCUCAGCAUACUUGGUUCGACUUGGAUACCCACUUUUCUUCGUUAGACAUCCAGACAUCCUACAUUUGACACCAUUAUACCUACAUCCAUCUUUUCAGAGCCUAACAAAUAUUGAGCAUGCUUAUCUCACUAUUGAGCAUGACCUUAUCCCUUUCUCUUUAUCAAGGGAGGAUGCAGACCAAUCUUGAGUUUUCUGGUCAAGUUUUCAGAUGCCUCUAGACAUUAGGUUCAACAUCUUCCAUGAUGGCAUGACCUAUUAUAUUGUUUAUGUAUUUGUGAUGAUGUUUUCGUAUUGAUAGUUGAUAUAUUAUGUCUUGUUUUGCUUACAUUUCAGACUUGGAGUCUUGGUUAGCAUUUGUCUAGUCCAUUAUUUUAGUUUUGCUUUGUCAGUAUAAUUUCUAUGAUGUAUGGUCUUGUUUAAGCAUUUAUUCAUUGAUGUUAAACUUUUUCAUUGCAUCAUCGUUGAGCAUAUCCUAGAGUGUUUUAUAUGGUGACAUUCUGUGUCGUAUGUUAGUUACUAUUUUACAUUGGGGCAUACCCCCAUCCUUGAGUUCAUCAGAUCUUUUGCAGAUUUUCUCACUGCUCGAUCUAUUUCUUGAUCUUUGCAAGUCGUCAUACUGAGGCAUACCUCCUUUAGCACUCUUCUAUUGGGGCAUACCCCUCUCUUUGGGUUUAUCACAUCUCAUGCUGAUUUCAUGGUUGUUAGACCCAUUUUUCAAUCUUUACGAGUUAUCACCUAGGGCAUCCCCCUACCUUUAGUUUGUUUGGGACAUUCCAUUUCAUUUAGCUUGUUUAGGGCAUCAUCCUACCAUCAGUUUGUUUAUGGCACUCUUUUUUUUUUCUUCAGUUUUUCUGGGGCAUUCUCCUACUAUUAGUUUGUUUAGGGCGCUCCCUCCUCCCCCCCUCCCCCUUUUUUCUUCAGUUUGUUUAAGGUAUCCCCCUAUCGUCAGUUUGUUUAGGGCAUCCUAUUUUCUUCAGUUAUCUAACCACCGUGGAUUAGACGUCCAUAGGCAUUUCAAUUAUCUUACCACCAUGGAUUGGACAUUCAUGGGCAUUUUAGUGAUUCUCACCACCAUUGAUCAGACAUCUAUAGGCAUUUCAAAUUCACCACCAUAGAUUAUCAUUUAUGGGUUUUGAUCAGUUUUCACCACCAUAGAUCAGACAUCUAUGUGCAUUUCAGAUUCCCACCAUAGAUUUUCAUCUAUGGGCCUUGAUCAAUUUUCACCACCAUAAAUCAAACAUCUAUAGGCAUUUCAGAUUCACCACCAUAGAUUAUCAUUUAUAGGCCUCAAUCAGUUUUCACCACCAUAGGUUAGACAUCUAUGGGCAUUUUAGAUUCACCACCAUAAAUUUUUAUCUAUGGGCCUUGAUCAGUUUUUACCACCAUAGAUUAGACAUCUAUGGGAAUUUCAGAUUCACCACCAUAGAUUAUCAUCUAUGGGCCUCAAUCAAUUUUCACCACCAUAGAUUUUCAUCUAUGGGCUUUGAUCAAUUUUCACCACCAUAGAUCAGACAUUUAUGGACAUUUCAGUUUCACCACCAUAAAUUAUCAUCUAUGGGCCUCGAUCAAUUUUCACCACCAUAGAUCAGACAUCUAUAAGCAUUUCAGAUUCACCACCAUAGAUUUUCAUCUAUGGGCCUUGAUUAGUUUUCACCACCAUAGAUUGGAUAUCUAUGGGUAUUUUAGAUUCACCACCAUAGAUUUUCAUCUAUGGGCCUUGAUCAGUUUAUCACCACCAUGGAUCGAACAUCUAUGGUCAUUUUAGAUUCACCACCAUAGAUUGUAUAUUUAUGAGCAUUUGUUACAAUUAUCUCACCAUCAUAGAUUUUCAUCUAUGAGCAUUUGUUUUAGUUAUCUCACCACCAUAGAUUGGACAUCUAAGGGCAUUUCAGUCGAUUUACCACCAUAGAUUUUCAUCCUUGAGCCUUUGAGAUUAUCACCACCACAUAUUUUUAUCUAUGGGCCUUUGAGAGUUUCACCACCAUAGAUUGGCAUCUAUGGGCAUUUCAAUUGUAUCACCACCAUAGAACUUCACCUAUAGGCUUUCUAAUUUAGCGUUUAGAGUUAGCUUUUUAGUUUGGCUUCUAGAGCCAUUCUUUUCUCAAUUUAGUGUUUAGAGACAGUCUUGCCAUUCAAAGCCACAACUCUUGAUAUUCAUGAUCACUAACAUUACAUGAUUUGUUCUCACAGUUUCAUAUUCCACCUUACUUCUCUCUUCGUUGAAUAUGUGCUUCUCACUUCAUUAUGAUAUUCUAAAGUUUCUUCUCAUCUUUUGUGUAGGAUAUAGCUCUGUGAGCUCGUAGCAUGUCUUAUUUGUAUUGUUGGAUACCUUAUGCCUUGUGUCCUUGUAUGUUACAUGUAUGGUUUUUUCCUUUGUACACUUUCGUUCUUGUGCUCCUUGGUGGUUUGAUUGCUCCUCGACUUCGACAUCAAUUUUUGAGUCAUUUUUUGAGACUUUUAUGAGGGAGUAUGGAUCCAUAGUGUAUCUUUAGAGGCACCUUAGGAGUUUUCGUUAUUGCCAUUUAUGUAGAGUUUUAGAGCCUCUUUGUUCUUGUUUUGGUCUAAGAAAGCUUGUGUCAUACGAGGACAAAUUUGGUGGUCUUUCUUAUUCUUUGGUAGAGCUCACUUUGUUUUGCUUAUGUAUACACUCACUUUACUCAUGGACUCUACCGAAGAAGGGCAUAUUUGUAGACCCCAAAAUUUGUCCCAAUUUUAUUUUUACAUUAAUUUUUAGCCUAAUUUUACUCUUAAAAUUAAAUCCCGAUUACAUAUGAUAUUUUGGCCCACACACAAUUUAAUUAUUAAUUUUUAUUAUUUUGUAUAUUAUUUUAUUAUUAUUAUUAUUAUUAUUAUUAUUCAUUUGUUUGUGUGAUUUGAAUUAUUGAAUUAAUAUGAAAUUUAAGCUUUGUUAAUUAAUAUGGAAUUUGGGUUAAUUUGUUAUUGGAGAAUCAAUAUGAAAUUUGGGUUAAUUUAUUGUUGGUGAAUAAAUUUGGAAUUUCUUAAUUUGGGUUAGAUUAGUUGAUAAUUUAUAUAGUUGUACUCAUUUGAAUUAUUUAAUUUGGAUAUGAUAUAAUAUUUUGGUAUAUUUUGGAUGUGGGUUUGCAUAUUAAAUUGAUUGAUUUUGGUUGUGGAUUUAGGUUUGCAUAUUAAAUUAGACUUAUAUUAUGGGAUAUUAAAUUUAGGCCUAAUGGGAUUUAUUUUAAUUUGUCAUGUUUUUGGUUUGAUUAAUUGAGCUUAUAUUUUGGCUAUUAAUUUGGAAAUUUUGGAUUAGGGCCUAUGACAUGUGAGAUAUUUUGUUGGGUUCUAUUUGCUAAUUUGGGCCCAUCUUGAUUGACAAAAUUUGUUGGACUAAUUUGAAAUUUGAAUUUGAGCUUGAAUAUCUAUUGCUUAUUUUAUACAUCUAUAGAUAAUUUACAUUUGAGCUUUUUUUUUUUUUUUGCAUAAUCUCAUUCUGCAAUUCUAUUGGUUGAGUAUGAAUUUAUGACACGUGGAGUAUGGAAUUUCAUGGAAGAAAGUAAGAUUCGAAAAGCUGUAGGAAGAUAUUGAGCUUGUUGUAAGCUUGUUUGAGUACACGUUUUAUUACUUACUUUUAUUUGGUUUUAAUUUUAUUAGUUUCUGUAAAUAUUUGCUUGUAUAUGUUUAUUAGUUGUGUAUAGAAUUGAAUAUCGAACAAAUCAGAGAUUUUGUUUAAAUAAGAGGAACAAUUCAGUAAACAUGUUUUAAUAAAAUAAUUGUUCAGAAAAUAUUUUUUUUAAUAAAAGAAAGUUUUUUUAUUAAUAAAAAUUCAGAAAAAUGCUUUUAGAAAAAUCUAAAAAAAAUAUUGUUUUUAAUAGAAUUUGAAAAAUUGUUUUUAAUAAUAAUUGUACAAAAAUUUCUUUGUUUAACAAAAAUUGUCCAAAAAUUGUUUUGUAAAUAAAGGUUUCCCAAAAAUUAAUUUUUAAUUAAUUUUUUUUUGCAAAUAAAGUUAUCUAUAUAUAUAUAUAUAUAUAUAUAUAUAUAUAUAUAUAUAUAUAUAUAUAUAUAUAUAUAUAUAGAAAACAAUUGUUUUCACCAGAUUUUUUUUUUAUAAAAAUAAAUAGACUCAUUUAAUCAUGUUUUCUAAAACUUGGUUUUAUAAAUUAUUUUUUGUUGUUUAACUUAAAAAUAGUUUUUAAAAACAAAUUUUAGAAAACAUCAUCAAACGGAUCUUUAAUUUUCGUUCUUCUAUGGAGGCCUAUUCCUACCUAUUCUAAAAAAUAAAUUUUUAUUUUUAAAAAAUAAAAAAAUAAAAAAUAUGUUUAACAAACAAAAAAACAUAAAACAUUUCUUUUUGUUGAAAUGAAAUGUUUUGAAAAUUGACGUACGAAGGAACAGUGGGAGCCCCCCCUCUAAAUGGACCUUUGUUUCAAGAAUCACUAAAAACGCUUAAAAAUGGCCCUUCUUUUUCUUCUUUCUUCGCCUUUGAAUAAUAUAAUAUAAUCCAAAAGAAGAUUUAGAAGAUGCGUAGAUGAGGAGUAAUAACAUGCCCAUGAAACUCAUGCUACACAGUUUAUGAGGUAGGCAUUGGCUAAAUUCAAUGUUACAUCUCUAACAAAUAAGACAUUUCAAACAAAUGAAGAAUGGACUGAUGGCCUACAAUAUGUAUUUUAUAAAAAUUUUAAAAUCAUAUUUAGCAAAAACUUAAAAAGAGAAAAAAAAAAAAAAAGGGGGGAAACUUGUGUUUUAGGUCGUCCAUUUGGACAUAAUAGGUUUUUCUGAACCUAAAAGUUGGAAAUCCAAGAUUUCCCCAUUAAUAUGGAAAAAUAUAUGAUUUUUAUGCACUCUAUGCUAAGUGGUCUUUUUAUACCCACUUUACCCUUACCCAAUCUCCAUAUCAGCAUCCAUGUUGCAUUAUUGCAGUCUGAAAUUUCCCAAACAACAUUUCUCUCUUUCAUUGACUUCUUCAUCACCCGAACAGAGUGUCAUUUGAAAUUUCCCUAUUUCCGAAACAAGAUUUAUGUCUUCCUCUCAUUUUUGCCUAACUUGAACCUGAGACGGUUGAUUCAACGAAAGAAACACAAGCAUUCCCCUCAAAUCGUCUCUCUCCUACUCACUGACACACCUACCAUGGGCAACACCUCUUCCUCACUAUUGUCGCCGUAUUUUCUAUUUCCACCUCUAGAUCCAACGCUUCCACCUUUCUCUGUUACCUCUCUCAAUGUUCAAAGCCUGAACCUCUCUGGUGAAAUAUUUGCUAGUGAAACUUAAACUAAUAAUAUUUUCAUUUUGAGGUUAAAUUUAGAGAUUUUUUUUUUUUUUUACUUCGUUACUUUCUAAUGCCUCCCAUCUUCGUCAUUACUGAUAGGGUUGUUGAAGAUGGAAGACACUUUUGUAAUGUUUUGGAAGGUCAACUCAGAAACAAAGGCCCAAUUUGUUCUCGUAUCUGUACUUUUAGCAUGGAUAUCGGUUCAGUGAAAACCUCUUAUGUUCUUGAUCUCACAAUCUUGUAGUGCUUCUAUUCCUUAUGAAUUUUCCAUUCAUUUUUUUUCUUUUUUAUAUGAAUGACUUUACAUGUUAUAUUAUAGUCAUAACUUCUUACAAAUGCUAGCAUGGAUUGGAAGAGGUUACUAUGAUGUUGGUCAGUUAUAUUGGUUUGUAACUUUUAUUUAUUUCUUUCUCACAAAUAUUAGCACUGAUGUGGAACUAAUUCAUUAAUUGUUGUUCAUGUUGAUAGUACUAAUGCUAAUGUUGAAAGAAGGCAACAAGGAAAAAGUAAAAAAUUAUUAGUUUGGAGCCUAGUUGCAUGAAUCCCUUUGCCAUUGUUUAUAUAAAUAAGGUUAGUUUUUCAUCUUAAUACAAUGUUUAUAACAAUAUAUUGCUAUAGUUUCUAACUCAAGGUCUUCUUUUGGUUUUAACUAAAAAAUAUGCAGCGCACUACUUCUUAAUUGCAUCUCGAUAUGCUCUUCCUCCCUUCAACCAUCCAAAUCCUGCUCCUAUAAAGAGUGAAGAUAGAAAUGAGAGAUUAAGGAUUUGAUACCUAUUGAUGUUAUAUAUGAAUUAUUUUAUUUCAUUGUUUCUGUAUCUUAUAAUUGUUUUUCUACUUUUGUAGGUAUUUAAGCAGUGACUUUAGUAAUCACCCCCUAUCAUACCUCAUGGCCUCUGUAUUUGGCAUGCACCACAAAGAAAAUGUUAAGGUAUGUUGCUAGUGAACAAUUCGACAUUCCCAAUCUAAGAACCUGAUCUCACUUGCCAUAUGCAUUGCUAGUAUGCAUUAGAAUGUAAAAGCUUCCUUUUUUCCUGUCAUUUUUUAGUGUUAGGUGUUUUGUUAUGCCUUCAGUCUAAAUGGUUCAACUUAAUAGAGACAUCAUAUUCAAUCAAAAGCCGAGCACUUUUAGAUGGUUUUACCAUGUCAUUUGAUAUGAUUGACAAACUGAUUAAUGAAGACAAGAUAUAGCUCCUUAUAAACCUCAAUGGUUAUACCAAGGUAUAUAGUUUUAGUAUGAUGUAAUUGCUUUUUGUUAACAAUGUAAAUAAUUAGGUAUCAUCUUAGUUUACUCUUUAUUUAUUUUGUUGGGGCAUAUAGUUAUGGUAUCAGUUACCACACAUGUUUAAAGUUGAAUGCUCUUACUGAGUUUAGUUUGUGAAAUUUGUUUAUAAUGUUUACCAUUUAUUCCCUCCAGCUUUGCUAUGAGUUUGGUGAGUAUAUAGAGCCCAUUAGCUCAAAAACUGUUGUCAUUCUUAAAACAGUAAAAGGUUUCUCUGGAGAAGAACCCAAAACUCAAGUCCUGUGCAUGGCUAUUUUUUUUAUGGUUGGUUACUCUUCCCCCUACUCCUAAAUGGGUUAUUAAAGAUGACCAUUCUUCACACAGUGUAAAUACUAUAAUAUAGAAUUCACUAACCUUUUUUAAUGCUCUCAUGGCCUAAAAUUUUGUUGCUUUUGUUUAUGAGGUGAAUUCUUAACUCAUUUGUAAGUGUUAUGUAUUAUUAUUACUAUUUCACUUGUUUACUUUUGUUUAGAGGUUUAGAGUUUGACUGUAUAUUUAUUUAUUUGAUUAUGUGAUUUUAGGUCUCAAAAUAGGAACUGGUUUUUGCUCUAAAAAUAGAAAUCACAAAUAGAUAUAUUUAAAUGGAGUAAUCUUGCAAACUAUGGUUUAACCUUACUUUUCCUAUGAAAAUUGAACUUAUUUUUAGGAAAAAUAAAAGUCAAAUAUAAUUUUUUUUACAUUUUCAAAGAUGCCAACGUUCAAAUAUUGAUAAUUCUUAGAAAAAUGAGAUUUUUUUUAGAUUGUUUUUUUUUCUUUUUUGUUUUCAAAAUGCCUAUAUUUCUUCUAGGGACAAACUCCUCUACAAUAUAAUAGGUUUCAUAGAGGAGCAAGAAGCUCUGGUGGUGAAGUCCUAGAAUUCAAUGAAGAAGAAUGUUGGAGAGUUGGGUCUUAAAUUCUUCUUGAAGUAAAUCAAAUUUUCCUUAUUCUUCUCUACAUGUUGAUAAUUACCUUAUUUCUUAGAGAAGGGGUUCACCUUUGCUUUUUGAGGCCUAUACCUUAAGUACUACCUUAAUAGCCCCUAGGUACUACCUUAAGGGACCUUAGGUACUACCUUAGUUAAAGUUGGGUUCUACCUUUUCCAAGCCUCGGACCUUCCUUUGUGACCCUUAGACCAUGCCAUUAUAUGAUUCUCUUGUGUGAUCAAGUGGUUCACCUUUGGUUUUUUUUGCGGACUAUACCUUAGGUACUACCUUAAGGGACCUUAGGUACCACCGUAAUUAAAGUUGAGGUCUACCUUUCCCAAUCCUCGGACCUUCUUUUGUGACCUUUGGACCAUGCCAUUAUGUGAUUCUCUUGUGAGGGGAAGGGGUUCAUCUUUGCUUUUUUGAGGCCUGUACCUUAGGUACUACCUUAAUAUCCCUUAAGUACCACCUUAAUAUACCUUAGGUACCACCUUAAGGGACCUUAGGUACUACCUUAAGGGACCUUAGGUACUACUUUAGUUAAAGUUGGGUUCUACCUUUCCCAAGCCUCGGAUUUUUCUUUGUGACCCUUAUACCAUGCCAUUAUGUGAUUAUCUUAUGUGGGCAAGUGGUUCAAAGUACAAUUAUUCUAUCCUCUCCUGGGAUUGGUCUCCUAAAAGCUUAAGACCAAAGUACAGUGCCACUUAGACCAACCAACUCCAAAACCAGUAUUACACUACACACCACAUUCCCCAUCAAUCUCUCAAUCUCUUCACUGCACUACAAUACAAGCCAGUGGGUAAUUUGAAACCAUAUACAAAAUUGUUCUCCACACAAAUUCCAUCCCAGCCAACAUCUUUCCAAUUUUCUAUAUUCUUUUUUCUUUUCCACCUCUUAAUACAUGUUUCAAUUUCCAUGUUCAAAAUUGUGUCUUUGUGUUUCUGUUUGUGAGAGUCGAGUCCCAAUAUCAAUAUCCAUAUUUUUUUCCUGUGUGGGAGAAAGACAGAGUCUCAAUUUCAAUGCAACAAUGUUGUGUGUGAGAUAAAGAUAUCUAUCAAUAAAAUUGUACCCACAAACCACACAGGUCAAGUUUCAGAUAUGAACAGGAUUUAAAAAUACUGUUUCAAUUCACUUAAUUAGAAACUUUAAUCCAAAAUACCCGGUUCCACAUUCAAAUUAAUUGGUACCAGAAUGAGCCCUGCCCCACUACUGUGUGUGCCUGUUUUUUCCUUCCUCUUUUCAUAUUUUUUACUUGAGCAACUUCAGGGGAAAAACAAAAGAUAAAACAAAGAGACAGCCAAAAUGCUGGAUGCCUACAAAGCUGAGAAUUAAAAUGAAGACAGAAUAUCCCCACAGGCACCAGCAGCGUACAAGACUAGCAUUUAAACCCAGAUACUGAAGUAAGAAGUAAAAUGCCACUGCCACCAGAAGUGCAUAUCCAUAGAUUGAACAAAAGGGCAAAUUCAGAUAGCCGACAUUAAAGCUCCAAGUUGUACUAUUGUUACUCCGUUUCUUUGUCAGGUAGGUGGCAUAGUUUCCAAGGGCAACAAUCACAAAUAUUAGAAACAUUAGCAUCAGCAUAAACCAAACAGAUGUGGAAAUGAAGUUACAGUGGACCAAAUGAUGAAAUGCUUCAAAAUUCUUUCAGGGAUAACAGAGAAGAAAGGGAAAAUUGUUGGUUCCAGCCCAUUAAGGUGGAAAUACGGACAUACCCAGGAUUUAUUGCAUUAAGUAGCACCAUCAAGAACAUGUAUGAAAUGGCCUACAUACAAUAGUAGUAUUAUCAAUAGAAUAAACCAGAGUUUGAAGCAUUAAUUUGGACAAAGUUCCCUGCUCCAAAAUUUGAAGAUUUCAAUUGACAUAGUGCAAGCUUUCAGAAAAUCAAUACAGUUUAUAUUAUGGUUGCUAGAAUACACAAAAAAGUUACAAAAAUUAAGAUUUUGAGCCAUGUAAUUAAUUUUCUAAGCUUUAGCAUCAAAAACUAUUUUAGUGUCACUUUCAUUUGGUGGAGUAAAUUAACUUCUUUGAGUUUCACAUAGUAUUCACUUGUAGAAAUUGGUCAAAGCUGUGUAUAUUUAUUUCCAAAUGAUGAGAAGGCAAAGACAAGAUUCUAAACCAUUAAUAUAAUCUUUUCAUUUUAAUAUAACAAUAUCAUGCACAAGCAACAAUUUUCCCCUUUUCCUAAGAAGAAAAGGAGACCCUAGAAUUCCAGACAAAUAAUUAAAAAUUUAUUUUCAAAAGUCUAUAUCUUUAUUUCCAACUGAACAUAAGGCAAAGUCAAGAUUUUAAACUGUUACUACAACAACAAUUUUUCAUUUUAGAUCUUAGUUCUAUUAGCACAUCCAUAGAGAGACGACAUGGACCUGCAUUAUGAACACAUAAUGAAUAGGAUAUAGAAACCUUCUAUGAAACCGUAUGCAAAUGGUAGGAUAAAUGAGGAACACUUUUAAUCAAUAAUAUCCAUAAGACAACCAAAAUAUCACCAUAAUGUUUUUUUCCUCUUAUUGCCCUAGGGGCUGAUUCCCUGAUAGCUGAAAUGAACUUGUCAUGUAUAAAACAUUUCCACCUCUUCUUCCUCUGGACCUCUGACCAUCCCUUUACUACCCUGGGUGCAUUCUCAAAACCCUCCUCAUCUUCUUUAUUCUCUGCCAUGCCCCAUUCUAUGGCUGCACGACAACCUCUUCAACUCCUUUCAAUCCUCAGCAUUCCUAAUUCACUUGCCAUAAUCCUAAUGCUUAGAACCCAAUCAAAUACAACCAAAGACACUAUCUUCUCAAAUUCAAGCACUUUCCAAUGAUUUCAAGUCAAACCCUGAUUUGAAAUCCAAUAGGUCAUACACUGAUUUAUGCCUCAAAUGUGUGGAACCCUUAUAGGGGUUUUGCCAAAUUAUUGGCUAGCACAGGCUAUAGCCAUACUCUUUUGUUUAUAUGGACCAAAACUCGCACCAUCAUCAUUCCUUUUAUCACAGCCCUGGAUUUGCAAUUAUUCACAAAAAGUAUUCCCAACAAAUAAAUUUGCUCAUUUCUUGUUAACAUGCUCUACAUCAAAUAGAGCAGAUUGUUUAUUUGAUAAAACUGUGAAGGAGUUUGCUCUGUUCUUGUUUCUCUUCCUCUAUUUCUUCUUCAUGCAAUUUUUCAGCAUGGUAUUCAGCCACUUUAAGCUUGUGUAAACUUUUCAGCCACUUUAAGCUUGUGCCACUUUUCAGCUACUUUAAACUUAUGUAGACUUUGUCAAUUUAUUCUUAGUAAUUUUCUCUUCCUCUAUUUCUUCUUCAUGCUAUUUUUGGUAUUCGGCCACUUUAAGCUUGCUUUGGUAUUCAGCCACUUUAAUAUUAUUAUUAUUUAUUUUUCUAACUUCUUUUGUCCACGUCUCAAUUUUUAUCAGAAACUGAUUAUAGAAUAUCAACAUGAACCAUACUGAAAUAUUGGCCAAAAUAUUGAUAUUGAUUUGUCCAAAUGUAUGUUCAGUAAGAUUUCAGAAUUGACACUCAUUGAUAUUGAUGGUAAAUAGGCAUAUCAGCUUAUCCUACGACCAUGUAACAUAUGCUCCGACAAUCUAGCAAGUGGUGGCAUAAUUCAAUUUUUUUUACACAUGGAAGUUGUCAGUUACCUCUCAUUAAUAAGCCAAUCCAUGUAAUACCACAUCAAUGAUCCAUAAAACCAACGAGAAAAAAAGAAAGAAAGAAAUAAAGAAAGUUGAAGUACUCAACUGAUCAUAUUUUUUGAAGUAAUCCGAGGAGCUUUGAUGGCAGCACCAAUUAAACUACUUCCAGUUAUAUAAAUUCCCUUAAAAAUACAACAAUAACGCAACCAUCAAAACAAUGAUCCAACAAAAAAAGAAAAAGCAAAUAUAAUGUAUCAAUUUAACCUAAACCUCCGCUAGUUUGACAAGAAUGAAAAAAAUUUACAGCAUUACAACAUUUUUUUGGGAAAGUUAGGUUUUGGGUUAUUGAUGUUUAUCUACAAAAUGGGAGACGAGAAUGUUACAAAAAUGAAAGAGGUUAGGUUUUACAGCAUUUUGGGUUUCUGAGAUUGAGAAUGGGAGACAGAAGGGGAAAAACAAAAUAUGAGAGAGAUGUUGGCUUUGUGGCUUUUCAAAGGGUUUUUUCUCUUUUGAAUUUUCAAAUGUGGAACGCUUAGCUGGCAAGGUGAAGGGUAUUUUUGGCAUUGAAAUACACAUAAGCUAAAAGUGCAUGAUUCUCUAAAUAUUUUCUAAUUACAUUAUCAAUUUUGAAAUAUGUAAAAUUGGGUUUCUAAAACCAUAUAUUUUCCACAUCAACAGCCCAAAACCUAAUUUUCCCAAAAAGAAAAGAAACACAUGUGAACUAUUUAGCGCAUAAGACUAUCUUUGGUAAGUGUUUUUUAAAGUAAUUUUGAAAAAUUAUUUUUGAGAAUAGUUUUUAAAUUUUUUUUAAAUUUUUGUAUAACAAAAGUAUUUGAAGCAUAAAAUAUUUUUAACUUAUUUUUAAUAUUUUAAAAAUAAUUUUUAUAUCUAGUAUUUUAUUUUUAAUCAUUCCACAUGUUUGUAUUAUUAUUUCUUUAAACAAUCCUUAAAAAUCAAAUGUAACCACUAAAAAAUAAUUAAAAUAUGUUAUUUAAAAACAUUAUAGAUGUUUUUUGUUCCAUGUUUUUUGUUUUGGAAAACAAAAAAUUAUUACAAAAAAAAAAAAUUCCCAAACAAAUCCUAAUAUUUCUAUUGUUAAAUGAAAAAUGUUAUUUGUAAUCGAUCUCCUUAUUAAAUAGUAAAAGUUAUUCAUUCAUAGUUUGCUUAUGUAACGGAUCAAUCUUGAUUGAACUUUGAUAUCAGUAUAACAUCAUAAAAAUAUAAUUUAUAUUUUAUUAAAAUUAAAAAUAUAUAAAAUUUAUAUAUUCUAAUCAUUUGUGACAUUUGUAACUUCUCCCAUGGCACAUAAACCACUUUUGAAAGCAGUAAGUUUUUGUUGGCGUGAGUUGUAUAGUAAAAGGAAAUUAGAGUAAUUAUAGAAAAUGAGAUUUCUUUCCUUCACAGGUUAGCUUAAUUAUAGGAGCAAAAUCUGUAUAACUUAGAAUAGAAAAUAUAUUCUGAUAUAUACUCGUAGGGUUGUGGUAACAGAAUAAGAAUUAUAUCGAAUAGAAAAAGAACUUUUUGACAUGGUAUCAGAGCCUAACCCUAGUACCCACCUACCUUAAACAUUGCAUCUCUUACCUCGCCCACCAUGUCGUCCGAUGCAGAACCCCAGCUUGCUGUGUCUCAAUUCGAUUCCCUCUUCUUUGAAUUCACGACUAAGAUGACUGAAGCUCUUACCAAAGUCCAACCACCAACUCUGACCACCGAACCCUCUACUGCUCUGAUUGGCAUCAAACUAGAUGGAACCAACUAUGCUCUCUGGUCCCAAGUCGAGAUGUAUAUCUCUGGAAAAGACAAGUUGGGAUAUAUCAAUGGUGAUAUACUACAACCACCUUCGACGGAUCCAACAUUUCGAAAAUGGCGCACUGACAACGCCAUUGUCAAAAGUUGGUUGAUCAACUCCAUGGAUCCCUCUUUGAUAGGGAAUUUCAUUCGGUUUCCUACAGCUAAGUUGGUGUGGGAUUCCAUUGCUACCACUUACUUUGAUGGUAGUGACAAUUCUCAAGUCUAUGAUCUUCGACGUCGUGUGACGCAGCUUAAACAGGCUGGAGGCUCCCUUGAGAAAUACUACAAUGACCUCCAAGGGUUGUGGCGUGAGAUUGACUUCCGCUGCCCUAAUCCUAUGGAGUGUGCAAUUGAUAUUCACAACUAUAAUCUUCUUCUUCAAGAAGACAGAGUGUAUGUUUUCUUGAAUGGCCUGGAUGAUCAACUAGAUAAGAUUCGGGGUGACGUGUUGCAGCUUCGUCCAUUCCCUACUGUGGAGCAAGCGUAUGCCCACGUUCGCCGCGAAGCUCUCCAUCAAUCUGUUAUGAUCACUGGCAGUGCAGAUGAGGUUUCUGGCGCUGUUCUCGCAACCAAAGGACUCAAACUUGGUUCCUCUGUCCAACCUCCUACUGUGCACAAUGGCAGGCCUAAGUCUCGUACAUCUUCAGAGGGCUUGAAGUGCUCUCAUUGUGGCAAUUCGAAAAACACUUGUGACACCUGUUUUAAACUGCAUGGGUAUCCAGAUUGGUGGAAUGAUCUCCGGGCUAAGAAGGGUCGUGACGCGGGCACUAAGGAUGAAGGCUCCGCUACAGCAGUUGUGGCUAUUGCCGAACCUCAACUCUCAUUCAUACCAUAGAUGACAAUGCCGAACUCAGGUAACUGUGGUUAUGCUUGUUAUACUUCGACUAAUGAUGGUUACCGUGGUGCAUGGCUAUUGGAUUCUGGUGCAACUAACCAUAUGACGUUUACUGCUAUGGAUUUCACCAUGACUUCCCUACCAUGACGUACUAAUAUCACCAAUGCUAAUGGUGUUAUCUCCCCUGUCACUGGCACGGGCACUGUGACCUUAUCCCCUAAGUUGCAGCUGCAUAAUACUUUGCUUGUUCCAUCCUUAUCUCAUAAGCUUCUCUCCGUGAGCCAAGUGACCUCUGAUCUAAAUUGCAUUGUGCUAACAUAUCCUACUUUCUGUUUUCUCUAGGACAUUCUAACGAAAGAGAUUAUUGGGCGUGGUACUAAGAGGGGGGGACUCUACUAUAUGGAAGACCUGAGUGUGGGCCGAGCACAUCACACGCAACAUACUCUUGAUGUCAAAGAAAAGGAACUUUGGCUUUGGCACCGUCGGUUAGGACAUCCGUCCUUCACCUAUAUGAAACAUUUGUUUCCAGAUUUGUUUUCUCAGUUGAAAAAUUUUGAUUUUCAAUGUGAAACUUGCAUAUUGGCCAAAAGUCAUAGGGCUUCUUUUCCAUUAUAUUUGAAUAAAAAGGAUACUCCAUUUGCUUUGAUCCACUCGGAUGUGUGGGGACCUUCCCCAAUUACUACUGUCAACGACUUCAAAUGGUUUGUGUUGUUUGUUGAUGAUUGUACCCGCAUGACUUGGCUUUAUUUGCUCAAACAUAAAGAUGAAGUACUAGGAGUUUUUAAAUCAUGUCAUGCUAUGGUGCAAACACAAUUUUCUGCUAAGGUUCAAGUUCUUCGAUCGGAUAAUGGUGGUGAAUAUGUCAAUCACUAAUUUCGUGAAUACUUUCAACAACAUGGUAUUAUUCAUGAGACUUCAUGCCCCCAAACGCCUCAACAAAAUGGCAUUGUUGAGAGAAAAAAUAGACAUGUUCUUGAAACCGCUCGUGCUCUUUUAGUUGGUGCCCAUGCUCCUACUCGUUUUUGGGCUGACGCCGUUACCACUGCAGUUCAUUUGCUCAACCGAAUGCCCUCUAAGGUGUUGGACUUCCAAACCCCCUUACAAGCCCUCUCGGGCUAUACAGCUGUGCCUGCAAUCUUGAUGCUUCCCCCAUGUGUAUUUGGGUGUGUAGCAUAUGUCCAUCUCCAUAAAAACCAGCGGACUAAGUUAGACCCCUGUGCACGUCGCUGCUUAUUUUUGGGCUAUGCUUUUCACCAAAAAGGAUAUAGAUGCUAUGAUCUCACUUCUGGUUGCAUGUAUAUUACUAUGGAUGUCACCUUCGUGGAAACCGAAACAUUUUUUCCAUCUAAUUCUCCUUUUCAGGGGGAGACUAGAUAGGAAGAGCAGAAUUGGACAGAAUUAAAUUGGCCGAGCAUAUCUGAAAUACAUGUGGAACUGAGGCAACCAGAACACGUUUCUCUAGCUAUUGAACAUCAUGAAGAUGAUCACAAAGCACAUGUUACUUCCCCCUCUACAGUACCCGAAAACCCAACUCCUGAGAAUGAUCCUGAGGUAAGCUCUUUUAACACAAAUAUCUUGGCACCUCCUAUUGGUUAUGUGUUACCUAACAGGCACAAUCGUGGCAAGCCUCCAAGCCGCUACUCACCAGACAUUGAAGGAAGAAGAUCAAGAUAUCCUAUCGCCAAUUAUGUAUCCACAAAGAAGUUGAAUGAACCCCUCAAGACAUUUGUGCAUAACAUUUCCGGGUGUCACGUUCCAACAAGGGUGGAGGAAGCCUUGGGAGACCCGAAGUGGACUCAGGCAAUCAAAGAUGAAAUGGAGGCACUAAUGAAGAACAAGACAUGGAAUCUAGUGCCAUUACCGGAAGGAAAAAAAAUAGUGGGGUGCAAGUGGGUGUUUUCCAUUAAACACAAAGCUGACGGAUCUAUAGAAAGAUACAAGGCAAGACUUGUGGCAAAAGGGUAUACUCAAACAUAUGGUAUAAACUAUCAAGAUACUUUCUCACCAGUAGCUAAAUUAAAUACUGUUAGAGUGUUGAUAUCUCUUGUAGCAAAUUUAAAUUGGCCACUACAUCAGUUUGAUGUGAAAAAUGAUUUCCUUCAUGGCGGGCUUGAAGAAGAAGUUUAUAUGGACAUCCCUCCAGGCUACUUAGUGACCACGGGAACUAAUGAGGUGUGUAAGUUGCAACGAGCCUUGUAUGGGUUAAAACAAUCGCCACGAGCAUGGUUCGGGCGAUUCAGCCUGGCAAUGAAGAAAUAUGGUUUCCAACAGAGCAAUGCAGACCACACAUUGUUUCUAAAAAAACAGCAAGGAAAAGUCACAGCUCUUAUUGUCUAUGUCGAUGAUAUGGUCAUUACAGGAGAUGAUAUUGAAGAAAUCUCACGGCUCCAAGGGCAGUUGGCUAGUGAAUUCGAAAUGAAGAAUCUAGGUGGGCUCAAGUAUUUCCUUGGGAUAGAGGUUGCCAGAUCAACCCAAGGUAUAUUUUUAUCCUAAAGAAAAUAUGUUCUAGAUUUAUUAUCUGAAGUUGGAUUGUUGGAGUGCAAACUAGUGGAUACCCCAAUUGUCCAAAAUCAUAAACUUGGGAUAUAUCCAAAUUAGAAACCAACUAACAAAGGAAGAUAUCAACGGUUAGUUGGCAAACUCAUUUAUCUCUCUCAUACUCGUCCAAAUAUUGCGUAUGCUGUAAGUGUAGUAAGUCAAUUUAUGCAUUGUCCAAGUGAAGAACACAUGGAGGCUGUAAUUCGGAUACUAAGGUACUUGAAGUCUUCUCCAGGAAAAGGGCUCAUGUUUUCUAAGAAUGAUCAUGUGAGAGUUGAUGGCUAUACAGACACAGAUUGGGCUGGGAACAUCUCUGAUAGGAAGUCGACAUCAGGGUAUUUCACAUUUGUAGGUGGAAACCUUGUGACAUGGAGAAGUAAGAAACAAAAGGUGGUGGCACUCUCUAGUGCAGAGGCAGAAUUUCGUGGGAUGGCUAAGGGUUUGUGUGAGCUUCUUUGGCUGAAAAGACUACUAACCAAGAUCGGUUUUGCUCCCAAGUCUGAAAUGAAUCUCUUUUGUGACAAUAAAGCAGCUAUAGACAUUUCACACAAUCUGGUUCAACAUGAUCGAACAAAGCAUGUAGAGGUUGAUCGACACUUCAUCAAAUAUAACCUAGAGACUAAUACAAUCUGGUUUCUAUUUUUCAAAUCUGAGGACCAACUUGCAGAUAUACUCACCAAAGUCGUGUCAAGCAAGGAUUUCCACAACUCACUGAUCAAGUUGCGCAUGAAGGAUCCGUAUGCAUCAACUUGAGGGGGAGUGUUGGCGUGAGUUGUAUAGUAAAAGGAAAUUAGAGUAAUUAUAGAAAAUGGGAUUUCUUUCCUUCACAGGUUAGCUUAAUUAUAAGAGCAAAAUCUGUAUAGCUUAGAAUAGAAAAUAUAUUCUGAUAUAUACUCGUAGGGUUGUGGUAACUGAAUAAGAAUUAUAUUGAAUAGAAAAAGAACUUUUUGACAGUUUUAUCAUGUUGGUUAAUAAAUCAAUAAAGCAAUUUAUGCUCAAUACUAAAAAUCUAUUUUAUAAUGAUUUUAGGAAGUAUUUUUGAACAAAAAAAGUGUUUUUCUUUCACUACUACAAAAAUAGUUUAUGGUGUCACUAUUUACGGUGUCACUUUUAAAAUAAUGACACCAUAGGGUUUAUAAUUAAUAAAGGUGACACAUCAUAUAAAAAAUCUUCAAUUGAGGUAGUUAGAUGAUAUUAAUUUUAUAUUUAUAGUGUCAUUUUUUGGGAAGUGACAUCAUAUAAAAUAAAUUUUUUUAAGUAUUAUAACUUAAUGAGCCCACUUUUAGAAUUAAUAAUGAUGGAUACUAUAUAAAAAUCCCAUUGUUUCCAUAUCUCACUCACAAUCCAAAAAAUCUCAAUAUAUAAAUCCUAUAUAUAAAAUCAUGAUCUUCUUCAACCUUUUCUCUCACCCAUCCAUAGUCAACACGCUCAAAACCGACAUUCUUCACUUUGUGGACUCCCAGGUAACCCAAAAUCUCUUGGAUCUAUCAUUUUUUUUUCUUUUAUUAAUGCCAUUAUAUUAAUUGUUUCAACAUCUUUGUAUUAUGGUUUUUGUGAAUUGUGUUUUCUUGAGUUGUAGGGAAGAAAAAUUUAGGUUUAAUCUUCUAGCAUGGAAGAAAAAACUAUAGAUUAAUUGAUUUUUUUAAUCUAAACCAAACACAUGAUCAAGUCCUUAAAAAAAAAGUGAAAAACAGGAAAAAAUGAAUGAUUUUUAAUAUGUAUUUGUGUGAGAAUGACAGGUACAAAUUUUUUUUAAGAUAUACUAUCACAUAAUCUUCAUCCUUUCUAAAAAACGAGAGAGGAAAAAAAAAGAAUGAUUUUUCUGUUUGUAUCUAAGUGGGAAUGAGAUAUAGAAUUUCGUUGAGAGUAUCCAACCCCAAAAGGACCAAUCCGAGAAGGCAUGUGUGGUAUUGACGGGAGAUGAUAAGAUGGAAAUCAUAACCAUAGCCAUGUUCUCUCUGUGUCUUUCUAUCCUCUUCAAUUAAUUCAUGGGCAUAGAUAUUUUAUUUAGUUUUUAUAUUUAGUUUAUUUAUAGUUUAUUUAGUUUCUAAAAUCCAAUUAGUUAGAUAUUUUUUUUAUUUUGUUUUUAUAUUUAAGUAUUUGAGUUUUGGAAAGUUUUUAUAUUUUGUUAAUAGAAAUAGAAAUUUUUAUAUUUUUUAUUAUUAGGAAUUUCUAUUUUGUUAAAUUGUAAGUAUCUAUCUCAAUAAGAGAUUAUUAAUAUUCAAAUGAAAGUGAUGAAAGAGAGUAAACAUUUUAAUGCUCAAUUAUAUUUUAAUGUUAUUUUUUUUUUUUACAUAAGGGUUUAUUUAUGUUUUCAAUUUUGAAGUUCCCUUUCCAAGUCCAGCAACAAAAGUAGUGUCCAACCUUAAAAUGGGCAUGUGUGGUAUUGACGGGAGAUGAUAAGAUGGAAAUCAUAACCAUAGCCAUGUUCUCUCUGUGUCUUUCUAUCAUUUUCAAUUAAUUCAUGGGCAUAGAUAUUUUAUUUAGUUUUUAUAUUUAGUUUAUUUAUAGUUUAUCUAGUUUCUAAAAUCCAAUUAGCUAGAUAUUUUAUUUGAUUUGAUUUUUAUAUUUAAGUAGUUGAGUUUUGGAAAGUUUUUAUAUUUUGUUAAUAGAAAUAGAAAUUUUAUAUUUUUUAUUAUUAGGAAAUUUUAUUUUGGAAAAUUGUAAGUAUCUAUCUCAAUAAGAGAUUAUUAAUAUUCAAAUGAAAGUGAUGAAAGAGAGUAAAUAUUUUAAUGCUCAAUUAUAUUUUAAUGUUAUUUUUUUUUACAUAAGGGUUUAUUUAUGUUUUCAAUUUUGAAGUUCCCUUUCCAAGUCCAGCAACAAAAGUAGUGUCCAACCUUAAAAUGGGCAUGUGUGGUAUUAACAGGAAAUUAUAAGAUGGAAAUCAUAACCAUAGCCAUGUUCUCUCUGUGUCUUUCUAUCCUCUUCAAUUAAUUCAUGGGCCUAGAUAUUUUAUUUAGUUUUUAUAUUUAGUUUAUUUAUAGUUUAUUUAGUUUCUAAAAUCCAAUUAGCUAGAUAUUUUAUUUGAUUUUGUUUUUAUAUUUAAGUAGUUGAGUUUUGGAAAGUUUUUAUAUUUUGUUAAUAGAAAUAGAUAUGAGGACUUAAAGGGUUUAUAUUUAGGUAGUGCUUGAGCCAAGGAAAAUGAUAGUCCACUAUCUUGACCCUAUGCAUCACAAACCAUGUGAGGACUUAAAAGAUAUCAUAAAUAUGUAAGUUCUUCCUAUUAUUUUUCAUAGUAUUAUUUUUAAAUAAAAAAAAAUACAUUCACCUCAAACACAUUUUAUUUUAUUUUAUAUAUAUUAAAACAUAUAACAUUUACCUAUUUUAAAAAUGUACCCAUUGAACUUAUUUACAUAGGGCUCUUCGAAUAUCUGCAAAGAAAACAUCUAAGAGGGAGCCAUCUUAGCAACUAAUGCAGGUGACAUCCAAAAAUUUUUCUUUACACAUUAGCUUAUGCAUUUGCACCAUUUAUAUAUGUGAGUACUAAUGUUAUUUUAUAAUUGAUCGAUUAGUGUCCAAGACAAGAAGGAGGGUUCGAAUAUGGCUACUUUGUUAUGAGAUUCAUUAAAGAGAUAAUUUUUUAUCCUACAAUUAUUGCUUCAAAGGUAUUACUUUUUUAAUGAAUUGUACAUAGUUUUAGGCUUCCAAAUGUUAUGCGUUUUAAUGUUAUUUUCUUAUUUGAUUUCAGUUUGGUAAUAAAAAAAACAUAUUCUCAAGUAGAAUUCGAUGAAAUUAGAGGAGAAUGGGCUACUUUUGUGCUACAACUAAUCAUGAAUCAUGUUGAUGCAUCAUGAUCACCAUGCAUGGUGAGUCCCUUAGCUACUACAUGAAUUUUUCCAUAGGUAUUGUAUAGUAAUGCUUAUUCUUUGAAUAAUGUUUCUAUUUGAAAAAAAAAAUUAAUUCUUAGAUUUGUUCAUUUAUGAUAACAUAAAUCCAUGUUUAUUUUCUUCAAUAAAAAUCUCUAAAACUCAUUAAAUUUUGAAAUACAGGUAUACACUCUUGGGAGGGUGAAAUGGAGAAUAAAAAGAAAGAAGGCAACAAGAUUUUGGGUUUUUAAAUGCAACUCUUAUGUCAUACGUUGUAGGACAUAAACGUUACUUUAAUUGCAACUGAGAAAUUUAUAUUUUUAGAUGGGACUUCUAUGUCAUUUUAUGGUUAGCCGAUUUUAUGCUUAUGAAAUGGAGGUAUACAUGAAUCUUGGGAUCUUUAACAUUUCUAAAUCAUGUUUUGGUAUGCAUUCACUCUUCUUUUUUAGUUUUGAUGGGUUUGAUAUGUUGGACGUACUAUCCUUUUGUGAACCUUUGAUAUACAAAUAUUAUUAGAUGAUCAAUGUAUUAUGAGUUAUUCCAUAAACAUUACAGAAAAAUGAGUUAAAUAUAAUAUGAUUGUUAUAUUUAUGGACAAAAUAUAAACAGGUUAAUCUUAUUAAUUCAUAAGCAUUACAAAAAUCAACAACUAAAACCAAUCAUAUAUUCCACAAUAAUUUACAAUGAUGUGAUACCAUAACUCAAAGGUGAUGCAUUUAAUGUGACAUCAUAACUCAAAGAUGAUGUAUUUAAUGUGACACUCUAUCAUCACUAGAAAUAUAUGGUGUCACUUCUGAAUGGGUCACUAUUUAUCUACUUUGGUGUCACUUCCAAAUACGUCACCAAUUGGUACCCUCUAUGGUGUCAGUGGAGAAGGUGACGCUAUGUUGUAGUGACACCUUAUGUUUAUGGUGACUCGUUAUAAAUGUCACCAUAUACCUUUUUCCUUGUAGUGUUUUAAAAAAAUAUAUUUAAUAAAAUUUAGGAAACACUUUUUUUUUUUUUAAAUCACUUAUAAUAUUAAAAAGUCAUUUAUAAUGUAUUAUGAAAAACCACUUUAUAAGUAGUCCUCCUAUUUGAUAGGAAAGUACUUCAUCUAAUAACAGCAGGUUGCACCAAGAACACAAAUGAAUGCUAUUGCUCUUAGCAUAUUAGUCCGACAUAAAUGUCACAAGUGCAUUUAUUACAAAGUGGCAUAUUAACUUGGUCUUCUUUAAAGGCAACUCCCUUAAGAAAAAAUGACUUUUCUUUAUUUUCUUCAUGGUAAUAUAAUGUAAUAGGAGACGCUUGAGAUCUGUAGAUCAAAAGCAAGAUUUUUAAAUCAAAGAACAUGGUGACUCAUUAAUGCAACAUUUGACAACUGAGCAUGGAACAUUAAUUGUUUAUGUAUAAACAAACAAUGUGACAAUUCAUAAACUAAACUUCAAAUAUUUUAAAAAUAAUGCCCAAACAUAGUGUUGUUUACUUGUCGCAAAAGGGAUCAAUUAGUCCACUAGCAAAAAAUUAGAAAACAUAUUUCAUCUUCAAGAUAGAGUAUGAUUGAGAACCUGAAAAGGUGCAUGCCGCUUCAUGCACUCGUUGAGGGUAUGUAAAUCCUAAAAUUUGUCCAAAUUUUAUUUUUACAUUGAUAUUGAACUCAAUUUUAUCAUUAGAUUUAAAUCUCGAUUAUAUUUGAAUUGUUUAGCCCACUUACAUUCUUUAAUUCUUAGUUUUUAUUUUUUUAUAAAUUUUUUAUUUUUAUUUUUACUUAUUAUUAUUAUUAUUAUUAUUAAGUUUUUUUAUUUUUUUAUUUUUUCUUCAUUUUUUCUUUAUUUUCUCUCUCCUCUCUCUUCCUACCUUUCCCAACCACUACACCCACUCUCUCUCUCCUCCCAUACCCCCAUUCCUACGCCAUACUCAUAUCUCCUCUAUUUAUUUUAUUUUAUUAUAUUUUUCUUUUUCCUUUUUUUUUUUCUUUUUCAUCCCCAUUCUUCUUCAUCUUUUUCUCCCCCUAACACCCUUUCCUAACGGCCACACGCUCCCUCCCCUUCUCACUUCUUCCCCCAUUUUUUAUUUUUUUUCUUCUCCUCCCAUCCAUUUUUCUUCCAAUCUUUUUCCCUCCAUUUUUUUUCUUUCUCUUCCUCCACCAUACUCGACUUCUAGAGAGAUCCAAACCCGAGUUCCUUUCUUUCUCCCCUUUUAUCUCAUUUUCUUCCUCUCAUUCCCCAUUUUUUUCAAAUUUAUUUUCUUUUCUUUAUUUUAUUAUUAUUAUUGUUUUCCCAAAAACCCAUUGACCCUCACUAUCGCCGGUAAGAUCACCAGCUAGUCACCACUAACGAGCUACUGCCGAUCAUUGACCCUUUCCUCUUUUCUAUCAUUCCAUUGCUUUCCCAUCACACCCAUUUUCCAUCAUCAUCAUUAUUAUUAUUCUUUAUUUUUCGUGAUUUGAUUUUAAUAGUAAUUUUUGUUUGUGAGUUUUGAAUUAUUAAAUUAAAAUGAAAUUUGGACUAUUUUUGUUUUUGCAUGGGCCUAUUCUGCAAUUCUAUUGGCUGAGUAUGAAUUUAUGACACGUGGAGCAUGGAAUUUCAUGGAAGAAAGUGAGAAUAAAAAAGUUGUAUGAAGACAUUGAGCUUGUUUUAAACUUAUUUGGGUACACGUUUUAUUUCCCAUUACUAUUUGGUUUUAUUUUUGUUGGCUUUUGUAAAUAUUUAUUUAUAUAUAUUUACUUGUAUACAGAAUUGGAUAUCGAAUAAAUAAAAAAUUUUGUUUAAAUAAGAGGAAUAAUUUAGUAAAUAUGUUUUAAUAAAAUAAUAAUUUUAAAUAUUCUUCUUAAUAAAAUAAAGUCUUUUUAUUAAUAAAAAAUCAAAAAAAUCCAAAAAAUAAAUAACUAUUUUUUUGAAAAUUAAAUACAAAUGAAAUUGAAUCAAAUCAUUAAUUGAAAAUAAAUUGAAGUCACUAAUUCAAAAUUGGUUUUUAUAAAAUCAUUUGAAAUUUCUUGAAAACUAAUUAUUUUAAAUAUAUUUUUUCUAAUUAGUUCAAUAAAUCAAUUUGCAUAUUUCUAUUGUCAUUUGUUUUGUACAUUCUUAUAAUUUUAUUUUGUCAUUAUCUUUGUGUAUAUUGUUUCAUUCCUUAAAUUUUGGUGUCCAUGAUUAAUUAAUUAAUUGUCAUAAUUUCCUUAAUUCGUUUAGUAGAGACCGUAUGUAUAUGGGCUUAGAGGGGUGUUAUGGCUCACCACCAUACCUUCCCAAUUAAUAACUUGACCCUCGGAUCUAGAUUCAAUUUUUGUAGAUGUCUUUUCCAAAUAAGAAGUGACACAAGGUUUUCUUUCUUAUUUUGUUUUCUCUUUUAAAAAAAUAAUAAAACAAAAAUAAGUGGCGACUCCAAGUCUUUUUCAAAAAAUCAAAUUUUCACCAAAUUAAAAGCGAGUAUCAUCAUCAAGUGGGAACGCAUGUGAAAAACGUGGGUCCACAAGGUGUUAUAUGUUGAGGGUGUUAUACCUUAAGGAUUCCACAAGUCAUACUACUUGUAGAGAUGCAUUCAUUGGCAAAGCCAAGGUAAUUGCUUGCUUUCACCUCAGGUUUCUCCAUGAACUCAAGAAGAAUGGUAGAAGAUGAUACUAGUAGCCAUAGCACAAUCACUGAGUAUGAGUUGGAAGAUUAAUGAUUAAAAUAACUCAUGACACAAAAGGAGAAGAGAUUAGCGAAGCUCUAAGAUUGAUGAACAAAGAACUCCAAAGAACUCCUAAAUUUAUAGAAACUCAAUUAGAUAGGAAGGUGAGGGAAGGCAUGACCAAAGCAAUCAAUUUUCUAAUUGAUUAAAUUGAAAAUUUUCAAACAACUAGUUAAGUAAACUUGUUAAGGUAUUGAAUUCAAAUGUUUAAACUAAUUAGAGGAUUAAUCGAUUCUCAAAUAUUUUUAAUUAAACAUGUACAUAAAUGGGAGAAGAGGGUUCCUUAUGUUGUGAUAAAUGUUAAUUUAUGUAAUCUUAACUUGAUUUUUACUACUAUAAGUCUAGUAUGUGUCUUGUUAAUGUAGUUGAGGGGUUGUUAUGUCUCUUUUAGUUUUUUUAUAAAUAGGUUUAUUUAAAUUUGAUAUAAUUUUAAGUGUAUCCUUUAUUUCUUCUAUUCUCUCUCUCUCUUUCUCUCUCUAGCAACCAAAGAGGCUCCUCAAGAGCAAAUCUCCACUAAUGUAUAGUUCGUCUCAAUUGAUCUCUAGAGAUAAGGAGUAAGGAAGAUGGAGAAUUCACUUGAGGGAGUAUAGUUUAGUGGUAGAAUCCCAAACAAACACUAUGUUUUGAGUUUUAGAUGUGAUGAUUAAAUUCUUUACGUAGUUUUUCCCAAUUGAGAUACAAUCAAUGUUUAACUUGGUUUCACUGAUGACUAUUAAUAACUUGAUAAUUAGAGAACUCACUUUGAUUGAUGGUAUCAAAAUUGAGAAGACUUUCAAAGAUGAAUCCUGUGUUAAAAUGGUGGAGCAAAAAAAUAAAGGAUUAAGUUAAUUCAAAUAGACUUUUGAGAUCUAAAGUUUAAUUUCUAAAUUCAAUUUCCAUAUAUAUCCCAAUCAAUUUUUAGAUCUUAUUUAAUUUUGGAUUGACUUUUAAUCAUUAAAGAAAAGAAAAGAUCUACCUUCUAUUAGUGAAUUUAAAGUCCAAUUGUGAAUUGCUCUAGACCUUUCUCUUCUAGUUGUUAUUUUCAUUUGUGAAACUAUUUUUUUAAAAAAACCAAUAUGUGUUCAAAACCAUUUUGAUUUAAAAUCCCUAAUAAAAUAGAAUGAGCUUUUGUAGAAAAUUGGUAGAUAAUUAAUCACUUAAUCUAAUUAAACAACUUAACAUAUUAGUACUGCUCCGAUGAUAAUAUGUCUCACUAUGUAACAUAAUAUCUUUCUCUCUUAUUUUUCUUGACCAAUGAUGUUAUAAAUAACUACAAUUUCACUUUUAUUUUUAACCUAAAGAGUGUAAGUUUAUGCACCAUCUUCAUCUUUGAGAUGGACUUCUACAGAUAAAUAGCCUAUAGCAUGUAUGUCUCAUUGUUACCUAUAUGAAUCUACUUUUUGGGAUCUCUACUAAUGUAGGUUUGGUUACUUCGGACUUGACUUUUAUAAUAGGUGUAAGUCCCAUGCAUCCUCCUUGAUUUUUUUCAACUAGUUUCUUAUUUACUUAUUUAGUAAGAGGAUCAACCAUAGUUUAACUUUGACUUCACAAAACAAAAGAAUAUGACCUUUGUCUCAAGCAACUAUUGAAAAUGUUGUGCCUUAAGCAUAUAUGCAGUAAAUAUUUUACAUUUAGCCUUAAAUAUUGCAACUUAGAUAUUACAAUACAUACACAGUCUUAGCCUUGUCCAUAAUGAUAAAUGCCAAAUGGUUUCAAAGCUACAUAGACUCAAAACUUACCUUAUCUCGUCUAAAUUAUAGAUCUAGUUGACACCAUUUUAUCUUUCAAGUACAUUUGGAAAUCCAUUACAUAACACAAACUAUGGUCAAUGGUGCCCCUCUAGCUAGCAAUCAGAGUAUAACAUUGUUUUCACCAUAAUAUACAUGUAUAUUGAUUCAUGUAUUACAUGAUAUUAUUAAUUUUCGAACAAGCCUAGCAGGCUUUUGAAUUCAUGUAAUUUUUUAUACAACUGCUCUUGAUCAAGGGUUGCUUGAUCACUUCUAUCAUGGUGUGUUGUUUAGUUAUUGGAAAAAUGUGUGAGAUAAAAAAGAAACAGGAAGAAUAGCCCACAAAAUUUACAUGCUUUAGAUACCAAUAUGAAACCUACAUAAAUGAGACAACAUAUAGGAUUGAUUGUUAAUCAUUGUGAAGGGAAUAUUACAAUAGCCUAAUAUUAGUACAAAUGUCUUUGUAUGGCAUUUGUGGAUGUCAACUUCAAUGAUAGAAAAGUAAAGUUGACAAUCACUCCUCAAAUUACUUUCCAACUUCCUCUUCUGGAACCACCAACACUCUCUUCAAGUUGGUGCAAAAUAUCGAUGGAGCCCAACUGCAAGAGGAGACUUAAAUAGCCACUUGGAUAAUUGGGAAUCGUGUAUAUUACAACAAGUAAUCAAUUGAUUUUUGUAAACAAAUGGGUUUUCUUAACUCUAUUUACUGACUUUUAUUUCUUUUAUUUUAAUUAUUGUAAAUGAAUUUUUUUAAUCUAUUUAUAAAAAUACCAUUGUAGUUUUUUAAUAUCCUUUUAUUUUUUAUAAUGAUGUGGCAUUUUUAAUUGCUAAGUUAUGUAAAUUUUUUUUAAAAUUUUUUAAUACAAUAUGUUUAAUUUUUUAUAGGGUAUUAAGACAAUAAAUAAAUGAUAUUUAAUAAUUAAAAUACUAGUCAUAUUUAUUUUGACAUAUUAGAAUGUAUAUUGUCUUUCUUAUCAUGCAAUAUUGGAGCUAAAACCUCUAAUUUUACAAAUUUUUAAUUAAAUAAUAGUAAUAAUAAUUUAAAAAAACCAUUAAAGUAGGCCAUAAUACCAAUAUAUUAUAUUUUGAUGUAUUGAAAUAACAUCACUUAGAUAUUUUAUAGUUAAUUAAUAAAAGUAAUCAUUAAAUAUUUUAUGUUUAAAUUAUUAAAUAUUUAAUAAUACAAAAAUGUUAAUUUCUUUACCAAUAACAUAAAAAUACAAAAAUAACAAUACUCCAAUUGACAUCUACAAUACAAAAAAUGAGUAAUUAAUAAAGCACUAUAAAGACUUGAAAAUCUAAUUAAGAGUUGAUUUGACAAUGAUUUUAAAAGGAGUUUUUAGCUUAAAAAGUAUUUUUGAAAAAAAAUAUUAGGUGUUUAGCAAAAUUUUAAAAAUUUGUAAAAUUACUUAUAAUGUUGAAAAAUCACUUAUAAUGAUUUUUGGAAAAAUACUUUAUAAAUGAUUCUUCUAAAAGCACUUUUAGAUAACUCUCAACUUGAGGGAAGUCCAAUUUUGGUGAGAUUCCAAAUUUGGUAGUACGGCGUGACUCCAAUUUGAAGACCAAGGUAUAACACAAUUGGAGUUGGUCAUGAGGAGUAAAUAACUUGUAAUAUUUGAUACGACUGCACUUUGCAAUAAUUUUUUGUCAUAGUGAAAUUAUAUCCUAAUUGUGUUUUUUCACCUCACGAGAAAGUUUUUUUAUGUAAACUCGAUGUGUCAAUUCUUUAUGUGUGCUUAAUUCAUUUUUGUGCACAUCUCUAUAUAUGAUAAAUUAUAUAUAAAUUAAUCAAUCUUAGUAAACUGAGUUCAACCUCAAAGAAACAAAUUAAUUUUGUGUACAACACUUGAACAAGAUCCUGAAAUAUUUAAAAGGUAUAUCCCACACUACUCACUCUAACAAAUGUAUGUGAUAAGGUUUUGUUAGAGUAAACCGUCGAAAGCAUGACAUGAUGUAAUAUAAUAAGAUCCUUAACUGCAUUAUUUAUCAUCUGAGCAUUCACUAUUGUAUCACUUUUGUUGUUCAUGAUUUGGGUGCAUUGGGAGUUACAUAAAAGAUCCUUGUCAUAGGUUCCUUGAAAGAUGAUAAGUUGUUCCUAGUUGAUUCAUGGAAUUAAGUAAUCCAUUAAAGAUUGUGGUGUACUACCUCUUAAUUUGAGAGAACUUUCUUGGUUAUUUUUUUAGCUUUUUAUGAGGUAGAGUAUGUUAGUUCAUAAAAAAUAGGAGGAUUGGAGACUCAAGGAUUACAGAGGUAAUCUUGAGAGGGUAAAUAUGAGUUAAAUCCCAUAUGGGGCUGCUUUGCAUGAAAGAUCUCAUGGUGCGUGAGUGACAACCCUUUUUUAAUGGUGGAGAUGACGAUUGUUUCUCAGUGAAAUUAUACAACUCCAAAAAUUGUUGUGUUGUCUUGCAUCUCAACCUCGAAAGUGUCAGAGAUCAAAUGGAAAUUAGAAUGUGAACACCCACCCCUUUCUCUCCCAACCCCCCCAAAAGUUGCAAUCGUGGGGAUGCUCUCCAAACUGAUGGUGAAUCCCUCUCAAAGAAACGUAGAAUGACCCUCUCAAAACCUACAAAAUUUCCUCCAAAAUCGUGCUAUCUAAAAUCUCUAAAUCCCAGCCUGAACGUCUCAAAAAAAAAAAAAAAAACAAAACUAUAGACCCCUUAAAAAUCAAUAAACACGUUCUCCAUAACACAGACUAAUUUGUUUUUUUUUUUUUUUUUUUUUUAAAAAUGGUCUGACAACUCCCAAAAUGCAACUACGUCUUCUCUCAAAAACCUCCCAAAAGCUCCCUGUUGAUUCUUUCUCAAUUCUCCCCCCAAAAGCUCCCUGUUGGAAAUUCUUUCAAAUCCACACUUAAAACCCCUCUUUUGGACGCUGCUAAAUUUUUUUUAAAAGAACCUCCUAAUCCUUUAUUCGAAUGCUGCUCAAAAUCCUUCAUUUCCUAUAAAGAAACACUACUUAAAAUCCUUCGUUUCCUAUCUCUCAAAAUCCUUCCUUUCAUAUAAAAAAUGCUACUCAAAAUCCUUCAUUUCCAAUAAAAAAAAUGCUGCUAACACUUUCCUUCCUUUCCUUUCAAAUCUAAAUAUGUUUUUCUCUAGGUUAAAGGUUCCUCUCUUCUUCCCAAAAUACAACCUCUUUCUUUUCCAAAACACGUUGAAUCCUCAAACCAACCUGAUUCCUAUCCAAAAAUGUAUUGAAAAAUAUCCCCAAACUGUGUUCUGAAUAUCACCAAAAAACGUGGCCUAAAUCAUUCUAAAAAAAAAACCUCUAAUUUUUUUCUCCCCUAAAAGUGUCCAUAUACACUCCCUUAACUAGCCUAAUUCCUUUCCAUGAUCAUUCCAUUUCCAAAACAAAAAAUAAGUAGAUAAAGAAAUUUAAAAAAAAAAACAAACAAACAAAGGCAUUUUAGACAAAGAGGUAAAAAGCAUGCACAUGUCAUGCAAUUACGACAUGUCAUGCACAUGACAUGCAAUGCCAUUGAUCGAUCUUCUCUGUUUUCCAAAAUACUAAGCCUUUUUAUGUAGCAACUCUAAUCAAGAAAAACUAGAGAAAGAGUCACUACGACUUUUGUUGUACUUUGGGUAUCAUUCUUAAGGAUUAGUUUAUGGAAUUUGUCAAUACUAUGAUAAAUGAAUCACUUUUAUUUGAAUCCUAAAGUGAAAAAUAAUAUCUGAAUGAAAUGAAACUAAGCAAGAGAACUAAAUUAACAAAAAAAUGAAUAUUUGAUUUUUAAUUCAAUUGAUUCAAAUAUGGGGCUUUCCACAAUCCAACUUAAGGUAUAAAAAUAGAGAGAAUAAGGGUUUCUUAAGUAGAGUGAUCUUAAGGUUUUGGUAUCUUUGGUCGCUUGUAAUCAACUUGAGCUCUAUAACUCAAAAUUGCAUCUCAAACCUAAAUUUUUCCUUUUAAAAAAAUUUCCUAAAACCAUCAAAUUAAUGAGAUUGAUUAUUGGUUUAAGGAUUAGUUUUUUUAACCCUUCUUAUUCCUUAUAACUUUGUUUUGGAGCAAAUAACGAUAAGAAAGACCAGGAUAAUUAAUGAUCAAGAGUUACCAAGAAUUACUAGUAUUGGGUGAUAACCUACCAUAUCAUUCCCUAAACUAAAUCACAAUGAUAUGAUAAAAAAUUGAUAAAUUGUAACCCAACCAAUAAUUGAUCUCAUUGUUAUAACAAUUUACCCAUUGUUAUAACAAUUUACCCAUUGUUACUAUGAGUUUCUAACUCUUAGGUUUUCAUUCUUAAAGCCCCAAAGAUGGCUUUUUAGCCUCUUAUGAGGGUAAUGUCACAUUCACAAUCCAUUAUAAGAUAAAAAUUCAUAAUUAAAAUCAUGAAAUUAAAAACAAUAUAUUCAAUAAACAAGAAAAGAAACAAACUGAAGUUCUCGUCUUCUUCCCCACAAAAAUGACAAACUCCCUGGAAGAUGGUCCAAGAUGACUAAACCCUAGAACUAAGAGAGUUUAUAUAGUAUCAUUAAUGACCUAACACAUGACACACUCUCAUUAGCCACUUAUUACAAGGAAAAGUCAUAAACAAUCUAAAAAGCAUCAAAAUUUAGGAGUUCUAAAUGAGUAUAAGGCAUUUCGAAUUGGGUGAAGGCAUUUGGAACUCAUUUCGACAUAUCUUGGGGCUCAAACUUGAUUACCAAUGACUGCGUUCGAAAUUGGGGUGAGUCUUAAGUCAAUUUUGAACACAUAAGUGGAAGGAGGUCCAAUUCGAAAUGUAGGGCUAAGUUCAAAAUGCAUAGUGAAUUUCAAACUCAACAUCCUUCUCUGACCAAUUUGGUUCAAACAUGCAUAACUUCCUCGUUUUAGCUCUGAUUUGCACACCAUUUGAUGCAUUGGAUUCCUAACUUUUAGAUAUUCGAAAUGAUAUUGUUGAUAAUAGACUUUAAGAAGUACUUUAAAUUUUUCAAAGUUAGAGAAUAUGUUGCCACCAGUUUUGAGUUCUAAAUUUCCAUGCAACUUGAUGAAUUUGCUUUAUACCUCAUUUUCCAUGUUUGUCUGCCUUCUUUCUUACUUUAUAAUGGUCAUUACUCAAAUCCCAAACUCAUGACAUCCUCGUCUUACAUUUCCCCAAAUGCCAUGGAUCUUGACUCGCUCAAUUCCUCAUUUAACCUUUUGAUAUUUCAAAAUCUAAGAUGUUUUCAACUUGUGCCCUUUUAUUCCCUUAAACCUGAGACAUAUCUCCAAAAUAAAAUUUAAACUCAAGGCUAGGGCCUUAGCAUCAAUUUGGGUUAAUUCAAAUGAUUUGAGUGUCUUAUAGUGCAUAAAUCAUAUCAAAUAUAUGCUAUUAUAGCACAUAUUUGGGCUCCAAUCAAUCAUGCAAAAACCAUGGAAACCAUGCAAAUGCAAAUGCCAUGGAAGUUCCAUGCAAGUCAUGUAAACUAUGCAAAUACCAAACAAGAAAAAAACCUAAAGAAGACUUAGGUGGGCUCAGGCAAGCCUAGGUGGGCCAGGGUGUGCCUAGAUCGACUAAGGCAUGCCUAAGAGGUCCAAGACAUACCUAAGAGGGUCAAGGCAUGCCUAGGUGAGCUAGGGUUUGCCUAGGUGGGCUAGAGUAUGUCUAGGUGGGCCAAGGUAUGCCUAUAUGGACCAAGGUGCACCUAAUAGGGCCAAGGUAUGACUAAAUGGAUCAGUGUGUGCCUAAAUGGGCUAAAUGUGCCUAGAUGGGACAAAGUGUGCCUAAGAGAGCCAAGGUAUGCCUAAAUGGACUAGGGUGUGCCUAAAUGGGCUAAAUGUGUCUAGAUGGGCCAAAGUAUGUCUAAAUGGACCAUGGUGUGCCUAAAUAGGCCAGAUGUGUCUAAAUGGGCUAGAUGUGCCUAGAUGGGUCAAAUGUGCCUAAAUGAGCCAAAUAUGCCUAGAUGAGCCAAAGUUAGAUAUAAUUGUCUCAUUGCUAUCCUUUUGGUGUAUUGACAUUGAUUUGAGCAUUCGGCCCAUGUCUCUUACAUUGUACAUGACUUGGGUGUAUUAAAAGUUGUAUAGAAAAUACAAGUCAUGGGUUCCUUAUAAGUAAAUAAGUUGUCCACAGUUGGUUCAUGGAUUUGGGCAAUCCAGUAGACUCUAGUGCAUUAUCUCUUAAUUGGAGGGAUGACUUGUCUUGGUUGUUAGGAUGCAUUUCUCAUGGUGAGUGCAUUAGUGUAUGUGAUGCACAUUGAAUAAGACCUACGAUGAAUCAUGACAUAAGUUUAUUAAUAGUCAUGAUUCACCAAGCUACUAUAUUGUGUGCACUCUUAAUCUUGAGAGGAUAUUAAGUUUAUGCCAAAAUCAAUAGGAGACUUUGACUUAUUGGUGAGACCCUAAAAUGGUCAUAUAUCUUUAUGGAUUGGGUCCCUAUUGAUGAAGGUUGUUCACUACAUGUAUUCUCAAUAAACACACCAUGAUAUCUCAUGGGAUUGAGAUAGUGUGCGUCCUUGGAUGAUCUAAAGGACAUGUGAUCAUGAAAUUUGUGGCCAUAAUAAUUCCUUUAAUAGAAUUUGACAUAUGCUCUUUUGAAUUAGGAUAUGUCAGUUGAUCACAUAAUAAAUGAAAUCUAUAACUCAAGGAUUUGAGAAGUGAUCUUGAUAGGUGAUAGCCCUAGCUUGUUAGAUUACAAACACUAGUUCAUGAGGAGUUUGCAUGCAAUGGAUAGUGGGUCACAGACUAAAGCUUCGUCUCGUUGUUAUUUACAUAAGGUACUGGAGUGCAAUUGAUUUUCUUUAGUGGAAUGUUGAAUCAACUUUAGAAUUGAAUUAUGAGAGAGCCAAUACUCCCAUGGAUCCAAAUGGUCCCUACUUUGAGCUCAUAAACCAUGAUAACACAGUUUAUGAGGGUUAGAUUGGCUCUAGGUUCAUUCUUAUGCAUAAGAGUGUUUUGGUAAUUAUGCAAAGUUGCAUAGGGGAUAAUGAACAAGGUCUCUAGAUUGAGAUAAUUGAUUAUUUAGAUGACCCUAUGUGGUUAAUUGAUCAAUUAAGACCCAUUUUAGGCUAGAUUAAGUGACCCAAGUGUUGAUGGGCUUAAGUCACUUAAGUCUAAUGGGCAACCUUAUAAAUACCCCUUAUGGGUUAGGGUUUCUUAAUUACUUUAGUUGGUCGUCUUCUACUUCCAAAAAGAGAAAGAGAGAGUCAAGGUUUUCACCCUUCCAAAGCCUACACUUUGGAGUGUCAAGAUUGUGGUUCAAGUCAUCGGGAGGAAGAUCUUGGGUAUACGAGACCUCCAGACUAUUUAGACAUGUUCUUCACAACAAUGAAUUGAUUUUGGAACAUUCAUAUCUAGGUAUGUGGUUCAUAUCUCUAGAUCUAUAGUUAAUAAUAGUUUUUAUUGUCAUUUUAUUUCAUUGUGACAUAUUUAGAGAUGCUUAGAGAUAGAUGCAUGCACCUUAUGAGAUCCAGGGUAUGGGAUUGGAGUAAUUUAGGGUUCCCAACAACUAGGGUGUGCCUAGAUAGGCUAGGGCAUGCCUAGAUGGGCCAAGGCAUGCCUAGAUGGGCUAAGUCAUGCCUAGAUGGGCUAGAGUUGCCAAGAUGGAUCAAGGUAUAUCUAAAUGGGCUAGGUAUGCCUAAAUGGGUCAGGGUGUGCCUAGAUGGGUUAGGGUGUGUCUAAAGGGGUCAAAGGAUGCCUAGAUGGGCCAAGAUGUGCCUAAGAAGGUCAAGGUAUUCCUAAAUGGACUAAGGUGUGUCUAAAUGGGCCAAAUGUGUCUAGAUGGGCCAAAGUGUGCCUAAGAGGGCUAAGGUAUGCCUAAAUGGACUAGGGUGUGCCUAAAUGGGCCAAAUGUGCCUAGAUGGGCCAAAGCAUAUCUAAAUGGACCAAGGUGUGCCUAUAUGGGCUUGAUGGCCUUAAAUGAGUCAGGGUGUGCCUAGAUGGGUUAGAGUGUGUCCAAAUGGGUCAGAUAUGCCUAAAUGAGUCAAAGCGCGCCUAGAUGAGGUAGGGUGUGUCUAAAUGGGUCAGGGCUUGCUUAGAUGGGCCAAGGUGUGAUUAAAAGCGCUAAGGUAUGCCUAAAUGGACCUGUGCCUAAAUGGGUCAAAUGUGCUUAGAUGGGCCAAAUGUGCCUAGAUGGGCCAAGGUGUGCCUAAGGGAUCUAGGGUGAUAAAAAAUACGCCUAAGUGAUCUAGGGUGGUUAGAAAAGUGCAUAAGUGACUUAGGGUGAUUAGAAAAGUGUCUAAGUGACCUAGGGUGAUUAGAAAAGUGUUUUAGUAACCUAGGGUGAUAAAAAAAAAAGUGCUUAAGUGACUUAGGGUGAUUAGAAUAGUGUUUCAGUGUGUUGUUCUAAAGGUUUAAAGGAGCUAUCCUAAAAAGAAAAAAAAAUGAAAAUCCUAAAUCUAACCUAGGGUGACAAAAAAAAAAAAAGUGCUUAAGUGACUUAAGGUGAUCAGAAUAGUGUUUAAGUGUGUUGUCCUAAAUGUUUAAAGAAGCUAUCUUAAAAAUAAAAUAAAAUAAUGAAAAUCCUAAAUCUAACUCGAGGUUGCCAAGAGUCAUAAUGAGAGGCCAGAUAAAUCCCUCAACCAAAGUCUCCAAGGUGGUUAAAAAAGGUAAGUUGUAUGAGUAGCAAUGGCCCACCAAGGAACUAUUGUGGAGUAUUGAAAGAAUACUUAGUAUGACAUGUGCUAAGGGAUAAAAUGGAGGGUCUACACACUCUCUCCUUUGCUUGAUUGUUGUGCUUUGAGUUUGGUUUUUGGUUUUUCGAUGCACAUGGCAUAUAUAUUCAUUAUCGAUUUAUUAAUUUUAUUAAUAUGUCUUGUUUUUUUUUGUUUUUUGCUUUUUGUUUUUUUUUUGUUAUGAUCUCUUAGUAUACAUAAUCUGUUAGUCAAUUACCUUAGUUCCCUCCACUUGUUUAGUAGAUACUUUUUUAGAACUUAGAGGGGUGCUACCCUAUGAUACCUUCCUAAUAAGUAACCUAAUUCCCAAAUCUAGACUCGAUUUUCACACUUUACUUUUCCUUAAAUGUAAUAUGAUUGUUAUAUUUUUAGAUGAAAUGUACUAUAGGUUAGUCCUAGAUGUUAAUUAAUAAGCAUUAUAAAAAUACUUAAAUUAAACACUCAUAAGCAAUCAUAUUUUCUAUAAUCAUUUGGAAUAAUGUGAUAUCAUAACUCAGAAGUGAUGCAUUUUAUGCUACUUCUAAUUAUAUCUAUCCCUUAUAGCUCAUCAGCCAAAUGAGUGUCAACAAAAUGACAAUAUUGUCUCUAUCCCUUAUAUCUCCUUUUUUUUUUCUCAAAUAAUAAAUAUUUAUAUUUCAUAACUAGACACAAAAAUAACAAUAGUCAAUUAUGUCAUCUACAAUAUGAAAAGUAAGGAAACAAUAAAGUAUUAAAACAACUAGAAAAGCCAAAUUAACAUUACCAAUAUUAGUUACCCAUGAAACACAAGUAGGUAUUGAGUUUCAUAUAAUAUAACAAGCUAAAAUUAUAGGAUAUCCAAGUUCAACAACACACAAAUGGAUAGAUGAAGAUAUUGGUUUAUGCAUCUGAUGAUGUGAUCAUGUGGGGAUCGUUAAAGGACGAAAUCCAUGAUGGAGACUAGCUUCCCAUAUUUUCUCAAUGUUGAACAUUGUGUUACCACACUCGUGCACAUUCCAUCCUUCUAAUGCAUGAAUCACCCCAGCUACACGCGAUGCACUCAUUGCCCUUCUCGGCAACCAAUUCUAUCACAUAUUUACAUUAUAAAAAAAUCCAUAACCCAGAUGAAUAAUAUAAGUAAUCCAGUUUAUAGUGUAUGAUGAUUGGUAGGUGGUGGAGUUAAUGCCUUGAAAGUUUCUUUGAAAGAUGUUCUCUUCAUUGAUUCGUGCCUAAUUGGUGUCUCAGUUGAUUCGUGUCCAGCUGGUGCUCCUUGAUUGAGGGAGUAAUCAACAAAAUUUAUUACCUAUAACACCAUACACUAGGGUAGCAAAGAAAAAGCUACUAUAGUAUAGUGGCUCUAGGGUCGUUCACUGGGAAUGACUAACAAGCAAUCAAUGAUACCAAUUCCAAGUGAAUUGGUCUUGUUUCAUUUCAAGGUUAGCUUAAGAAGUAAAACACAAACUUUGAUUGGUAAAGGUUUAGACUUAAACUAACUAACAUAACAGAAGUUUGGAAUAAUUUAGGAAGAAAAGCAUUCCUUAGAGAAUUAGGUUCACUGGGGUGGUUCCUCAUGCAAAUGACAUAGCUCCGGUCAGAUGGUUCAUUUCCUCGCAUUAGAGAUUCAACAUAUAGUCAAUUCUCUAACCGGUGUUAUACAGAGACUCCUUCAAUUAGAUUUCACUUUAAUUCUCUCACUGAUGCACUUUGCAAUGGUUUAAGCCUCUCACUAAGCCUUAACCAUUCAAGGUGAUCUUUAACCUUGGAUUACCCGUCAAAAGCUCGCAAGAUAUAACUAAUGGAUGCCUCCUAGGAGUCCAAAAGCUUACCAAGUGUUGGCUAUUCUAGAAAAUCCUACCCUGAAGUCACCUACCAGAGGCUCGCAAGGGGUAAACUGGUGCAUUUCCAUGGUUGGAAAUCACUUGCCUUACCAAGUGUUGGCCCAGGUGACUCCAAGGUGUUUUAAGUUAACUAAAAACAUAGAAAUCACUAAAGGAUUUCACUUCCUCUUCAUUACUAGCUAAAACCACAGAGCUUUGCAUUCUUGCACUUGGAACCUUCCCCGACAACCUUAGCUCCGAGGAAUUAGAGGUUUAGUUACUCAUUCUCUGGGGAAAACUCCUCAGAGAAUUCAUAACUUAGAAAUAAAAUGAAAAUACAAAGUGAGAAGGUAAGGUAGUAGAAAGAAAAUAGACUUUACUUGCUUACCUAAACGUUUACAAAAGGAACUCCUCUCUGAGAACAGGCUCCCGAGAGGUAUAUAUAUCAACAUAAUAUAAAACUAAUUGUUACAAAAAUAUUUAGUCUUUUUACUAACUUAAAAACUAAGGAAUCAUGUAAUUGGUGGUUUACAAGGAGUAUUUUGGGAUUUAGACAACAAAAAUCUAAUGGAAAAUAUCUCCUAAUGUCGAUAGCAAAUAUCGGAGGCUUCAGGAGCCAUUUCGCAGGAGAAAAAUGGUGUCUGCGAGAUUUCGCAGACACUCAAGAGGGCUGCGAAAUUAUUUCGCAACACCAAACUAUCUUCAUAGGGCUGCGAAGUUGGCUUCGACCUUGAGGUUCCCAACUUCCUUCUCGCGGCAUAAAUCGUGCAUCGUCAGAAGGAGAAACACCUUACUGUACAAAAAUGCUGCGAAAUCACUUCGCAACAAAAGGGUGAUUUCGCAACACUUUGCAAAAUGCUUCCUUCAGCUCGGAGUGAUUGGCUUGUAAUGGCUGCAGCUUCUUCGUUUCAACUCCGAAUUGCACACCGUUUGAAGCAUUGGAUUUUUGACUUCCUGAGCUUUGAAAUGGUAUAUAGCAUGCAUCAUUUGGACUUCAUAAAGUACUCCAAAAGUGGCUGCUACGACUGUCAUCAAGAAUAGGCUUUAUGGCAGAUUCUCUUUGCUUUUUCUCCUUGCAAUCCGGAUUCACUCUUGGCACAUGACUUCUAAGCUUUGCCCAAGAUUCCUCAUAGCUCUCCUCAGUCUUGACUUGCUUUGGUGAUCAAAAUACUAACAAAAACACCAAAACUUACACAAAGUGAUUAAAAUUGCUUUAAAGGAUCCUUAACAUGUCAAUUGAGUUAAAAGGCCUAAACUACUACUCAAAAGUGUUUAAAAGGAUUAAUUAUAGGCUAUCAAAUAGCACUUUUUGAGUAGUAAUCACUCCCCCCAACCGACAUAUUGCUAGUCCCUUAGCAAUAUAGGAGAGAAAAAAAUGAAAAUAAAUAACAAACUAAUCUAAAAUUUACAACAUCAUGCUAAAGGAAAAUAAUUCUCAAGUGGCAUGAUGAUCUAUUUCUCACAUGAAUCAUUAAAGAAAUACAAACCCAAAUCUCAACAAGAGUCAUAACAAACUAUGUUAAACACUGUCAAUCAAGGGAGUGCAUUAUGCAAACUGAAGUUUUAAAAUCAUUUCCACUUUCUAAGAAUCAAACUUUAAUCUUCCACAAAAAAUCUAUGUGUAUUGGUUCCUUAGGUUCCGAGAAUAAUAUGCUAAACUAAUCUCUCCCCCCAACCUAUCUCUUUUCAAUACUUUAGCAAUCUGACCAAAAUCAAUAAGAAAAGAACACACUGUCAUUUUUUAUUUUUUUUUUAUUUUUUUUUCAAGGUAGCUUUAUGGGGUACUCUUUCUGAUUUGUCCAUGUAAUGGGGGUCCAUCGAUGACUCCCAACCAAUUAAGGUUUAGGGCACCAAGUUUUAAGGAUCUUUCAACCACUAACUCCUCGGAUUUUUCCCCGGACUUUUAAGAAUGAAUUUCUAAUACCCAAGCAUCUACCAUAUGCUAACUCUACCUAUUCACCCUUGUAACGAGCAUUGAGGUCGGUGUCUCCCAACCAAUUAAGGCUUAGGGCAUUAGGCUUUAAAGGCUUUCACCAUAUGCCCCUUAGACCUUGCUCGGGUUUCAAGGCAAGCAAACAACUUUCUUUAUUUCAAAGGCUCAUUGGCCUUUUGCAGGGUGUUUCAAUUUUUAUCAAAUGAGGUCAAAUAUACCAAGUCCCAAAAUUAUCCUAAGUCAAGAGGGAAAUAGCUUUUCAUCUUAUAAUCGGAAUCUAAUGUGCACAGUGUGUGGAUAGCUUAAAGUGGAAGAACUUAAUUCAAUUUCAAUAGAAGUUUCAACAAUUGAACCACUUUAGUAAGCAUAAUCCAUACUCUAAGUCAAGUGAAAAAACAACAGUUCAAUUUCUCUUGGUUUAAUUUGAAAAUUUUUCCUCAAAAUUCAUGGAGAAUAGAGUAACAAGAGUAAAAAGUAAAAACUACAACUAAUUAACCAAUAUAAUUGCAAUACCAAAAAGGUUUAGAAUACUUCCUUCCUCAUACCCCCCAACCGAACUGAGCAUUGUCCUCAAUGUGAUAUGAGUGACUGUGAGUAAAGGGAGGAAGUGGUACCUCCUGACUGCUAUCAAAUUCGAAUAUUGAUUGAGGAAAACCACAUGUUUCAAAAAGAAUAGAAUAUGUGAGAAAAGGAAAUAAGAAUAACUUAAUGCUAACUGUUAACAAGAACUAUUCAACUUGUAUUACUUUCAAUUCAUUCGAGUACAAUGUAAAAGACAAGUAACACAAGGAAUCCCAUAUAUAGUACCAAAAUACUGGGAUUUCUUUUCAACUAAAAAACGAAAUACAUAAAAAUAUUAGAUAUAUAUAAUAGUCUGAUGAGUGGUGCUGGGGCUAGAACUAGGCAGAUGGAUCUGCUGCCUUUUCAGUAGGUGCAUCAGCUGGGGCUUCGGGCUCUGGAGGAUGAGACUCUGAAGGAUGAGGGUGUGGCUCUGUUGGAGUAGAAGUGGAGGGCUCUACAGCUUGUGGCAGAUCGAAAUGGACUUGGAGCUGCCUUAAGAUGGCAGCUUGUUGAGCCUGAGUGGCUAACAUCUGCUCUUGGCAUGCUGUGAUGGCUGCCAUCUCUUGAGCAAGAUUGCUCUGAGAAGCUGUAAGAGUCUCCAAUGCACGGCACAACUCUCAAUAUUCAGAUAUAGGAAUGGCCAUCCUCGGCUCAGCUGAUGUGGAUGGCUAAGAUGAAGCAGGUGUAGCUGGUGGAGCUCUAGGAAUGGCAGGAGUAGCAACUGUUAUACCUUCAGGUAUAUAUCUUAGGGAGGCUCUCCUUGCAGCUGGUUGAGGCUGCCCAGGCUGAUCAACUUUGUAGGCCGUCAUAUUAUUCCAUUUAUCAAGAGUGAAUGGGUCACGGCAUAUUCGCUUUCUCUCCAGCUGAGGCUCAGCCGGGUAUCCUAGAUGCUCCAAAAUUUGGCAUAGCAGCCUUGGGAAGAGGAGGGGAAUGCAAUCUGCUCUCUGAAGCUUCUUCUUGUGAACCUUCUCUUCAAAAUAGAGAAGGGCUGCCAUGAUCAGAUGAUGAGGCCCAAAGAAGAAUCCUUCUGACAUCUUGUAUAGAGCUUCCAGGAGAACUCCCCUUCUUUGGGUCCAAUGCUGCAAUGGAUAGAUAUUAUGGCGCAAAAAGGCAUCAAUCAAAAACAUAACUGGGGGAAGCUCCCCCCUCAGCAGAUGUGAUCGAUUUGCAGCUCCUCUGGAAACGGUGCGAACCAUUUCUAGCUCAGUAGGAUUUGCCCAAGCUCUAAAAUUAUCGAAUUGGGUUGGCUCAAAAGGAAUUUGCAGGGCUUCAGCAAUAUGUCGUGCUCCCAAUAUACCAUGUCUCCCAUCGAUAGUGAAAUGAAUCAAGGUUGGAUUCCUGACCUCUUUAGUUGUCAUGGAUUGGUAGAAAUCCGUGGCUAUCCGGGGAUAGAAAAAGUCUCUUGGAGCUAGCAGAUGCUCCAUAUGAUACCUCCUCAGCAGCUGGAAUGAUUGGGCAAGCUCUGGCCUCACUCUGAAUGCUGCUAAGUUGAAGCAAAGCUCGGAAUGGAAUGUCCGAGUUCGACAAUCCAAGUUUCCCUCAAUUGGGGGCUGAGGUAGCAUUGGCCUCCUAAUCACUUCUUCCAGAGGUGUUUCUGCUUGAAUUUGGGGCUCGGGAAGUGGCACUUGAGGCUCCUGAGAUUUUUCUUGCAGAGCCGGAGAUGGUACCGGCGAUGGAACUGGCAAGGGACUUGGCGAGAGAACCGGCGAUGGCACUGGAGUUUGAACCGGUGAUGGAAUUGGAGAAGGCUCUGGAUAUUGCUCAGUCAAAUCGAUGGGUUCUGAGCUCUCCACCCUGGGUUUCUUUUGCAAUGGCCGACCACCUGACCUGGUAAGGUAUCGUCUUGUCGGCGGCUUUGGUGGCACGGGCUUCACCGGAGGUGGAAUUGGCCUUGACGGCGAAGCCUCUAGAGCAGAACCUGGACUUGGCUCCUUUCGCAGACUCUUCUUGCGGUUCGAAGGAGAUGAAGACUUAGCCCCUCGUGUUCACGCCAUUUUGGGCUAUCGAACUUUGGCCGGCGUUGCUGAUCGGAGAAGGUGACCGGAGGCUCGGACGGUGUGGCUCAUUGAAGAAGACGAACAGGCUGCGAGAAUGGUGCUCUGAUUUUUGAAACCCUUUUCGCAGCUCAAAUGACCGGUAUAAAUAGGAAAAACGGAAGCCUAAGGGUCAGUUUAAGUUCACAGCAAAAUGCCAUUUUCGCAGCAACUUCGCAGUGAGUUUCGCAGCUGCGAAAUUGAUGUUACUGUGCUGCGAAAUGGCACUCGUGUGCCAAAACCAUUUUCGCAAUUGCGAAAUACCCUGCGGAAUGGGACUUUUGGUGCGAAAUCACGCUUUGGCUAUCGAAAUGGAUGCUAUUGUACUGCGAAGUGGCACUCGUGUGCCAAAACCACUUUCGCAGCUGCGAAAUACCCUCGCAGAGACUUCUACAGUGUUGUGGAAUGGUUUGGCAACAAAAUGCUCAGUUCGCAGAAGUUUUCUUCAGCCUGCGAAAUUUCGCAGAGCUCUGUUUUUCCCCUGUUUUUGCUCUGUUUUGGCUCCGAUUUCGACCCGAUUUUUUUUCUUUCAAUCUCCUUGAAAUUUCUUCCACCUGGGAUCAUUUAAAAGGAUUAAAACACACCUAAAAACAUGAUUUAAGAUCAAAAACUAAGAUCAAAAGUAUGGAAACAACUUGAAAAUUUACAAAAUUUACAAAAAUUUUGAACUGUGGUAAACCACGUCCAGCAAACCCUUUUUCACUUAGGCUUUUUGAGGCUCAAGGAGGUUGAUUGCCUCCUUUUCUGAUUUGAAUGGCUCCAUGAAUGGCUUGAGACGAUAUCCAUUGACUUUAAAGCUAUCCUUGCCAUUGGAAUUCAAUAAUUCCACCACUCCAUUGGACCAUACUCGGUGAAUAAUGAACGGGCCUAUCCACCUUGACUUGAGCUUCCCAGGAAAGAUAUGGAGUCUUGUGUCAUACAGUAAAACUCUUUGCCCUUCCUGAAAUUCCUUGUUGGAGAUGAGUUGAUCAUGCCACUUCUUCAUCCUCUGUUUUGCAACUUUGGAAUUGAUAUAAGCAUUAUUUCUUAAUUCCUCCAUCUCAUUAAGGUUUAGAAAUCUCUUUUCUCCGGCCUUGAUCAAGUCCAUGUUCAGCUUCUUUAUCGCCCACCAAGCCUUGUAUUCAACUUCCACAGGGAGAUGGCAUGCUUUGCCAUAGACAAGACGAUAGGGAGACAUCCCAAGAAUAGUCUUAUAAGCUGUUCUAUAUGCCCACAAUGAAUCAUAAAGCCUAAUAGACCAAUCUUUUCUGUUGGAAUUCACCACUUUCAUCAGGAUGUUCUUUAUUUCCCUGUUAGCUAGCUCAACUUGCCCGGAAGUUUGAGGAUGAUAAGGUGUGACCACCUUAUGCUUCACUCCAUACUUGGAUAGCAGAGCUUCAAAAGGUUUGUUGCAAAAAUGAGCUCUUCCAUCACUGAUUAUGGCCUUGGGCACCCCAAAUCUUGAGAAAAUGUUCUCUUUAAGAAACUUGAGAACCACCCUGUGAUCAUUUUGUUUACAGGGGAUUGCCUCAACCCAUUUAGAAACAUAAUCUACCCCCACCAAGAUGUAAGAAUUACCAAAAGACAUUGGGAAAGGUCCCAUGAAGUCAAUGCCCCAUACAUCAAAUAACUCAACUAUCAGAAUGGGGUUCAUAGGCAUUUGAUUUCUUUUUGUUAGCUUUCCAAGCCUUUGGCAUCUAUCACAAUUCCUACACAUGAUGUGGGCAUCCUUAAAAAGAGAUGGCCAAGUAAACCCUGAUUGCAAUACCUUCAUGGCUGUUUUCUGAGAGGCAAAGUGGCCUCCACAUGCAUUCUCAUGACAAUGAGAUAGAAUCCCUUGCUGCUCAUCUUCAGGGACACACUUCCUAAUAAUCUGAUCUGCACAAUACUUAAAGAGAAAGGGCUCUUCCCAAUAAUAAGAAUGAAUUUUGGCAAAGAAGUGUUUCCUGUCCUGUGCAUUCCACUCACUUGGAAUUUCUCCAGUUACUAAAUAAUUGGCAAUAUGAGCAUACCAAGGAGUUUUCACUAGGAACAUGAGUGAUUCUUCAGGAAAAUCAUCAUUGAUAGGCAAGGGAUGGGAAUUAUGUGCUAUAACUAACCUUGACAAGUGGUCAGCUACUACAUUCUCCACUCCUUUCUUAUCUUUGAUUUGAAGAUCGAAUUCUUGUAACAAAAGAAUCCAUCUAAUCAACCUUGCUUUUGCAUCUUGCUUUGUCAAUAAAUACUUCAAGGCUGAAUGGUCAGUAAAGACAAUGAUGAAAGACCCCACUAAAUAAGCACGAAAUUUGUCCAAAGCAAAUACCACAACUAACAAUUCUUUCUCUGUAGUUGUGUAGUUCCUUUGAGCUUCAUUUAGUGUUUUACUUGCAUAGUAAAUCACAUAGGGCUUCCCAUCUUCUCUUUGGCCAAGCACAGCUCCUAUAGCAAAGUCACUGGCAUCACACAUCAAUUCAAAAGGUAAUUGCCAGUUAGGGGCUCUCACUAUUGGAGUUGUUGUUAAAAAUUUCUUCAGUUGAUCAAAGCUACUUUGACACCUUUCAUCCCAUAUAAACUUAGCAUCCUUAGCUAACAGCUCACAAAGAGGUUUUGAAAGACUUGAAAAACCUUUUAUAAACCUCCUAUAAAACCCUGCAUGGCCAAGGAACUGCCUUACUCCUUUCACAGUUGUUGGAGAUGGUAAUUUGGCAAUAAGCUCCACCUUUGCUUUAUCAACUUCAAUGCCUUUUUCAGAGAUGAUAUGACCAAGGACAAUUCCUUGACGUACCAUAAAAUGGCAUUUCUCCUAGUUCAGCACCAAAUCUUUUUCAAUGCAUCUAUGAAGAACUGCUUCCAAAUUAACCAAGCAUUCCUCAAAUGUACCUCCAUAUACGGUGAUGUCAUCCAUGAAAACCUCCAUAAUUCUCUCCACCAUAUCACUGAAAAUACUCAACAUACAUCUUUGAAAUGUAGCAGGUGCAUUGCAUAAACCAAAAGGCAUUCUUCUAUAAGCAUAUGUUCCAAAUGGACAUGUAAAAGUGGUAUUUUCUUGAUCUGCCAAAUCAAUUUCAAUCUGAAAAUACCCUGAAUACCCAUCCAAGAAACAAUAGAAUGGAUGUCCAGAGACUCUCUCCAGCACUUGAUCAAUAAAUGGCAAUGGAAAAUGAUCCUUCCUAGUGACAGCAUUCAGCUUUCUAUAAUCAAUACACACCCUCCAACCUGAAGUGAAGCGUGUAGUAAUUUCUUCCCCUUUUUCAUUCUGAACCACUGUGAUCCCUGACUUCUUUGGUACCACUUGAGUAGGACUCACCCAAGGGCUAUCAAAUAUAGGGUAAAUGAUUCCUGCUUGAAGUAGCUUCAGCACCUCAGCUCGCACCACCUCUUGUAGAUGAGGAUUCAACCUUCUUUGAAAUUGUCGAAUUGGCUUUGCUUCCUCCUCCAUAUAUAUAUGAUGAGUACAAACUAAAGGACUAAUGCCUUUCAAGUCAGAAAUUUGCCAUCCUAUUGCCUUCUUACACUUCCUGAGAACUUUCAUUAAACAAUUCUCUUGAUGAUUGGUCAGAGAUGAAGAUAUCACAACAGGACAUUGAUUAUUUUCUUCAAGGUAUGUAUAUUUCAGCUCCACAGGUAAAGGCUUCAGAUUGAGUUUUGGAAUUUCUUUUUCAACAGCUGUCUCCUCUUCUUUUUUGAACAAAGUUAGAAUAUCUUCUAUCUUUCUCCAACUUUGUAGAGUAGCAAGCCUAAUAGGAGAUUCAGAAAAACCUUCCUCAAUAUCCUCAAGACUUGCAUUCAACUUGUCUUGCAUAUUUUGAUUACAGUGCUCCUCUACCAAAGUAUCAAUAAUACAUAACUCUUCUGGACCUUCUUCUUCUUCUGGAGUGAUUUGCUUUUUAGACAUAUAGAAAAUAUUGAGAUCCAGUGUCAUGUUACCAAAAGUGAGUUGCAUAAGCCCAUUCCUGCAGUUGAUGAUUGCAUUUGAAGUUGCAAGAAAUGGCCUUCCAAGGAUGAUAGGAACUAAAUUAGCUUCCUUUACAGUAGGAUCUGUAUCAAGAACAAUAAAAUCUACUGGAUAGUAGAAAUUAUCCACUUGAACCAAUACAUCCUCAAUUACCGCUCUUGGAAUUUUCACUGAUCUAUCUGCCAGAGAUAGAGUGAUUGCUGUUGGCUUCAACUCUCCAAGGCCUAAUUGCUUGUAAACAGAAUAAGGAAGCAAAUUCACACUUGCUCCCAAAUCUAGCAAGGCUUUCUCCACUACCUUUCCUCCAAAAAUGACUGAAAUGGUAGGACUUCCAGGGUCUUUGUACUUCAAAGGAGACUUACAUUGUAAGAUUGCACUUACUUGCUCAGUCAAGAAGGCUUUCUUGUUUACAGUCAACCCUCUUUUGAUAGUACACAAGUCCUUUAGGAAUUUUGCAUACGUUGGAACUUAAUUGAUCAUAUCCAGCAGUGGAAUAUUGACUUUCACUUGUCUCAAUACUUCAAGGAUUUCAGCUGCAUUUCUAAUCCCCUUUUUCCCAUGUAAUGCUUGAGGAAAAGGUGGAGAAGUUGAUUUCUUCAGCAUUUCUUCCUUCAAAAGCUCCUUCUCUGGAAUUACUUUCAUUGUUGCAUCAGAGUCCUUCUUUUCUUCACUGAUCUCACUCUCUUUAUCUUCCAUUUCCUUCCCUUUCUUUAUCUCUUCUUCUUUCUCAACAUGUGGCUUGGGUGUUGGCUGCUCAAUUUUCUUACCACUCCUUAGAGUGAUCAAAGCUUUGACAUCCUUCACCUGUGAUGAUUCUCCCUCCUGGUUUUCCACUUCAUGGACACCUUUGGGAUUUUGGUGAGGUUGAGAAGGAAAUCUUCCCUUUUCUUGCAGUGUAUUCAAAUUUGUAAGCCUUGAAAUUGAAUAUUGGAUGUUGUCAAACUUUUGGUUCAUAUCAUUUUGCAUUCCAUCCAUCCUUUUAUUCAACAUACUCUCCACUCUAUCAAUUUUUUGAUCGACUCGAGCAUUAGUGGCUUCUUGCUUUUCAAUAAAAUCUCCCAUUACCUUAGUGAGAUUGGCUACUGCUUGUUCAAUACUUGAAGAUUGUUGAGAUGGUGGAUCCGGCUAUUGGUAUUGAGUUGCUCUGGCCUUCCAUGAGAAAUUUGGAUGAUUCCUCCAACUUGAGUUGUAGGUAUUUCCAUAAGGAGCAUUGUUAUUAGGCCUGAAUUGUCCAACAACAUUUGCUUGAUCUCUAAACAUUUCCCUUUCAACUGAAAUUACAGGGCAUUCCUCCAUCAAAUGUUCAAAUGAUUGACAAUUGGGACACAGCUUCACUUGCACUGGUGCUUUAGCAAAAGCUUGCACUUCAUGUAUUCUUUUCAGCUCCAGCUCCUCCAAUCUUCUUGUCAUAGCUGCCAACUUUGCUUUCAUAUCAUCAUCUUCUUUCAAGGUAUACAUCCCAGCCUUUGCAUUGUAAGCAUUCAACUGAGACUUCAUCUUUCCCACUUCUCCUUUAGUUCGUUCAUCCCAUCCCCUUGAAACAUCAGCUACAUAACUCAAGAAAUCCAUAGCUUCCUCUGGAUUUUUGCUCAUGAAAUCUCCUCCACACAUUGUCUCGAGGAGUUGCUUCAUUGAGGAGGACAUACCAUCAUAAAAAUAGCUCACCAAUAGCCAAGUAUCAAAGCCAUGGUGAGGACAAGCAUUUAUAGCUUCCAUGUAUCUUUCCCAACAAUCAUAGAAUUUCUCAUUCUCUUUAGCUGAGAAGUUUGAAAUUUGCCUUUUCAAGCCAUUUGUUCUAUGAGUAGGAAAAAAUUUCUUGAGGAAUUCAGCUUGUAAAUCAGUCCAAGAGCAGAUACUCUAAUUCGUGCCCAAUUAGUGUCUCAGCUAAUUUGUGUUUAGCUGGUGCUCCUUGAUUGAGGGAGUAAUCAACAAAAUUUAUUACCUAUAACACCAUACACUAGGGUAGCAAAGAAAAAGCUACUAUAGUAUAGUGGCUCUAGGGUCGUUCACUGGGAAUGACUAACAAGCAAUCAAUGAUACCAAUUCCAAGUGAAUUGGUCUUGUUUCAUUUCAAGGUUAGCUUAAGAAAUAAAACACAAAUUUUGAUUGGUAAAGGUUGAGACUUAAACUAACUAACAUAACAGAAGUUUGGAAUAAUUUAAGAAGAAAAGCAUUCCUUGGAGAUUUAGGUUCACUGGGGUGGUUCCUCAUGCAAAAGACAUAGCUCCGGUCAGUUGGUUCAUUUCCUCGCAUUAGAGAUUCAACUUAUAGUCAAUUCUCUAACCGGUGAUGUACAGAGACUCCUUCAAUUAGAUUUCACUUUAAUUCUCUCACUGAUGCAACUUGCAAUGGUUUAAGCCUCUCACUAAGCCUUAACCAUUCAAGGUGAUCUUUAACCUUGGAUUACCCGUCAAAAGCUCGCAAGAGAUAACUAAUGGAUGCCUCCUAGGAGUCCAAAAGCUUACCAAGUGUUGGCUAUUCUAGAAAAUCCUACCUUGAAGUCACCUACCAGAGGCUCGCAAGGGGUAAACUAGUGCAUUUCCAUGGUUGGAAAUCACUUGCCUUACCAAGUGUUGGCCCAGGUUACUCUAAGGUGUUUUAAGUUAACUAAAAACAUAGAAAUCACUAAAGGAUUUCACUUCCUCUUCAUUAAUAGCUAAAACCACAGAGCUUUGCAUUCUUGCACUUGGAACCUUCCCCGACAACCUUAGCUCCAAGGAAUUAGAGGUUUAGUUACUCAUUCUCUGGGGAAAACUCCUCAGAGAAUUCAUAACUUAGAAAUAAAAUGAAAAUACAAAGUGAGAAGGUAAGGCAGUAGAAAGAAAAUAGACUUUACUUGCUUACCCAAACGGUUACAGAAGGAACUCCUCCCUGAGAACAGGCUCCCGAGAGGUAUAUAUAUCAACAUAAUAUAAAACUAAUUGUUUCAAAGAUAUUUAGUCUUUUUACUAACUUAAAACUAAGGAAUCAUGUAAUUGGUGGUUUACAAGGAGUAUUUUGGGAUUUAGACAACAAAAAUCUAAUGGAAAAUAUCUCCCAAUGUCGGUAGCAAGCUUCGGGAGGCUUCAGGAGACAUUUCGCAGGAGAAAAAUGGUGUCUGCGAGAUUUCGCAGACACCCAAGAGGGCUGCGAAAUUAUUUCGCAACACCAAACUAUCUUCACAGGGCUGCGAAGUUGGCUUCGACCUUGAGGUUCCCAACUUCCUUCUCGCGGCAUAAAUCGUGCAUCGUCAGAAGGAGAAACACCUUACUGUACAAAAAUGCUGCGAAAUCACUUCGCAACAAAAGGGUGAUUUCGCAACACUUUGCAAAAUGCUUCCUUCAGCUCCGAGUGAUUGGCUUGUAAUGGCUGCAAAUUCUUCGUUUCAACUCCGAAUUGCACACCGUUUGAAGCAUUGGAUUGUUGACUUCCUGAGAUUUGAAAUGGUAUAUAGCAUGCAUCAUUUGGACUUCAGAAAGUGCUCCAAAAGUGGCUGCUACGACUGUCAUCAAGAAUAUGCUUUAUGGCAGAUUCUCUUUGCUUUUUCUCCUUGCAAUCCGGAUUCACUCUUGGCAAAUGACUUCUAAGCUUUGCCCAAGAUUCCUCAUAGCUCUCCUCAGUCUUGACUUGCUUUGGUGAUCAAAAUACUAACAAAAACACCAAAACUUACACAAAGUGAACAAAAUUGCUUUAAAGGAUCCUUAACAUGCCAAUUGAGUUAAAAGGCCUAAACUACUACUCAAAAGUGUUUAAAAGGAUUAAUUAUAGGCUAUCAAAUAGCACUUUUUGAGUAGUAAUCACUCCCCCCAACCGACAUAUUGCUAGUCCCUUAGCAAUAUAGGAGAGAAAAAUGAAAAUAAAUAACAAACUAAUCUAAAAUUUACAACAUCAUGCUAAAGGAAAAUAAUUCUCAAGUGGCAUGAUGAUCUAUUUCUCACAUGAAUCAUUAAAGAAAUACAAACCCAAAUCUCAACAAGAGUCAUAACACCUAUGCUAAACACUGUCAAUCAAGGGAGUGCAUUAUGCAAACUGAAGUUUUAAAAUCAUUUCCACUUUCUAAGAAUCAAACUUUAAUCUUCCACAAAAAUCUAUGUGUAUUAGUUCCUUAGCUUCCAAGAAUAAUAUGCUAAACUAGUCUCACCCCCCAACCUAUCUCUUUUUAACACUUUAGCAAUCUGACCAUAAUCAAUAAGAAAAGAACACACUUUUUUUUUUUUUUCAAGGUAGCUUUAUGGGAUACUCUUUCUGACUUGUCCAUGUAAUGGGGGUCCAUCGAUGGCUCCCAACCAAUUAAGGUUUAGGGCACCAAGCUUUAAGGAUCUUUCAACCACUAACUCCUCGGAUUUUUCCCCGGACUUUUAAGAAAGAAAUUCUACUACCCAAGCAUCUACCAUAUGCUAACUCUACCUAUUCACCCUUGUAACGAGCAUUGAGGUCGGUGACUCCCAACCAAUUAAGGCUUAGGGCACCAGGCUUUAAAGGCUUUCACCAUAUGCCCCUCAGACCUUGCUCGGGUUUCAAGGCAAGCAAACAACUUUCUUUAUUUCAAAGGCUCAUUGGCCUUUUGCAGGGUGUUUCAAUUUUAUCAAAUGAGGUCAAAUAUACCAAGUCCCAAAAUUAUCUUAAGUCAAGAGGGAAAUAGUUUUUCAUCUUAUAAUCGGAAACUAAUGUGCACAGUGUGUGAAUAGCUUAAAGUGGAAGAACUAAAUUCAAUUUCAAUAGAAGUUUCAACAAUUGAACCACUUUAGUAAGCAUAAUCCAUACUCUAAGUCAAGUGAAAAACAACAGUUCAAUUUCUCUUGGUUUAAUUUGAAAAUUUUUCCUCAAAAUUCAUGGAGAAAAUAGUAACACUAGUAAAAAGUAAAAUCUACAACUAAUUAACCAAUAUAAUUGCAAUACCAAAAAGAUUUAGCAUACUUCCUUCCUCAUACCCCCCAACCGAACUGAGCAUUGUCCUCAAUGUGAUUUGAGUGACUGUAAUAAAAGGGAGGAAGUGGUACCUCCUUGCUAAUAUCAAAUUCGAAUAUUGAUUGGGAAAAACCACAUGUUUCAAAAAGAAUAGAAUAUGUGAGAAAAGGAAAUAAGGAGAACUUAAUGCUAACUUUUAACAAGAAAUAUUCAACUUGUAUUACUUUGAGUUCAUUCAAGUAUAGUGCAAAAGACAAGUAAUCACAAGGAAUCCCAUAUAUAGUACCAAAAUACUGGGAUUUCUUUUCAACAAAAAACAAAAAUGCAUAAAAACAUAAACAGAAAAUAUAUAUAAUGUCUGAUGAGUGGGGUGAUGGUGCUAGGCAGAAGGAUUUGCCUCCACAGUAGGUGGAUCAGCUGGUGGUUCGGGCUCUGGAGGAUGAGACUCUGAAGGCUGAGAGUGUGGCUCUGGUGGAGUAGAAAUGGAGGGCUCUACAGCUUGUGGCAAAUCGAAAUGGACUUGGAGCUGCCUUAGGAUGGCAGCUUGUUGAGCCUGAGAGGCUAACAUCUGCUCUUGGCAAGCUCUGAUGGCUGCCAUCUCCUGAGCAAGAUUGCUCUGAGAAGCUGUAAGAGUCUCCAAUGCACGGCACAACUCUCGAUAUUCAGAUAUAGGAAUGGCCAUCCUCGGCUCAGCUGAUGUGGAUGGCUAAUAUGAAGCAGGUGCAGCUGGUGGAGCUCUAGGAAUGGCAGGAGCAGCAACUGUUAUACCCUCAGGUAUACGUUGGGGAGGCUCUCCUUGCAGCUGGCUGAGGCUGUCCAGGCUAAUCAACUUUGUAGGCCGUCAUAUUGUUCCAUUUAUCAAGAGUGAAUGGCUCACGGCAUAUUCGCUUUCUCUCCAGCUGAGGCUCAGAGGGGUAUCCCAGAUGCUCCAAAAUUUGGCAUAGCAGCCUUAGGAAGAGGAGGGGAAUACAAUCUGCUCUCUGAAGCUUCUUUCUGUGAACCUUCUCUUCAAAAUAGAGAAGGGCUGCCAUGAUCAGAUGAUGAGACCCAAAGAAGAAUCCUUCUGACAUCUUGUACAGAGCUUCCAGGAGAACUCCCCUUCUUUGGGUCCAAUGCUGCAAUGGAUAUAUAUUAUGGCGCAAAAAGGCAUCAAUCAAAAACAUAACUGGAGAAAGCUCCCCCCUCAGCAGAUGUGAUCGAUUUGCAGCUCCUCUGGAAAGGGUGCGCACCAUCUCUAGCUCAGUAGGAUUUGCCCAAGCUCUAAAAUUAUCGAAUUGGGUUGGCUCAAAAGGAAUUUGCAGGGCUUCAGCAAUAUGUCUUGCUCCCAAUAUACCAUGUCUCCCAUCAAUUGUGAAAUGAAUCAAGGUUGGAUUUCUGACCUCUUUGGUUGUCAUGGACUGGUAGAAAUCUGUGGCUAUCCGGGGAUAGAAAAAGUCUCUUGGAGCUAGCAGUUGCUCCAUAUGAUACCUCCUCAGCAGCUGGAAUGAUUGGGCAAGCUCUGGCCUCACUCUGAAUGCUGCUAAGUCGAAGCAAAGCUCGGAAUGAAAUGCCCGUGUUCUACAAUCCAAGUUUCCUUCGAUUGGGGGCUGAGGUAGCAUUGGCCUCCUAAUUACUUCUUCCAGAGCUGUUUCAGUUUGCAUUUGGGGCUCGGGAAGAGGCACUUGAGGCUCCUGGGAUUUUUCUUGCGGCGCCGGAGAUGGUACCGGCGAUGGUACUGGCAGGGGGCUCGGCGAGGGAACCGGAGACGGCACUGGAGUUUGAACCGGUGAUGGAAUUGGAGAAGGCUCUGGAGAUUGCUCAGUCAAAUCGAUGGGUUCUAAGCUCUCCACCCUGGUUUUCUUCUGCAAUGGCCGACCGCCUGACCUAGUAAGGUAUCGUUUUGCCGGCGGCUUUGGCGGCGCUGGUUUCACCGGAGGAGGAUUUGGCCUUGACAGCGUAGGCUCUGGAGCAGAACCUGGACUUGGCUCCUUUCGCAGACUCCUUUUGCGGUUCGAAUGAGAUGAAGACUUAGCCCCUCGUGUUCGCGCCAUUUUGGGCUAUCGAACUUUGGCCGGCAUUGCUGAUCGGAGAAGAUGACCGGAGGCUCGAACGGCGUGGCUUGGCGAAGAAGACGAAGCGGCUGCGAGAAUGGUGCUCUGGUUUUUGAAACCCUUUUCGCAGCACAAAUGACCGGUAUAAAUAGGAAAAACGGAAGCCUAAGGGUCAGUUUAAGUUUCGCAACAAAACGCCAAUUUCGCAGCAACUUGCCAUUUUCGCAGCAACUUCGCAGUGAGUUUCGCAGCUGCGAAAUUGAUGUUACUGUGCUGCGAAGUGGCACUCGUGUGCCAAAACCACUUUCGCAAUUGCGAAAUACCCUGCGGAAUGGGACUUUUGGUGCGAAAUCACGCUUUUCCACUUCGCAAUGCGUUUCGCAGCUGCCAAAUGGAUGCUACUGUACUGCGAAGUGGCACUCGUGUGCCAAAUUCACUUUCGCAGUUGCGAAAUACCUUCGCAGAGACUUCUACAGUGUUGCGGAAUGGUUUGGCAACAAAAUGCCCAUUUCGCAGAAGUUUCCUUCUUUCUACGAAAUUUCACAGAGCUCUGUUUUUCCCCUGUUUCUGCUUUGUUUUGACUCCGAUUUCGACCCGAUUUUUUUUCUUUCAAUCUCCUUGAAAUUUCUUCCACCUGGGAUCAUUCAAAACGAUUAAAACACACCUAAAAACAUGAUUUAAGAUCAAAAACUAAGAUCAAAAGUAUGGAAACAACUUAAAAAUUUACAAAAUUUACAAAAAUUUUGGACUGUGGUAAACCACGUCCAGCAAACCCUUUUUCACUUAGGCUUUUUGAGGCUCAAGGAGGUUGAUUGCCUCUUUUUCUGAUUUGAAUGGCUCCAUGAAUGGCUUGAGACGAUAUCCAUUGACUUUGAAGCUAUCCUUGCCAUUGGAAUUCAAUAAUUCCACCACUCCAUUGGACCAUACUCGGUGAAUAAUGAACGGGCCUAUCCACCUUGACUUGAGCUUCCCAGGAAAGAUAUGGAGUCUUGUGUCAUACAUCAAAACUCUUUGCCCUUCCUGAAAUUCCUUGUUGGAGAUGAGUUGAUCAUGCCACUUCUUCAUCCUCUGUUUUGCAACUUUGGAAUUGAUAUAAGCAUUAUUUCUUAAUUCCUCCAUCUCAUUAAGGUCUAGAAAUCUCUUUUCUCCGGCCUUGAUCAAAUCCAUAUUCAGCUUCUUUAUUGCCCACCAAGCCUUGUAUUCAACUUCCACAGGGAGAUGGCAUGCUUUACCAUAGACAAGACGAUAGGGAGACAUCCCAAGAAUAGUCUUAUAAGCUGUUCUAUAUGCCCACAAUGAAUCAUGAAGCCUAAUAGACCAAUCUUUUCUGUUGGAAUUCACCACUUUCAUCAAGAUGUUCUUUAUUUCCCUGUUAGCUAGCUCAACUUGCCCGGAAGUCUGAGGAUGAUAAGGUGUAGCCACAUUAUGCUUCACUCCAUACUUGGAUAACAGAGCUUCAAAAGGUUUGUUGCAAAAAUGAGCACCUCCAUCACUGAUUAUGGCUUUGGGUACCCCAAAUCUUGAGAAAAUGUUCUCUUUAAGAAACUUGAGAACCACCCUGUGAUCAUUUUGUUUACAAGGGAUUGCCUCAACCCACUUAGAAACAUAAUCCACCCCCACCAAAAUGUAAGAAUUACCAAAAGACAUUAGGAAAGGUCCCAUGAAGUCAAUGCCCCAUACAUCAAAUAACUCAACUAUCAGAAUGGGGUUCAUAGGCAUUUGAUUUCUUUUUGUUAGCUUUCCAAGCCUUUGGCAUCUAUCACAAUUUCUACACAUGAUGUGGGCAUCUUUGAAAAGAGAUGGCCAAGUAAACCCUGAUUGCAAUACCUUCAUGGCGGUUUUCUGAGAGGCAAAGUGGCCUCCACAUGCAUUCUCAUGACAAUGAGAUAGAAUCCCUUGCUGCUCAUCUUCAGGGACACACUUCCUAAUAAUCUGAUCUGCACAAUACUUAAAGAGAAAGGGCUCUUCCCAAUAAUAACCAUGAAUUUUGGCGAAUAAGUGUUUCCUGUCCUGUGCAUUCCACUCACUUGGAAUUUCACCAGUUACUAAAUAAUUAGCAAUAUGAGCAUACCAAGGAGUUUUCACUAGGAACAUGAGUGAUUCUUCAGGAAAAUCAUCAUUGAUAGGCAAGGGGUGGGAAUUAUGUGCUAUAACUAACCUUGACAAGUAGUCAGCUACCACAUUCUCCACUUCUUUCUUAUCUUUGAUUUGAAGAUCGAAUUCUUGUAACAAAAGAAUCCAUCUAAUCAACCUUGCUUUUGCAUCUUGCUUUGUCAAUAAAUACUUCAAGGCUGAAUGGUCAGUAAAAACAAUAAUGAAAGACCCCACUAAAUAAGCUCGAAAUUUGUCCAAAGCAAAUACCACAGCUAACAAUUCUUUCUCUGUAGUUGUGUAGUUCCUUUGAGCUUCAUUUAGUGUUUUACUUGCAUAGUAAAUCACAUAGGGCUUCCCAUCUUCUCUUUGGCCAAGCACAGCUCCUAUAGCAAAGUCACUGGCAUCACACAUCAAUUCAAAAGGCAAUUGCCAGUUAGGUGCUCUCACUAUUGGAGUUGUUGUUAAAAAUUUCUUCAGUUGAUCAAAGCUAUUCUGACAUCUUUCAUCCCAUAUAAACUUAGCAUCCUUAGCUAACAGCUCACAAAGAGGUUUUGAAAGACUUGAAAAACCUUUUAUAAACCUCCUAUAGAACCCUGCAUGGCCAAGGAACUGCCUUACUCCUUUCACAGUUGUUGGAGAUGGUAAUUUGGCAAUAAGCUCCACCUUUGCUUUAUCAACUUCAAUGCCUUUUUCAGAGAUGAUAUGGCCAAGGACAAUUCCUUGACGUACCAUAAAAUGGCAUUUCUCCCAGUUGAGCACCAUGUCUUUUUCAAUGCAUCUAUGAAGAACUGCUUCCAAAUUAACCAAGCAUUCCUCAAAUGUACCUCCAUAUACGGUGAUGUCAUCCAUGAAAACCUCCAUAAUUCGCUCCACCAUAUCACUGAAAAUACUCAACAUACAUCUUUGAAAUGUAGCAGGUGCAUUGCAUAAACCAAAGGGCAUUCUUCUAUAAGCAAAUGUUCCAAAUGGACAUGUAAAAGUGGUCUUUUCCUGAUCUGCCAAAUCAAUUUCAAUCUGAAAAUACCCUGAAUACCCAUCCAAGAAACAAUAGAAUGGAUGUCCAGAGACUCUCUCCAGCACUUGAUCAAUAAAUGGCAAUGGAAAAUGAUCCUUUCUGGUGACAGCAUUCAACUUCCUAUAAUCAAUACACACCCUCCAACCUGAAGUGAGGCGUGUAGUAAUUUCUUCCCCUUUUUCAUUUUGAAUCACUGUGAUCCCUGACUUCUUUGGUACCACUUGAGUAGGACUCACCCAAGGGCUAUCAGAUAUAGGGUAAAUGAUUCCUGCUUGAAGUAGCUUCAGCACUUCAGCUCGUACCACAUCUUGUAGAUGAGGAUUCAACCUUAUUUGAAAUUGUCGAAUUGGCUUUGCUUCCUCCUCCAUAUAUAUAUGAUGAGUACAAACUAAAGGACUAAUGUCUUUCAAAUCAAAUAUUUGUCAUCCUAUUGCCUUCUUACACCUCCUAAGAACUUCUAUUAAACAAUUCUCUUGAUGACUAGUCAGAGAUGAAGAUAUCACAACAGGACAUUGAUUAUUUUCUUCAAGAUAUGUAUAUUUCAACUCCACAGGUAAAGGCUUCAGAUUGAGUUUUGGAAUUUCUUUUUCAACAGCUGCCUCCUCUUCUUCAUUGAACAAAGGUAGAAUUCCUUCUAUCUUUCUCCAACUUUGUAGAGUAGCAAGCCCAAUAGGAGAUUCAGAAAAACCUUCCUCAAUAUCCUCAAGACUUUCAUUCAACUUUUCUUGCAUAUGUUGAUUGCACUGCUCCUCCACCAAAGUAUCAAUUAUACAUAACUCUUCUGGACCUUCUUCUUCUUCCGGAGUGAUUUGCUUUUUAGACAUAUAGAAAAUAUUGAGAUCCAGUGUCAUGUUACCAAAAGUGAGUUGCAUAAGCCCAUUCCUGCAGUUGAUGAUUGCAUUUUAAGUAGCAAGAAAUGGCCUUCCAAGGAUGAUAGGAACUAAAUUAGCUUCCUUUACAGUAGGAUCUGUAUCAAGAACAAUAAAAUCUACUGGAUAGUAGAAAUUAUCGACUUGAACCAAUACAUCCUCAAUUACCCCUCUUGGAAUUUUCACUGAUCUAUCUGCUAGAGAUAGAGUGAUUGUUGUUGGCUUCAACUCUCCAAGUCCCAAUUGCUUGUAGACAGAGUAUGGAAGCAAAUUCACACUUGCUCCCAAGUCUAGCAAGGCUUUCUCAACUACCUUUCCUCCAAUCAUGACUGAAAUGGUAGGACUUCCAAGGUCUUUGUACUUCAAACGGGACUUACACUGUAAGAUUGCACUUACUUGCUCAGUCAAGAAGGCUUUCUUGUUUACAGUCAACCCUCUUUUGAUAGUACACAAGUCCUUUAGGAAUUUUGCAUACGUUGGAACUUGUUUGAUCAUAUCCAGCAGUGGAAUAUUAACUUUCACUUGCCUCAAGACUUCAAGGAUUUCAGCUGCAUUUCUAAUCCCCUUUUUCCCAUGUAAUGCUUAAGGAAAAGGUGGAGAAGUUGAUUUCUUCAGCAUUUCUUCCUUCAGAAGCUCCUUCUCUGGAAUUGCUUUCCUUGUUGAAUCAGAGUCCUUCUUUUCUUCACUAAUCUCACUCUCUUUAUCUUCCAUUUCCUUCCCUUUCUUUAUCUCUUCUUCUUUCUCAACAUGUGGCUUGGGUGUUGGCUGCUCAAUUUUUUUACCACUCCUUAGAGUGAUCAAGGCUUUGACAUCUUUGACCUGUGAUGAUUCUCCCUCAUGGCUUUCCACUUCAUGGACACCUUUGGGAUUUUGGUGAGGUUGAGAAGGAAAUCUUCCCUUUUCUUGCAGUGUAUUCAAAUUUGUAAGCCUUGAAAUUGAAUAUUGGAUGUUAUCAAACUUUUGGUUCAUAUCAUUUUGCAUUCCAUCCAUCCUUUUAUUCAACAUACUCUCCACUCGAUCAAUUUUUUGAUCCACUCGAGCAUUGGUGGCUUCUUGCUUUUCAAUAAAAUCUCCCAUUACCUUGCUGAGAUUGGCAAUUGCUUGUUCAAUACUUGAAGAUUGCUGAGAUGGUGGAUCCGGCUGUUGGUAUUGAGUUGCUCUGGCCUUCCAUGAGAAAUUUGGAUGAUUCCUCCAACUUGAGUUGUAGGUAUUUCCAUAUGGAGCAUUGUUAUUGGGCCUAAAUUGUCCAACAACAUUUGCUUGAUCUCUAAACAUUUCCCUUUCAGUUGGAAUUGCAGGGCACUCCUCCACCAAAUGUUCAAAUGAUUGACAAUUGGGACACAGCUUCACUUGCACUGGUGCUUCAGCUACAACUUGCACUUCAUGUAUUUUUUUCAACUCCAGCUCCUCCAAUAUUCUUGUCAUAGCUGCCAACUUUGCUUUCAUGUCAUCAUCCUCUUUUAAGGUAUACAUCCCAGCCUUUGCAUUGUAAGCAUUCAACUGAGACUUCAUCUUUCCCACUUCUCCUUUAGUUGGUUCAUCCCAUCCCCUUGAAACAUCAGCUACAUAGCUCAAGAAAUCCAUAGCUUCCUCUGGAUUUUUGCUCAUGAAAUCUCCUCCACACAUUGUCUCGAGGAGUUGCUUCAUUGAGGAGGACAUACCAUCAUAAAAAUAACUCACCAAUAGCCAAGUAUCAAAGCCAUGGUGAGGGCAAGCAUUGAUAGCUUCCAUGUAUCUUUCCCAACACUCAUAAAAUUUCUCAUUCUCUUUAGCUGAGAAGUUUGAAAUUUGCCUUUUCAAGCCAUUUGUUCUAUGAGUAGGAAAAAAUUUCUUGAGGAAUUCAGCUUGUAAAUCAGUCCAAGAGCGGAUACUCCUUGGCCUUAAAGAAUUAAGCCAUAUUUUGGCCUUAUCCUUUAAAGUAAAAGGAAAUAACUUAAGCCUCAUCAAAUCAAUUGAAGCUCCUCCCUCUUGGAAUGUAUUACAAACAUCCUCAAAUUCCUUGAUGUGUGCAUACGGAUUCUCACUUUCCAUCCCAUGGAAAGUUGGUAGAAGUGGAACAAGGUAUGGUCUGAUCACUAGCUGCUCUGUAGGGGGCACUAUACAUGAUGGUGCACUCAUACGAGGUGGAUGCAUACGGUCCCUCAUUCAUCUGAAUUCAUUGAGAUUAUCUUGACGACCUUGGUGACUAUGCUGAUCUUCAGGUGUAGUUUCCAUGAUAUUCAAGAUCACUUCCAAUUCUUUUCUCUGAGGUGUAUCACACUUAACAAGCCUACCUCCAAUGUCUCGUAUCCACUUGGGCAUACACAACUAGUAUCUAUCUGCAACUUAAAUAAAAACAGAGGACAACAAGAAAAACAGAGCUACAACAACAAAAUUAAACUAGACUAAAUUUUAAAAGAUAAACUUAGAUUGUAAAUAAACAAAGAAAGAAUGAAAAUUAGUAAAGUGAAAGAAACUUUACCAACUUGUGAUGAAAAUCACAAGUGCUCAAAAAUGGUAUCACAAUGAACUUGACACUCAUUCCCCAGCAACGACGCCAUUUGAUUCGUGCCCAAUUGGUGUCUCAACUGAUUUGUGUUCAGCUAGUGCUCCUUGAUUGAAGGAGUAAUCAACAAAAUUUAUUACCUAUAACACCAUACACUGGGGUAGCAAAGAAAAAGCUACUAUAGUAUAGUGGCUCUAGGGUCGUUCACUGGGAAUGACUAACAAGCAAUCAAUGAUACCAAUUCCAAGUGAAUUGGUCUUGUUUCAUUUCAAGGUUAGCUUAAGAAAUAAAACACAAAUUUUGAUUGGUAAAGGUUGAGACUUAAACUAACUAACAUAACAGAAGUUUGGAAUAAUUUAGGAAGAAAAGCAUUCCUUGGAGAUUUAGGUUCACUGGGGUGGUUCCUCAUGCAAAAGACAUAGCUCCGGUCAGUUGGUUCAUUUCCUCGCAUUAGAGAUUCAACUUAUAGUCAAUUCUCUAACCGGUGAUGUACAGAGACUCCUUCUAUUAGAUUUCACUUUAAUUCUCUCUCUGAUGCAACUUGCAAUGGUUUAAGCCUCUCACUAAGCCUUAACCAUUCAAGGUGAUCUUUAACCUUGGAUUACCCGUCAAAAGCUCGCAAGAGAUAACUAAUGGAUACCUCCUAGGAGUCCAAAAGCUUACCAAGUGUUGGCUAUUCUAGAAAAUCCUACCUUGAAGUCACCUACCAGAGGCUCGCAAGGGGUAAACUAGUGCAUUUCCAUGGUUGGAAAUCACUUGCCUUACCAAGUGUUGGCCCAGGUGACUCUAAGGUGUUUUAAGUUAACUAAAAACAUAGAAAUCACUAAAGGAUUUCACUUCCUCUUCAUUAAUAGCUAAAACCACAGAGCUUUGCAUUCUUGCACUUGGAACCUUCCCCGGCAACCUUAGCUCCAAGGAAUUAGAGGUUUAGUUACUCAUUCUCUGGGGAAAACUCCUCAGAGAAUUCAUAACUUAGAAAUAAAAUGAAAAUACAAAGUGAGAAGGUAAGGCAGUAGAAAGAAAAUAGACUUUACUUGCUUACCCAAACGGUUACAGAAGGAACUCCUCCCUGAGAACAGGCUCCCGAGAGGUAUAUAUAUCAACAUAAUAUAAAACUAAUUGUUACAAAGAUAUUUAGUCUUUUUACUAACUUAAAAACUAAGGAAUCAUGUAAUUGAUGGUUUACAAGGAGUAUUUUGGGAUUUAGACAACAAAAAUCUAAUGGAAAAUAUCUCCCAAUGUCGGUAGCAAGCUUCGGGAGGCUUCAGGAGCCAUUUCGCAGGAGAAAAAUGGUGUCUGCGAGAUUUCGCAGACACCCAAGAGGGCUGCGAAAUUAUUUCGCAACACCAAGCUAUCUUCACAGGGCUGCGAAGUUGGCUUCCACCUUGAGGUUCCAAGCUUCCUUCUCGCGGCAUAAAUCGUGCAUCGUCAGAAGGAGAAACACCUUACUGUACAAAAAUGCUGCGAAAUCACUUCGCAACAAAAGGGUGAUUUCGCAACACUUUGCAAAAUGCUUCCUUCAGCUCGGAGUGAUUGGCUUGUAAUGGCUGCAACUUCUUCGUUUCAACUCCGAAUUGCACACCGUUUAAAGCAUUGGAUUGUUGACUUCCUGAGAUUUGAAAUGGUAUAUAGCAUGCAUCAUUUGGACUUCAGAAAGUGCUCCAAAAGUGGCUGCUAUGACUGUCAUCAAGAAUAUGCUUUAUGGCAGAUUCUCUUUGCUUUUUCUCCUUGCAAUCCGGAUUCACUCUUGGAAAAUGACUUCUAAGCUUUGCCCAAGAUUCCUCAUAGCUCUCCUCAGUCUUGACUUGCUUUGGUGAUCAAAAUACUAACAAAAACACCAAAACUUACACAAAGUUAACAAAAUUGCUUUAAAGGAUCCUUAACAUGCCAAUUGAGUUAAAAGGCCUAAACUACUACUCAAAAGUGUUUAAAAGGAUUAAUUAUAGGCUAUCAAAUAGCACUUUUUGAGUAUUAAUCAUACUCCUUGGCCUUAAAGAAUUAAGCCAAAUUUUGGCCUUAUCCUUUAAAGUUAAAGGAAAUAACUUAAGCCUCAUCAAAUCAAUUGAAGCUCCUCCCUCUUGAAAUGUAUUACAAACAUCUUCAAAUUCCUUGAUGUGUGCAUACGGAUUCUCACUUUUCAUCCCAUGGAAAGUUGGUAGAAGUGGAACAAGAUACGGUUUGAUCACUAGCUGCUCUGUAGGGGGCACUAUACAUGAUGGUGCACUCAUACGAGGUGGAUGCAUACGGUCCCUCAUUCAUCUGAAUUCAUUGAGAUUAUCUUGACGACCUUGGUGACUAUGCUGAUCUUCAGGUGUAGCUUCCAUGAUAUUCAAGAUUACUUCCAAUUCUCUUCUUUGAGGUGUAUCACACUUACCAAGCCUACCUCCAAUGUCUCGUAUCCACUUGGGCAUACACAACUAGUAUCUAUCUGCAACUUAAAUAAAAAACAGAGGACAACAAGAGAAACAGGGCUACAACAGCAAAAUUAAACUAGACUAAAUUUUAAAAGAUAAACUUAGAUUAUGAACAAAUAAAGAAAGAAUGAAAAUUAGUAAAGUGAAAGAAACUUUACCAACUUGUGAUGAAAAUCACAAGUGCUGAACAAUGGUAUCACAAUGAACUUGACACUCAUUCCCCGGCAACGGCGCCAUUUGAUUCAUGCCCAAUUGGUGUCUCAGCUGAUUCGUGUCCAGCUGGUGCUCCUUGAUUGAGGGAGUAAUCAACAAAAUUUAUUACCUAUAACACCAUACACUAGGGUAGCAAAGAAAAAGCUACUAUAGUAUAGUGGCUCUAGGGUCGUUCACUGGGAAUGACUAACAAGCAAUCAAUGAUACCAAUUCCAAGUGAAUUGGUCUUGUUUCAUUUCAAGGUUAGCUUAAGAAGUAAAACACAAACUUUGAUUGGUAAAGGUUUAGACUUAAACUAACUAACAUAACAGAAGUUUGGAAUAAUUUAGGAAGAAAAGCAUUCCUUGGAGAUUUAGGUUCACUGGGGUGGUUCCUCAUGCAAAAGACAUAGCUCCGGUCAGAUGGUUCAUUUCCUCGCAUUNNNNNNNNNNNNNNNNNNNNNNNNNNNNNNNNNNNNNNNNNNNNNNNNNNNNNNNNNNNNNNNNNNNNNNNNNNNNNNNNNNNNNNNNNNNNNNNNNNNNCCAGAGGCUCGCAAGGGGUAAACUAGUUCAUUUCCAUGGUUGGAAAUCACUUGCCUUACCAAGUGUUGGCCCAAGUGACUCCAAGGUGUUUUAAGUUAACUAAAAACAUAGAAAUCACUAAAGGAUUUCACUUCCUCUUCAUUAAUAGCUAAAACCACAGAGCUUUGCAUUCUUGCACUUGGAACCUUCCCCGGCAACCUUAGCUCCAAGGAAUUAGAGGUUUAGUUACUCAUUCUCUGGGGAAAACUCCUCAGAGAAUUCAUAACUUAGAAAUAAAAUGAAAAUACAAAGUGAGAAGGUAAGGUAGUAGAAAGAAAAUAGACUUUACUUGCUUACCCAAACGGUUACAGAAGGAACUCCUCUCUGAGAACAGGCUCCCGAGAGGUAUAUAUAUCAACAUAAUAUAAAACUAAUUGUUACAAAAAUAUUUAGUCUUUUUACUAACUUAAAAACUAAGGAAUCAUGUAAUUGGUCGUUUACAAGGAGUAUUUUGGGAUUUAGACAACAAAAAUCUAAUGGAAAAUAUCUCCCAAUGUCGGUAGCAAAUAUCGGGAGGCUUCAGGAGCCAUUUCGCAAGAGAAAAAUGGUGUCUGCGAGAUUUCGCAGACACUCAAGAGGGCUGCGAAAUUAUUUCGCAACACCAAGCUAUCUUCACAGGGCUACGAAGUUGGUUUCCACCUUGAGGUUCCCAGCUUCCUUCUCGCGGCAUAAAUCGUGCAUCGUCAGAAGGAGAAACACCUUACUGUACAAAAAUGCUGCGAAAUCACUUCGCAACAAAAGGGUGAUUUCGCAACACUUUGCAAAAUGCUUCCUUCAGCUCGGAGUGAUUGGCUUGUAAUGGCUGCAACUUCUUCGUUUCAACUCCGAAUUGCACACCGUUUGAAGCAUUGGAUUGUUGACUUCCUAAGCUUUGAAAUGGUAUAUAGCAUGCAUCAUUUGGACUUUAGAAAAUGCUCCAAAAGUGGCUGCUACGACUGUCAUCAAGAAUAGGCUUUAUGGCAGAUUCUCUUUGCUUUUUCUCCUUGCAAUCCGGAUUCACUCUUGGCACAUGACUUCUAAGCUUUGCCCAAGAUUCCUCAUAGCUCUCCUCAGUCUUGACUUGCUUUGGUGAUCAAAAUACUAAUAAAAACACCAAAACUUACACAAAGUGAUUAAAAUUGCUUUAAAGGAUCCUUAACAUGCCAAUUGAGUUAAAAGGCCUAAACUACUACUCAAAAGUGUUUAAAAGGAUUAAUUAUAGGCUAUCAAAUAGCACUUUUUGAGUAGUAAUCAUUCAUGUGACCCAUUGCAAGAGGGAAAAAGAAAUGAAGUUUAGAAGAAAACAUUGGUAGAGAGAUGUUUAAAAUUUCUUAUGCAAGAAAAAGAAAUAUAGUUGAUAAUAAUUUUCAUGAUUAUAGAAAAAAGAAGUUUUCUUAUUGAGAGAAAAAUGUUCAUUACCCUUCAAAUCUUUUCCUCAACUUCUUUUCAAUAAAUAAAUGAUUUUCAUGAAAUAUAAGGUGUAUCUACACCAUUGAGGUCUCUAAAUGAGAACAAACAAACAUUAAGGGUCUAUUUCAUAAUUAUUUUCGAGAACAAGUUUUUAUUCUCCAAAACAAAAAACCCUAAAAAUACAUUCGAUAACAAAAAAAAUAGUGUUUUUCAGAUAAUAUAUUUUAGUUGGUUUUUAUUGUUUUCACUUGUUUUCUUAGAAUAGUUUUAAAAAAUAAUUAUAUAAAUAUGUAAAAUACUUAAAAAUAAAACACUAAGCAUAAAAAUUAUUUUAAAACAUAUUAAAAAAUACUAAAAAUAGGUUAAAAACAUUUUAAGUUUUCAAACAUAUUUUUGUUUUACAAAACAUUAGAGAAUGGUUUUCAAAAACUAUUAUAAAAAAACAGUUUUCAAAAUUGUUUUUGAAAACAGUUAUGAAAUAGAGCCUAAUUACUAACCUCACAAGAGUCUAUGUUCUGAAAAGACUUGGGAGACAUCAUUGCUGGUGUAGUGAGGUAGAGGCAGUCUUUGCGCAACCUCUUUGGAGGGAAUUGAGAAAAGGGAAUGAAUAACGUUCCUUUCGAUGCUUUAAUUUGUUCUUCUUUGGUCAAUCCAUCUCCAACCAGCCAUAUCUUCAAAAUAAAUAAAUAAAAUUAAGUUCACGAUGGAUGAAAAAGUGUAGAGGGUUUAAAAUAGUUGCUAAAUGAUAAAUUGUACCUUUUCAGUAAAACUUUUAGAAAGUAGUAAUUUACUUUCACACUCAACAUUCUUGAGCUUUGUGUUGAGUUGCUCAUACUCAUCCCCAUGUGAUGUGGCUACCUGAGAUUCAUUGUAUGAAAAAUCAAAACCAAGAUUGGGCAUUGUUUCACAAUUCUCAAAGUACCUUUAUAUAAUGCUUGUUAAUUAUACAUACCUGGAUAUCCAUUUGGCAUAAAGCAGAAGCAAUAAAAUAAGCAACCUUGGUGAGGUUGCCUCUGAAGAGUACUUGAGUUGUUCCUUUAGGAAUGCUAUUUAGAACAACAGCAACUGCUAAGCUACUCCCAUCCACCACCUUGAUUUUGAGCUUAGGAUUUCUAUGGAUAUAAAGCUCACCAUAACUAUUAAGCUCAUCACCCUGCAAAGUUUAUAUUUAUUAUUGGACAGUUUUAUUUUAUUUUUUCUAAAAUUCGCAAAAUAAUUCAAAUUUUCAGAAUGUAAAUUUUUUUCAGAAGUCAACUGAAGGCCAUAAAAGCUGUGUGUCCAUGCAAGCAUGAGGUAGAGAUAUGGAACAUGGAGGUAAACUCUUCCAAAUGAUCAAAAAGGAGGUAAAUUGCCUUUUUUUUUUUUUAACUUGCCUGGUUCAAGAGACUUAAACUCAAAACUUUAAUCCCUCUUUUGUCUGCUUUGAGUAUGGCUUCUUCUAUCAAACUAUCGAUGGAUUCAUUUCCCAAUUUCAGGAGAUACUACAAUAAGAAAAUAGAAAAGGAACAAAAAGUAAAUAAUAUACUGAAGUACGAUUAAAUAAAAACAAAAGAAUAACAAGUUAACAAUAAAAUGUUGCUUACUUGUAUCUUGAAUUUUGGUACGACCCACGUUUGGACAUUGACUUUGUUGAAUUGAUUCCUCUCAAGAAUAAACGUACGACCAUAGGUCCAUGUUAACAUUAUAGAACCACAUGUCACUGGCCACAUUGCCCAUACAUACCAUCUGUAUGUGUAAGGUUUGGAGGCUAAGGAGGCGAAUCCUAGCCUCAGAUGAUAGAUGGACUGUGGCGUUACAAGAUGUGUCAAAUGAACUACAUGGAGCAAUUCUUCAGGUCUUAUAAGUGAUUUUUCAUAUAACGCAUCUGAAGAUUUAUCCAUCGUACCAUAGAUGUAAUCAUAGAUGGGCAUGAAAAGUGAGUAAUUGGUCCUG
This 96248-nucleotide long non-coding RNA is filed under the name Vitis vinifera (wine grape). RNAcentral describes it as "long non-coding RNA (VVIN_LNC005039)". Lineage: Eukaryota; Viridiplantae; Streptophyta; Magnoliopsida; Vitales; Vitaceae. The record is from RNAcentral.